UCCAAUAAACAUCGGAAAUUUGGUUGGUCUUACAGUAUUUGAGAUGGGAAAUAAUACUUUUGUAUCUGGACAGAUUCCAGAGAGCAUUGGUCAGCUAAGAAACUUGGGUGUGUUAGGCCUUUACAACACUAGCUUGUCAGGCCUCAUACCUUCAUCACUAGAAAAUCUUACACAGUUGAAUCAUCUUUAUUUAUACUAUGGAAACUUAGAGGGGCCAAUUCCAUCAAACUUGGGGAACUUAAAGAAUGUGUUUGCCUUUGAUCUCUCAACAAAUCGACUCAAUGGUUCAAUUCCUAUAGAGGUUUUAAAACUUCCUCGACUUUCCUGGUACUUAGACUUAUCAUAUAAUUCAUUAUCCGGGCCACUUCCAACUGAGGUUGGUACCAUGGUGAAUCUUAACGAACUGAUUCUGUCUGGAAACAAGUUGUCAGGCACCAUACCAGCUAGUGUUGGGAACUGUAUAUCGUUGGUACGGCUGCUGCUCGAUAACAACUUAUUAGAAGGAAGCAUACCUCAAUCUCUGAAGAACUUAAAAGGUCUUGCAUUACUGAACCUAACAAUGAACAAGCUAUCUGGUAGUAUUCCUGAUGCCCUUGCUAGCAUUGGCAACCUGCAACAACUGUAUCUAGCACACAACAACUUGUCAGGUUCCAUCCCCAAAGUUCUACAGAAUUUGACAUUGUUGGCAAAACUGGAUUUGUCAUUCAAUGAUCUGCAAGGCGAAGUGCCAAAAGGGGGUCCUUUUGCAAAUGCAACUCACUUGUCAAUUGAUGGAAAUGAUGAGCUUUGUGGUGGAAACCCUCAACUUCACUUAGCUCCGUGCUUCACAGCUGCUGCGGGGAAGAACAGAAGGCGAAUGUCAAGGUCAGUUAUGGUCACCGUAGCGUCAAUCUGCGCACUUCUAUUCUUAGGUUUAGUAGUUUUUCUUAUCCAUUUGAUCCACAAGACGCUCAGACAAGGAAAGGAAAAUCAACUCAUUCCCACAGUAAUUGAUGAACAGCACGAAAGGGUUUCAUAUCAAGCAUUAGCAAAUGGGACUGACCAUUUUUCGGAGGUUAAUCUGCUCGGACAAGGAAGCUAUGGUGCAGUUUAUAAGUGCACUUUACAUGACAAGGGAAUUACCGCAGCUGUAAAGGUAUUCAACGUAUGGCAAUCUGGUUCUACUAGAAGUUUUGUGGCUGAAUGUGAGGCACUGCGAAGGGUGCGCCACCGAUGUCUCAUAAAGAUCAUCACCUGUUGCUUAAGCAUUGAUCACCAAGGCCAAGAAUUCAAGGCACUGGUUUUUGAGUUCAUGCCCAAUGGUAACCUAAAUGGUUGGCUGCAUCCAGCAUCCAAAAUACAGAGUCUGAGCAAUACGCUCAGCUUAGCUCAGAGACUGGACAUUGCGGUAGAUAUCAUGGAUGCUCUGGAUUAUCUUCACAAUCAGUGUCAACCGCCUAUUAUCCAUUGUGAUCUCAAACCAAGUAACAUCCUCCUUGCCGAAGAUAUGAGUGCUCGGGUUGGAGAUUUCGGCAUAUCAAAAAUCCUUCCUGACGACACUAGCAAAACUCUGCUGAAUUCAGUUAGCUUCACUGGACUAAGAGGUUCCAUCGGAUAUGUCGCUCCAGGUAACAGAAACUAACACUGAUAUUGCUAUGUUCAGUUUUUUAACUUCCAUUUUGCCAAGUCCAGUUAUCUCGGCAUGCACGUUCAUAAGUAGCUUGCCAUGAAUCCACUGACCAAAUAGUGUCUGAAAUCUGAAUUGACUGCAGAGUACGGCGAGGGUCGCGCUGUCUCAACUCUUGGAGAUGUUUACAGCCUCGGCAUACUGUUGCUUGAGAUGUUCACCGGGGUGAGCCCUACUGACGACAUGUUCAAAGACUCCUUGGACCUUCAUAAGUUCGCCGAGGCCGCUCUCCCGGACAGAGCCUUGGAGGUAGCCGACCCGGCAAUCUGGCUUCAUGAAGAAGCAAAGGGGAAAGACCCUGCCACGGUGAGAAGCAGAAGCGAGGUGUGCUUGGCUUCAGUGAUCGGGCUUGGCGUGUCCUGCUCAAAGCAGCUGCCAAGGGAGCGGACGGCGAUGCGGGAUGCUGCCGCUGAGAUGCGUCCGAUCAGAGAUGCCUUCCUGGUUCAAUGUGCAACAGAGACUUGGGCUGCAGUCGGCACCACCGGCCUUGGAAGCGCAGACAGUUGAAUGGUGGACGGAGCUACGGUCUCUUGACGCACCAAGGAGCACCGGACUAGCAACUCUGCAACUAACAGAGUGGAGAAAGCGCCCCUUAAUGAAAAGAAAAACAGCCGGUGCAAGGCUUUAUACAAAGAAUGUGACAGCCACUGCGUGUAUCCGAGGCUUUAUACAACUCUGCCUUAUCUAAUCUACCGAGGAUUGUUGCGUAUGGAUGCGUAUAGAUUAUGCACGUACUCCCUCCUCCGUCCUAAAAUAAACGCACAUCUCGUUUCUCGAGGAGUCAAACUUUUAAGUUUGACUAAAAUUUAUAAAAAAAAUGUACUACUAUUUAUAAUGUAUAAUAAAUGUCAUUAUUGAGCAUUGGGUAUACUUUCCUAAUACAUUUAUUUGAAGAUGCAAAUAUUGUUACUAUUUUCUAUAUUCUUAGUCAAACUUAAAAACCCGUCAUGGGGAUUAGUCACGAUAUAAGUAGGGACUAGCAAGCAUCAAAACCCCAUUCACUGCCCAUCUAUCGCUCAAAUAAAAGAAACCAUUGCAUAUGGUGGCGAUGCGCUCGCGAGCCUUUCUCCAACCUUUCUGCUCUCGCGAGCCUUGAACUCGCAUGGAACAGUUUUAGUGAGAGUGUGCCUCCAACUUUGGGAAGAUUGUGAAGCCUUAUUUACCUGUCCUUAAGUGGCAAUAAGUUAUGAUCGAAUGAUAAGGACGGAUUGGAAUUCAUCACCAUGCUAGCAAACUGCAGCCAGCUUCAGCAACUGGCUUUUGAUAAUAAUUCAUUCAUCGGUGAACUUCCUAGCUCAAUAGCAAAUCUAUCGACAACUCACCAAUUACUCUAUAUAGGAAACAAUUGGAUUUCGGGAUUUAUUCCAUCCAGCAUAGGUAAUUUGCUUGGUCUAGAACUGCUUACGUUGGCAAAUACUUUCAUAUCCGGAGUGAUUCCAGAUAGCAUUGGUCGCAUAGAAGACAUGUCCGUGUUAGGCAUUUACUACGCUAGCUUGUCAGGCAUCAUACCUUCAUCACAAGAAACCUUACACAGUUGAAAACUCUAUGCAUACGAUAGCAACUUGGAGGGUCCAAUUCCAGCAAGCUUGGGGAACUUAAAGAAUCUUUUUGUUCUUGAUCUUUCAACGAAAGUGUGUUACCCGUUAAGAUUUCAUGUCGAAGCAGAGCAUAAACCUCUCUCAAGACUGCAAAGCUAUCAUAGAGCAGAUCAGUCUGAGGGCCGGGCUAUGUACCCUUUCGGUAAGAUUACCCCAAACUAGAGUCUGUAAUUAAUUAGCCAAGACUAGAAUUACGUAGUUCUUGUGGUUGUACUGUUUUCCUGGGUGGCCGCUCCAUGUUCCAAUUAAGCAUGAUGAUCUUGUAUUAAUAAAAGGUAUAUCAUAAAUAAAACAAGUUUAAUCAUUGAGUUCAUUAAAACCAUCACAACCCAAGGUAUUGCAACUAAGCAUAUCUACCAAAAAAAGGGUAAAACCCAGGUUGACAAAGAAUGAUCAUAAAAACUAGGUAAACCUUAAUAGGGCCCAUCAAUUUUAAGUGCACAGCAAUGCAAAAGUGAUUAAAUAUAGUUAUUGGGACAAAAGCACAUGGACACACUUGCCUUUCUCCAAAGAAUAGCUGCUCUGAUUAUCUUCAACUCUUGUUCCUCAAAGCUCUCGAACAACGUUCCUUAUACUCACAUCAAUCAUUGGCACAAGCAUACAAAGCAAACAACAAUCACAACUAAGAACAAUACAUCAAUCAUAGGAAAGCUUUAAAAGAGCGCACUAAAGGAUAAGGCUUGAAUCUGAAACACUGGGAACUAAACUAUGGUUGAAAUGACAAAGCUAUCGAGAGAUUUGAAUUAUAAAAGAAAGAGAAAAGCCUAUGCGCUUCAUAUAUUUCAAUAAAGAAAAUAAUGUAAAGAUAUUUUAGAGAAACAUCCUUAGCAAGUUAUAUUUAUAUAUGAAAAGAUAAUGUAGAACUUAGUCAAAUUUUAUUUAUAAACAUUCAAGUACAAUUUAUGCAAAUUAAAAAUUUAAUUUGAAAAUAAAGUAUAUGGAAACAUCUAAGCGCAUAGCUUUAUGAUUCGGGUUGAACUAACCAAAUAUAAUUCAAAAACAUAUUUAUAUUUAUAUUAAGUCAAAUUAACAUAUAAUUAUGAAACCUCGAGAUAUAACUUAUGUAGCUUUUAUUUAGAAAACAAAUUGAAUAAACAUUAAUCAAUUUAAGUUCAAUUAUGAACCACCGUGGUGCAUCUCUAAUUCACUUUUAAUUGAAAGAGUUAUUUAAAUAAGCAUUAACUAAAUUAAUAUUUAUUAUGAAAAGUGGUUAUAACACUAAGUAGCUUUUAAUUAAGGAAGGCAUGUUUAACAUGCAUUAAUUAGAUUAAUAUUAAAUUUAUUUUAAAAACAUGCAUGAUGGAAAGAUCAGUACUAACAUGUAAUUUGUGUUAUCACGAACCUAACUCAACAAGAACGGAUAUAAACGGAGCUGUAACGAGGAGUCUAUGGGUUAAACAAGGUUGCAGGGCCUAAUCACGAUUAACGGAAGGUUGUUGGGGCUAGCAAGGAAGAUUUGCAAGACACUGGAAUAGAGCUCGUUAUUAGGUCAAAGCAUAGGGUUAGAUCUGUUAAAGUGCUCAGGUUGGACUUGGUUGCACGGAUACAAUCUAAUCAGGGACAUGGAUGAAAAAAACAAGACACAAGGAAAAACUAACUAUAUAUAGAGCUUUCUAGGGGCCUAUGCGCAAAAGCACCAUAGCUCAGCAUCCAUGGUGGACGGGCUCCUUGACGGCAAAAUCCUCAUGCUGGAUUUAUAAGCCUGGUAGUCCACCAAGGGGUUUCCCAAGUAGUUGAUUUGUAGGUGAGGGUGAUUGUGAAACCAAGAACUCGAAGGUGAUUGUGAGAACACGAAGGGACACAAAGGUUUUAGACAUGUUCGGGCCUCCGAAGAGUAAUACCCUACGUCCUAUAUGCUGGUUUGUAUUGCUUGAGAUUGAUGUGAUUGUUGCGAUAUCCUCGGGGGUGCCCUUGGCCACCUUAUAUAGGUUGACGACCAAGAGUUAAAAGUCGGUUUGAAUCUAAUCUACUCGGUAGUUACAUGGAAAGUAAUCUGAGUUGGACUACAAUACACGUUCCAUGAUAUCCGAGCAGAUUUGAACUGUCUUGUUGCCUUGACUUGCACUCCAAGUAACUUCAUAUCCUCGGCCCACACGCCCUGGUCGAGCGAGCCCUACUUGUCAGGUUCGGCCAGUAUCCUGGUCGGCUGGGGCCCAUGGGGUACCCAUUUCUCUCAAGCCCCCGAGCGUUGUGUAGGCAAAUAGAAACUUGAGGUCACCAAAACGAAACUUGAAAUGAAGUCGGCUGAAGCUGCGAAGGCGUCAUUGCGACGGAGAGGCUGCGCAGUGCUUAAAAGAAGAAAAUCUGAGCAAACACAGAGCCAACGCGUAGAGCGAAGACGAGUGCCGAGUUGAUGGAUGCUGGCAUCCAGUAGGUCGGAGCGAAGGUUACGGAGGGCGUCGCAAGAGAAACUCCGUAGGAGUAGCCCCCGAGCAUUGAAACGAUUAAGAUAAUCGGUACAUUGGUCAAAGUACAAAAAAUUAUCCCAUGAUGUAGAUCCUAGUGCUCGAACACAAGGAUGGGUGCAGCCAUGGAGGCCCGCCCACUAGAAGUAGGCACCCAGACCCAAGGACGAGGACUGAUAGGACCGCGUAGCCACGCUGACCUGAAAUAGGCGUCCAACCCCCGAGGACGAGGACUAGCGGAGCCGCGGAGGCAUGCUGACCUGAAGUAGGCGCCCAGCCCCCGAGGAUGAGGACUGGCGGAGCCAUGAAGGCACGCCGACUUGAAAUAGGCACCAAGUGUAACAACUCUACCUAAAUUAAGUGCUUUUAAAUAUAAACUAGUGGCUAAUCACUAAGUUAAAGAAGUAAAAUGACCAUUUUAACCCUAAGAAGCUCUUUUUGGAGUUUGAAAUAAAACUUGGAAUUUUAUAUGCAAACUUAAAAUUUUGCCCAAACAAGAGUUGUAAAACUUUCAAUUUCAAACAACUUUUGUUAAACGAACUUUGACUAAUUCAGAGUGGGAGGAAGUCAAAAAUAGCAAUCAAAACUGGAGUACUAAAGAACCCUAUAAACCUCCUAAGUCCUGGUUUUCAAAUUUUCCCUCCAACUUUGCAAGCCUUUAUCUCAUGAUUUCUUAUCCAAACUCAAGUCAGGCUCUUAAUAAAAGUUGUAGUCCCUCGAGUGUGUUCCAACUUUGUUACACUGACCCAGGUCCAAAUCGGGCCAGAACCUGUUCAAAAUCUUGGUCAAAGUGAGGUAAAACAGUCAACUCAUCCCUUGAGCCCCACAACGCUAAGUCUGAAAAACUGCUCAGAGUGCACCUCUUGGCGAGGGCGUUCCUCCAAAUUUUUGAACUAAACUCAAGAAAUACCCUAAAUAAAAGCUUAAACCCAGGGACCCCUACGUAGUUAAACCUUAAACCCAGGGGCUUGCUUGCAACUUUGUCACAGCUUUUCUUUUAAAUAAUAGGCAGAAAUAUGGUUGAAUUUUGUAAAUGCCCAGUAAAUCGUAGAAUAAUCAUAAAAAUGCCAAACUACUUUUGCUAGAAUCCUUUCUCUGUCUAGUUCCUAAGAAAAAUAAGUUUGCUCAUGUUACUGUUGUAAAUAAUAUCCUACGCUUUUAAUCAUGUUGUAGGCCUUUUAAAUCCUAAUAAAUAGAAGAAAAGUGGGAAAAAUGUGGAACCAACUCUGUGAUGCUUGUUUCUAUGUGUAGAAGCUUAGAAAAAUAGUUAGGGCUCUGGUGUAGCACUUUAAGUCACUGUUUUGACUUUAAAUUGGGAAUCUAAGUAUAAAUCUUCCUUUUUGCAUAAGUUUUGAUCUAGAGCUUAGAAAAAUGUGAAACUAGUUGGGUUAAUUUUGUUUUGCUGUAAAGUUCUCAGGAAAAAUAUAAAUUGUUGUGCAAAUCAGAAAUAAAAACACCUUCCUUGCUAAGCAUGUUUAAUUAAGAAAAGAAAUAGAGUAAAUAGUAACCUUGUCCAAAAAUUACGAAAAAAUUCACCAAAGCACCUGUAACAUACCCUUAACACACUGCUUAAGUUUCACCCUCUGUUGCACAAUAAUUUUGAAGAUGGAAAAAAUUAAGCUCAGUUUACCUUUAAUAAUAAAAUGCAUGUAACUUCUUUUUAAGUCAUCCUUUGGCCCCCAAACUUUUACAGUAACCUAGUGAUGGCUUAAGUGAGGUGCUGUAAUUUUAUCAAUGACUUUAACUACUUUUUGGAUAUGAAGUCAUUUUGGUUAAUUAAUCAACCUAAAGGAAUAAAAGGAGAGCGCGAAUUCUAAUACGAUAAAUAAGUGGACACUGAAAGAGGUACAUAAAAACAUUCAGAAGUAAGUAAUUAUUCCAAUGCAUCCAAACCACCCAACACGACCUUUCACACUCUUUAUGCAACUCUAAAUGCAAGAAAGCUAUAUAUGUACACAAUCGCCAUUCAACGCGAACUCAAGUUUAAAACGACCACUUUCGUUUGAAGUUAAAAAAAGUAAACCUCAUCAAAGUGUUUGUGGCUGUUGUGACUCUUGUCUUAAGCCAUGCCUUGUGUCGUUGAAUAAACGCGCGAGUCCAACUAAAUUUUUGUAUGUGCAUGUCGUAUAGAAGCAACUCUCGCCGACGGAACCUACGAGCUCCACCCGGCACCAGAGAAAGACCCCGCUACGGAGCUUCACCACUUGGAAGGCGAGCCCGAACCGGAGCAAGAUCCUGAGGACCCGCUAACUUUUCCUGAAGGCAAGCCCCGGAGCAUAAAUUCCUAUCUUUGAAUACUUGCAAUAUUAUUGAACACUUUGAUUGCGCAUUUACGUUUCUAGGAGUUGUAAUGAAACCUUAGAUGCAUGAACUUAGUACCUUGUUUGAAUACUAGUUGCUAAAGUCGAGUAGUUGCAAUGCUUAAUAGGUUCCGGUAAAAGUCGAGUGAUUUCCUAUCACUCGCGAGUUAUAGGAGUUGAAUGUUUACUUAUGUUGCAACUAUAAGGACGAUGGAUGUGGUCGGGCUUAUGUUCGAUACUUGGUGGUUUUUCCCCGUCUGUCUAAAGGAAAUUGAUCUAAGGUUGAAAUGUGUCGGCGUUCGUGAUCAAGUGUUUGAAAGUACUAAUCUCAUACCUAGUAUGGGAUGGGGAAGCCUAGUACCUGAUUGAACUGGGGCAUGGCAUACUCCCCCAGCUGCCUUGGAACACCGUUCCCAUGGUGCAUCAUGUGGGUGCAAGUGCGGUCAUAGUACGGCAGAGGCCGGGAUUAUGGAGCAUGGCAUGCCAAAGGCAGUUGGCCCUGACACGUGCCUAAGGGAUCGAUGGGGACGGCUGACAAAUGAAGCAACCCUUCGUGGUGCGCGGAUGUCGUGAGAUUAGGUUCGCCAUGCAUGGUUAAUAAAUUCGAAUCGAUUCGUCUGCCUCUCACAGUUUGGGACUACUUGAUCGCUAUUCUGCACUGAGUAACGAUGAAACAUGAUUACGAGAUUAAGUUGAUGCUUGUUAUUUAACUGCUUGGAAAUCAUGCUUGUUUAGCAUAAGUGGCUAAUCUAGAAUGGUUAAAGAACGUAGAACUUGAGCUAAAAUAUUGAAAGUAAGGACUGAUUGUAGACGCUUGUGGCAAAGAAAUCGCAGAGCCAGAAAGCCUUGCAUGUCUAGGUCUUGGUAAAGCUUUUCACUCGACGGGUCAGUCUUGCUGAGUAUUAGUUGCUCAGCCUUGUUGUGGCUUAAUCUUUUCCAGUGAUGUCAAUAGUUUGGUUGCGGGCACCACUUGGCCUACCCAGCUCCCUCCGGGCUGGACAGUCGAGUGGGAUCCCUCCUCGGACGGCGAGGGAAGGGAUUUUUGAUGUCAUGAUUGGAUCCGUCGUGAUGUCAUGUAUCGAUGUUUAGCUUCCGCUUGUUUUAUCCGACUUUUCGAACCUUGCAACUUGUUUGAAUUUUCAGAAACUCUGAUGUAAUAAUUUGUGACACUAAGGAAUGUGAUGGAAUGUAGUAAUCUCUGUGCUACUCACCUUCAUGUGAGCGAUGCUUCUCGAUCCUGUUUAGGUGGUUCAUCGGAUGAAAUCCAACGGUCGACCAGUUUGACUUGCUUAAAGUGCAUAAUCGCGUGUCAGGCGACUUCAACGCAUUUUAGUCAGGUUAAUUUGGGUGGUUCCGCCACAGCUAGCAUCAGAGCUCGAAGCACGGUAUGGAGAACAACAAACCUUAAAACACUUUUCCUGACUAAAACUUGCAAGAAACGAGUUGAAAAAUUCGUAAGUUCGUUAAGGAUGAAUUUAGUACGAGGAGCCCUAGGGGAAUUUUGGGUCUUUUAAGGUGGCUAAUAAUUAUUGGUUAUCUUCUGACUUCCAGCACUUGUUACCACGUCUAUCAUACGUGUGCCGAGAUCUGCAUCGCGAGUGUGCGAAGGGUGAUAGGAAUUCGAUUCCAACGAGCCUAUCAUCACGGUUGUUUCGCCCACGUCUAUUAUACGUGCGCAGGUUCCGUAUGUUAAUUCAUGCGAAGGAUGGUAUGGUUCGAUUCCAACGAGCCUAUCAUCACGGUUGUUCGCCCACGUUUAUUAUACGUGUGCAUGAUUCCGCAUCACGAGAAUGUGAAGGGUUAUAUGGUUCUAUUCAAGGGAACCUAUUUCCACGGUUGUUGCGCUGUCCAUGCAGCGUUAAACGCAUGGGUGCCGUUUCUAUAGUGAACGGUAAUGAUUGUGGACGCUUUUGUGAGUACUGGCACGGAAAGUUCAAGCUAUGAUGUGUUUUUCUGCGGGUACACUAACAACGUUGCGUACGAAACGAUGCUUAGCAACUCGACUAGUUAUUAUAGUGAGAGUCGUAUUGUUGCCUUGCCACCGGCACUAACCACGUAAGUUCAAAGAUUUUUGGCGAUUAUUUUUGGUUGAGAGGAUGACUAGGACGUGCAUGCAUUAAGAAAUAAAAACCGCAACCUAAGGAAAUAAAACCAAGCUCGAGUGUGUCGUAAAAAGAAAUGCACCGCGAUAAGGAUCGUCUAGUUGUCCUUUUUUUUCCGCCAUGCACGUUUAAAUAAAUCUUUCAGGUUGUUCCAUAUGAUAACUUCAGAAACUUUAUAUAAGAAAUUUGUGUUAAAUCUCCCAAGUAAACUGCUGAAAAUUUUUCACAAAGUACUACCACUUGGGUUGAGAGUUGUGAUCAGUUUUGUGACCCCCUGUUGGCUGUUAGCCCUGAGUGCACACCAGUUGGAAUUCUGCUGUUUCGACCACCUUAAGAACUUUUUCUGCUAGGAGUCCCUUAAGAAACGUUUCUCAAAACUUAAUAAAGAACUUACUGGUAAAAUUGCAGCUUCAUUAGGUCUCUUGUUUUGAAGUUAUGUUCAGUUUACUUUGACUCGGGUCUGAAAAAUUCUAGCAUGUACACUUAAUGGGAAUCUGAGGUUAUCACCUUGUUAGGUCCUGUUCUAGCCCUACCUUUGAAUACCAAACUUGUUACGCACUAUCUAAAGAACAUGCUGGUAAAAUUUGAGAAAUUUUGGAUGAAUAAUUGCUGAGUUAUGAGCUUUUCUCUAACUGCUAGAAAUCUGUUUUGAUUUCCAAGUGUUAACUCCGUUUCUCACUUGUCCUUUGGUUACAGUGGCUCAGCCUGUGCACGUUGCAGUCGGUACGGAUGGCACCACCUACUCACGGUGCCUUCACUACGAGGGUUUCCUAGCCGUACUGUGGGACACCCUGCGCUCUUUUGGGUACCCGUCACCGCCAGUUUACGCGGGACGUGCAUACCAGGACCGCGGGAUUCCGCGGAGUCGCGUGCACGUGCGGGUGCCCCCGCCUCCGGGUCAGCCACAGUGUCCGCUUUUGGAGGUGGUGGCCGAGGGAUAGACACUACAGGACACCUGGGAGUUCGCAGCCUUGCAGACCCUGACACAGUUUUGCCGGGCACACCCUCUUGAGAUCGUGCUGGACCCGAUUGGGUUGUGCUCUGCUCGGGAUACGAGGGACCCGGAUUGGUUGGAUCGUAUGGAGCAUAUGGACUUACUCAGGGUUAUGGAUCCACAACGCACGAUUUUUGUUUCAGCUCGUUGCCUGAACGUGUUCUUCCGGAUGGUUGAGAUGCAGAGCCGAGCGAUGGCUACGGUGAUCGGGAUGGCAGUGGCCAACCAGGUCGCUUUAUCUGCCGUGCAGAGUGGCAUGGUGGACCAGUCGCUUGAGCUAGUACAGAAGGAUGUCCAGAUUGCUGAGAUGCAGGACAAGAUCACUCGUUUGGAGGAGGAGAUUGUGGAUAUGGAGCAUGAUAUGGAGAUCUUGGCUGACCAGUUCUAUGAUGUGAACAUGGAGCCGGCGAACGUCAAUGAGCACCUGCAGGAGCAUCACGAUGAGCUUAAUGCCAUUCACACCUUAGAGAUGCAGCAGGAUGAGCCGAUGGCCCAGGAGGAGGAGCCUGAGGAGAUCGAGGGCUUUUCGAGCAUGGACUAUGAGGAGGCCUCUCCGCAGCCUCCAGUUGGCGAUGCUCACUCUCCUGCCCUUAGCUUUGCCUCCGUGGGCAACCUCGACGACUUCUAGUUGUGUUGACUUGUUGUUGAGGGGUUCUCUUUUGUUUUUACUCCUCGGCGACCUAUAUUUUGGCUAGUGAUAUAAUAGGUUAGCUUGAGUUGAGUAUUUGGGAGUUGAGAAACUGAUUCUAUGUUGGAUUGCCGUUGCUAUCUUUAGUGUAAUGUCUGAAAUUUAUGGCAGAACUGCAGUGACUGUUUCUCCUCAGUUUUACCCCUGUCUCCACUCGUUUUUGAGCCAAAGUUUGAAUACCAAAGUUGUGCAAAAACUUCUGUUCUAACUAUUCGUAAAUUUUCAGCUCCUUCGGAUCUGUCAAACGCCCGCUAGAGCCAAAACCCCACUGUUCAGCUUGCUGAAAAAUCAGCCGGACAGCAACUUGCUAGAACGUCUAAACGACCUCUUUUCCUUCCUUUUCGGUCGACAAGCGUAACAUGAAAGUGGUUGUGUACGAUAUAUUCUAACCCUCACUUAAGGAUGAGAACCUUGUGCACUUCGAAGAAGAGAUAUGCACCUACUCAAUAAAAGUUUUGAUUGUUGCUUUUGCACCAUCGGCAAGACUAGCGUUUAUCAUUUCCGCACAUAAUGUUUCCUUAUGGUUAAACAAGAUUUUGGGGCUAUGUGACUAAUGGAAAGGUGAAUCUUGCAGAUGGCACAUCGCAUAUGCUCCGGCUCCAUUCCUAGUGGCAGCGAGGUGCCUCCCCCACCUCCGCCUCCAACCACCCUCGAGGCAAUCUUGGCGGCUCAAACCGAGCUGCUGAGGCACAUCGCUCAGGGACAGCAGCAGCAGCAGCCCUAGGGAGGAAGAGCCCAUCAGCAGCCUCAUGUUGCUCGCUACGAGGACUUUCUGGGGACCCAGCCUCCUCUGUUCCACAAGACGGAGGACCCGCUUGACGCCGAUGCCUGGAUUCGUGCCAUCGAGUCCAAGUUCUCCCUUCUCACCGCCCAUUGCCCGGAGGAGAACAAGGUUCGGUUCGCCGCGCAACAGUUGCAUGGUUCUGCUCUCCUGUGGUGGGAUCACUACCACGCCAUGCAGCCGGCCGACCACGUCGUCGGCUGGGAGGAAUUCAAGACAGCGUUCAAGGGCCAUCACAUCCCUGAGGGUCUUCUGGAGCGCAAGCUCAAUGAGUUCCUGGCUCUCACCCAGGGAGGCCGCGACGUCCUGCACUAUGCGCAGGCUUUCAAUGACCUGUGUCGCUAUGCAGGCUAUCAUGCAGACUCUGAUGAGAAGUAGAGGGACCGCUUCCACAGAGGCUUGAGCCUGGAGCUCAAGGAAAGCCUGAAUCCCAUCAAGGUGGAUUCCUACAAUGAACUGGUGAACCUGGCAAUUUCCCAGGAAGAUUGCAUGAGGGCUCUCAAGGCUGACCUGAAGCGAAAGGCUCCAAUGCCGGCACCCGGCCCACCGGCCCAGAAAUACAAAGUGGUUCCCCCACAGGCGUCUCACAGGCCCGCACAACCUAGGAGAUGGGUUGCUCGACCUCCACCGCAGGCAGCACCUCAUUUCCCUGGAUUCCAGCCGCAAGGGCCCCGACCUACUCUUCCUAUGCCGCCAUGCCUAGUCACUGGAAACCGCUGUUUCACCUGCGGGAACCCAAGACACUUUGCCAAGAACUGCCCCCGCAACAAGAAUCAACGACCCGGUCAGAGCAAUGCACUGAGCAACAAGGGGAAGAAGCCGAGGGUUCAGGUCCGACAAGGCAGGCUGAACUACACCACCCUUGCUGAACUUCCAGAGGGUGCACCAGUGAUGACGGGUACCUUUUCUAUCUAUAACCAACCCGUCCUUAUUCUGUUUGAUUCGGGAGCAUCUCAUAGUUUCAUUGGGACUAGAACCAGUGCUAAGUGUGGGUUAGAUUUCUGUCACACAAAAGGUGCUUAUAUAAUCUCUACCCUGGGUAGGAAAGUAACUUCACACCAAGUGAGCCGCAAGGUGCCUAUCCAGUUGGGGAGAACCCUUUUUAAGGAAAACCUCCUUAUCCUUGGGAUAGAAGGAAUAGAUAUUAUCUUGGGUAUGGAUUGGAUGACUCGACAUCGAGUGGCACUAGACAUCCCUGCCAGAGCCGUCCAUAUAAACUCACCCAUUUAUGGUAGCUCAAUCAUACACUUACCCCCCCGAGAGUGCCAAACUUUUUGUGCCUAUCCCUUGACUGAAGCCCGUUUAGAAGACAUCCCAGUGGUGUGCGAGUAUCCCGAUGUGUUUCUAGAUGAUUUGCUGGGUAUGCUGCCUAAUAGAGAUAUCGAGUUUGCUAUUGAGUUGCAACCAGGUACUGCCCCAAUUUCAAAGAGACCGUACCGGAUGCCACCAGCCGAGCUGGCAGAAAUGAAAGCUCAGUUUCACGAUCUGUUGGACAAAGGUUUUAUUCAUCCAAGUACAUCACCUUGGGGUGUCCCCGCCUUGUUUGUGAAAAAGAAGGACGACAGUCUGCGUAUGUGUCUGGACUACUGCCCUCUCAAUGCGGUGACGAUAGAGAACAAGUACCCACUACCCCGCAUUGAUGUUCUGUUCGAUCAGUUAGCUGGAGCUAGAGUGUUUUCCAAAAUUGACCUCCAUUCUGGCUACCAUCAAAUCAAGAUCCACCCGUGCGACAUUCCUAAGACUGCUUUCUCUACACGGUAUGGACUCUAUGAGUACUUAGUCAUGUCAUUUGGGCUUACUAAUGCACCAGCUUAUUUCAUGUACCUCAUGAAUUCGGUGUUUAUGCUCGAACUCGACAAAUUCAUCGUGGUUUUCAUUGACGAUAUCUUGGUGUACUCAAAGGAUGAGGAAGAACAUGCAGAGCACCUACAUACUGUACUCCAACGCUUAAGAGAUCACCAACAAUAUGCCAAAUUCUCUAAGUGUGACUUCUGGCUGGACAGUGUUAAAUUCUUGGGGCACACCAUAUCCAGAGACGGUAUAGCAGUAGACCCAAGCAAAGUGCAAGAAGUAAUGGACUGGAAGUCGCCCACUUCAGUUCAUCGGAUUCGAAGUUUUCUCGGGUUAGCAGGUUACUACCGUCGCUUCAUUCCUGACUUCUCAAAAAUAGCUAAGCCAAUGACGAAACUGCUAAGGAAGGGAGUUAAGUUCAUGUGGAGUGACAAAUGUGAAGAAGCCUUCCACACCCUGAGACAAUUACUGACCUCUGCGCCGGUUUUAGCUCAGCCCAACACCACUAGGCUGUUUGACGUAUAUUGCGAUGCCUCUAGCACUAGACUGGGUUGUGUUCUUAUGCAAGACAGCCGAGUCAUUGCCUAUGCCUCACGAGCGCUACGGCCACAUGAGUUGAACUACCCUACCCAUGAUCUCGAGUUAGCAGCAAUCGUUCAUGCUCUGAAAUUAUGGAGGCAUUAUCUUAUGGGAACUCGAUGCAACAUCUAUACGGAUCACAAGAGUCUUAUGUACAUCUUCACUCAAGCAGACCUCAACAUGCGCAAGAGAAGAUGGUUAGAAUUAAUCAAAGAUUAUGACCUAGAAGUGCACUAUCACCCAUGCAAAGCCAAUGUAGUUGCCGAUGCUCUCAGCCGCAAGAUCCAUUGUAACUGCUUAUCGGCAAUUAAUUAUGCCGAGACCCUCUGUCAUGAAAUGGCUAAACUCAACUUGGAAAUUGUUCCCCAUGGCACCUUAAGUCAUAUUUCUUUAGAGCCUACCCUGCUUGACCAAAUAAUUUUAGCACAACUAGAGGAUGAAGAGAUAAACCUUAUCAAGGAGAAACUCGCACAGGAGGAUGAGGGAUAUAAGCAUUUCUGAUAGGAUUGGAGAGGAGUGGUACAUUAUGAAGCUCGACUCGUAGUUCCAAAUGAUCCCGAUCUUAGGAAACAAAUUCUGGACGAAGCACACCUUUCCAAGUUCUCGAUUCACCCUGGUAGUACCAAGAUGUACCACAACCUCUGACAAAAUUUCUGGUGGAGUGGAAUGAAACCCGACAUUGCACGAUAUGUUUCAGAGUGUGAUACCUGUCAGCGAGUCAAAGCAAGCCACUUAAGGGUAGCUGGCCCCUUGCGGCCACUGCCUAUUCCCUCGUGGAAGUGGGAGGACAUAAGCAUUAUAGUCAGACUACCCAAUACCUCCCGCAAACAUGAUUCGAUAUGGGUUAUAGUAGACCGACUUACCAAAACAGCGCAUUUUCUUCCAGUACACACCACCCGCGCCAUACAGAAAUAUGCAGAACUGUACCUUGACCGGAUUGUUUCCUUGCAUGGUGUACCUAAGACGAUCAUCUCUGAUCGAGGUAGUCAGUUUGUAGCACGCUUUUGGGAGCAGUUGCAGUUUUCACUUGACACUAAAUUUAUUCGUAGUUCCACAUAUCAUCCUUAAACCGAUGGACAAACUGAAAGGGUUAACCAGAUUUUGGAAGAUAUGCUACGCGCCUGUGCCAUUCAUUAUGACAAGAACUGGGAUAAGUGUUUGCCAUUAGCGGAAUUCUCAUACAACAAUAGUUACCAAGCUAGCCUGAAAAUGGCGCCUUUUGAAGCCUUGUAUGGACGUAGAUGCCGAACCCCGCUAAGCUGGUCGCAACAGUGUAUGGACCUGACCUGGUCAUGGAGGCCGAAGAAAAAGUAAGAGUUAUUCGUGAAAAUCUCAAGGCCGCCCAGUCUCGACAAAAGAGCUAUUCCGAUCAAAGAAGAAGACCUAUCCAAUUUGAGGUUGGGGAUUUUGUAUACCUGCGGGUUUCACCGACCAAAGGCGUACAACGUUUUGGAGUAAAAGGAAAGUUGGCUCCGCGCUAUAUUGGUCCCUAUGAGAUUGUAGAAGUUUGUGGACCCGUAGCGUAUCGAGUUAAACUUCCAGAGAAGAUUGCAGCGAUACACGAUGUUUUCCAUGUCUCACAACUCAAGAAGUGCAUUCGGGUUCCAACUGAAAUCAUCGCCUCGGAAGAAUUGGAGAUUGAACCCGAUUUAACAUACAAGGAGUAUCCUGUUAAGAUCCUUGACCGGAAGGAAAGACAUACUCGUAGGCAAAUGGUAAAAAUGUACAAAAUUUGGUGGAGUAACCAUACGGAAGAUGAAGCGACCUGGGAGACGGAAGAGUAUCUCAACACUAACUUCCGCGGUUUUCUUUUCGACCAGGAAGGUACGUUGCACCGGCCACACUAGUUCCUUUCUGCACUUGAAUCUCGGGGCGAGAUUCCUUUAAGGGGGGUAGGCUGUAACAACUCUACCUAAAUUAAGUGCUUUUAAAUAUAAACCAGUGGCUAAUCACUAAGUUAAAGAAGUAAAAUGACCAUUUUAACCCUAAGAAGCUCUUUUUGGAGUUUGAAAUAAAACUUGGAAUUUUAUAUGCAAACUUAAAAUUUUGCCCAAAUAAGAGUUGUAAAACUUUCAAUUUCAAACAACUUUUGUUAAAGGAACUUUGACUAAUUCGGAGUGGGAGGAAGUCAAAAACAGCAAUCAAAACCGGAGUACUAAAGAACCCUAUAAACCUCCUAAGUCCUGGUUUUCAAAUUUUCCCUCCAACUUUGCAAGCAUUUAUCUCACGAUUUUGUAUCUAAACUCAAGUCAGGCUCUUAAUAAAAGUUGUAGUCCCUCAAGUGUGUUCCAACUUUGUUACACUAACCCAGGUCCAAAUCGGGCCAGAACCUGUUCACAAUCUUGGUCAAAGUGAGGUAAAACAGUCAACUCAUCCCCUGAGCCCCACAACGCUAAGUCUGAAAAACUGCUCAGAGUGCACCUCUUGGCGAGGGCGUUCCUCCAAAUUUUUGAACUAAACUCAAGAAAUAACCUGAAUAAAAGUUUAAGUCCUCAGUUUGGAGAGCAACUCCUUCAAUAACACUUCAGUCUAAUUCAACUUGGAAGCUGCCCUAAAUUCGACUCAAACAUAGCUAAGUUCCUGAAAUUCCACCUCUCCGGCCAAAAUUGGCUAAGUCUGGAUUUCCAGAUUUUUAGCAAACUUUGGCACGAGAUAUCUUCAAAUCCUUUCACAAUCUAAACCAGCACCUUAAACCAAGUUUGAACUACGUCCAGAGUUGAACAAGUUUGUUUAAAGGAGUUUUGGAAGAUGUGUUGCAAAAUCUUAAGUUAGGAUCUCCCAAAGCCGGUCGGGCUUGCUGCCCGAAGGGGGCCUCGACGCCCGCGCGCCAGAGCACGUUCGCCCGCGCGCCACGCGUCGCGUGGCCGCCGGCCACCGGCAGUUCGCCGGCGCCCUAUCACCGGCAAGACAACGAUAGGGCAAGGGCCACGGCGCCCAACCCGCGCUUGCGACAGGACGGUGCGAAUGCCGGGCUAGCGAACCGCCGGCCGCGCGGGUGUCCUUUUCCCCCUGCCACGGCUCUGCUCCGCCAACCGUGCUCCGCCCGUCCGCGGGAGAAGCCGCCACGCCGAUGACAUCCCGCGCCUCCGCCCGCUCGCCCAACCCCAAUGGUAGCCCUCCGCUUCGCCCGCCCGACAGACCGGAAGCCUCAGACACGCAUCGCCCAAGGCCAAUCCCCGCCGGAGACCACUCGGAGCUCCGACUCCUCUGCCCAAUGGCGCCGCUGGCCAAUGGCCGCCUCGCCCGCGCACCCGCCGCACCUGGCCUUAUCCUUCCUCCACCAGAGCCCCGCCUCGACCCUCCGCUCCACCGCUGCCCUAUAAAAAGGUCCCUCUCACCGGCAACGCCACCCUUUGCCACCACCCACAAUCGCGCCACCGCUUCCUCCUCUGCGCCGCCACUAAUCUUCCGUGGAGCUCACCCCUCCGCGCCACCCCGCACUCCGGCGACUUCACCGCUUGCUUUGCCAACCCACCGCGCACGUCUCCGAGCAGCUCGUGGCCUCCCCGACGCCGCCGAUGCGCCGGAACGUCGCCUGCACCGCCGCCAGCCAAGCUCUGUUGCCGCCGCCGCGUUCCGAUCCCCGUCGGCCAUCUCCGUCGCCCCAACCCCGCCAAACCGAGCUCAGGUGAGCCCCCGCACCUCUCCGGCCACUUGUUGCCCCAUCCUCGCCGGCGAACCGCCGGGGAUUUCCUCACCGCCGCCGCGCGCGCCCCGGGGACCACAUUGCAUCGUCCCCAUUCUUUCCAGGGGCUUGAGCGCAAAACUCAAGGACCCCUGUGUAGUUAAACCUUAAACCCAGGGGCUUGCUUGCAAGUUUGCCACGGCUUUUCUUUUAAAUAAUAGGCAGAAAUAUGGUUGAACUUUGUAAAUGCCCAGUAAAUCGUAGAAAAAUCAUAAAAAUGCCAAACCACUUUUGCUAGGAUCCUUGCUCUGUCUAGUUCCUAAGAAAAAUAAGUUUGCUCAUGUUAAUGUUGUAAAUAAUAUCCUAUGCUUUUAAUCAUGUUGUAGGCCUUUUAAAUCCUAAUAAAUAGAAAAGUGGGAAAAAUGUGGAACCAACUCUGUGAUGCUUGUUUCUAUGUGUAGAAGCUCAGAAAAAUGGUUCGGGCUCUGGUCUAGCAUUUUAAGUCACUGUUUCGACUUUAAAUUGGGAAUCUAAAUAUAAAUCUUCCUUUUUGCAUAAGUUUUGAUCUAGAGCUCAGAAAAAUGUGAAACUAGUUGGGUUAAUUUUGUUUUGCUGUGAAGUUUGCUGGAAAAAUAUAAAUUGUUGUGCAAAUCAGAAAGAAAAACACCUUCCUUGCUAAGCAUGUUUAAUUAAGAAAAGAAAAGGAGUAAAUAGUAACCUUCUCCAAAAAUUAUGAAAAAUUCACCAAAGCUCCUGUAACAUACCCUUAACACACUGCUUAAGUUUCACCCUCUGUUGCACAGUAACUUUGAAGAUGGAAAAAGUUAAGCUCAGUUUACCUUUAAUAAUAAAAUGCAUGUAACUUCUUUUUAAGUCAUCCUUUGGCCCCCAAACUUUUACAGUAACCUAGUGAUGGCUUAAGUGAGGUGCUGUAAUUUUAUCAAUGCCUUUAACUACUAUUUGGAUAUGAAGUCAUUUUGGUUAAUUAAUCAACCUAAAGGAAUAAAAGGAGAGCGCAAAUUCUAAUACGAUAAAUAAGUGGACACUGAAAGAGGUACAUCAAAACAUUCAGAAGUAAGUAAUUAUUCCAAUGCACCCAAACCACCCAACACGACCUUUCACACUCUUUAUGCAACUCUAAAUGCAAGAAAGCUAUAUAUGUACACAAUCGCCAUUCAACGCGAACUCAAGUUUAAAACGACCACUUUCGUUUGAAGUUAAAAGAAAGUAAACCUCUCCAAAGUGUUUGUGGCUGUUGUGACUCUUGUCUUAAGCCAUGCCUUGUGUCGUUGAAUAAACGCGCGAGUCCAACUAAAUUUUUGCAUGUGCAUGUCGUAUAGAAGCAAAUCUCGCCGACGGAACCUACGAGCUCCACCCGGCACCAGAGAAAGACCCCGCUGCGGAGCUUCACCACUUGGAAGGCGAGCCCAAACCGGAGCAAGAUCCUAAGGACCCGCUAACUUUUCCUGAAGGCAAGCCCCGGAGCAUAAAUUCCUAUAUUUGAAUACUUGCAAUAUUAUUGAACACUUUGAUUGCGCAUUUACGUUUAUAGGAGUUGUAAUGAAACCUUAGAUGCAUGUACUAGUUGCUAAAGUCGAGUAGUUGCAAUGCUUAAUAGGUUCCGGUAAAAGUCGAGUGAUUUCCUAUCACUCGCGAGUUAUAAGAGUUGAAUGUUUACUUAUGUUGCAACUAUAAGGACGAUGGACAGGGUCGGGCUUAUGUUCGAUACUUGGUGAUUUUCCCCGUCUGUCUAAAGGAAAUUUAUCUAAGGUCGAAACGUGUCGGCGUUCGUGAUCAAGUGUUUGAAAGUACUAAUCUCAUACCUAGUAUGGGAUGGGGAAGCCUAGUACCUGAUUGAACUGGGGCGUGGCAUACUCCCCCGGCUGUCCUUGGAACACCGUUCCCAUGGUGCAUCAUGUGGGUGCAAGUGCGGUUAUAGUACGGCAGAGGCCGGGAUUAUGGAGCAUUGCAUGCCAAUGGCAAUUGGCCCUGACACGUGCCUAAGGGAUUGAUGGGGACGGCUGACAAAUGAAGCGACCCUUCGUGGUGCGCAGAUGUCGUGAGAUUAGGUUCGCCAUGCAUGGUUAAUAAAUUCAAAUCGAUUCGGCUGCCUCUCACAGUUUGGGACUACUUGAUCGCUAUUCUGCACUAAGUAACAAUGAAACAUGAUUAUGAGAUUAAGUUGAUGCUUGUUAUUUAACUGCUUGGAAAUCAUGCUUGUUUAGCAUAAGUGGCUAAUCUAGAAUGGUUAAAGAACGUAGAACUUGAGCUAAAAUAUUGAAAGUAAGGACCGAUUGUAGACGCUUGUGGCAAAGAAAUCGCAGAGCCAGGAAGCCUUGCAUGUCUAGGUCUUGGUAAAGCUUUUCACUCGACGGGUCAGUCUUGUUGAGUAUUAGUUGCUCAGCCUUGUUGUGGCUUAAUCUUUUCCGGUGAUGUCAAUAGUUUGGUUGCGGGCACCACUUGGCCUACCCAGCUCCCUCCGGGCUGGACAGUCGAGUGGGAUCCCUCCUCGGACGGCGAGGGAAGGGAUUUUUGAUGUCAUGAUUGGCUCCGUCGUGAUGUCAUGUAUCGACGUUUAGCUUCCGCUUUUUUUAUCUGACUUUUCGAACCUUGCAACUUGUUUGAAUUUUCAGAAACUCUGAUGUAAUAAUUUGUGAAACUAAGUAAUGUGAUGGAAUGUUGUAAUCUCUGUGCUACUCACCUUCGUGUGAGCGAUACUUCUCGAUCCUAUUUAGGUGGUUCAUCGGAUGAAAUCCGACGGUCGACCAGGUUGACUUGCUUAAAGUGCAUGAUCGUGUGUCAGGCGACUUCAAUGCAUUUUAGUCAGGUUAAUUUGGGCGGUUCCGCCACAGCAAGCCCCCGAGGACGAGGACCGGCAAAGCCAUGAACGCACGCUGACCAGAGUUAGGCGUCCAGCCCCCGAGCAUGAGCGCAAGGACUGGUGGAAGCACGUCGAGUUGCCUCCCGCCCUAAGCCGAGGCAGAGAGGUUGGCUGGGCGACGGGCGACACGUGGAGUCAUCUACGGUACCUAGCCGCCGAGCCUGGGAGCAGGACGAGUUGCAAAAGCAUGCCAAGUUGCCUCUUGCCCUGAGCUAGCAAGGUCGACCGGGUGACGGGAGGCACGCCAAGUCAUCUGCGGUGCCCAGCCCCCGAGCCUUGGAGCCGGCCGAGCCACAGAAGCACGCCAAGCCGCCUCCCGCCCCGAGCUAGAGAGGUCAGUCGGGCAAUGGGAGGCACGCCGAGUCGUCUGCGGUGCCCAGGCCCCGAGCCUAGGAGCCGGACGAGCCACAAAAGCAUGCCAAGUCGCUUCCUGUCCUGAGCUAGAGAGCUCGGCCGGGUGACGGGAGGCACACCGAGUAGUUUUUUGAGCUGUAAAAGGACAAUACAAUCAUUAUGUAGCAUAAUGUAGAUUAUUUAAUCAUUGAACAACUCGGAAGUUUAAUACGCUGUAGAAGUAAACUCUUGCUAAUCCUGCUCUUGUAGGCCAAGUAAAUUCCCCAGGUAGUUAGCUUAUUACGUUCAAGCACCUAGCCCUACUAACCACUGCUCAUGGAGAGGAUAGUUUAUCUCAGGCUAUAGCGCUGGGGCUGACCUGAUGCUCGCAUAUAGGAGACGCGCAGGAUGAGUCAAGGUUUCACGGAUUAAGGCGUGUGCUACCCGAGUACUUUAGCAACCGUUAACAGGGACGGAUAAGCCGCAAAGCAACUGGAGCUAUGCAAAAAAGCACCAGCAUGAGCUGGGCACCCAUGGGGUGUAGCCCCCGGCCGCCCGUGUAGUGGGUGGACCAAGCUGUAUAAGUAGGCACGGUGCGACCAAGGUGGUCGGCGAAAGUCACGAGGACAUAGGAGAGCUGAGGUGGUCGACAAAAGUCACAGGAACAUGGAGGAGCCGAGGUUUAUGUAGGUAUACGGAAGUCGUAAAAUAUUUAAUUAUAAAUAAGACUUAUCCUUAUUUGUGGUCAAGUCAAAAAACCCGCGUGUCAUCUUCGCGUUUAGGCUUAGAAGCCCCUGAGCGUGGUCGUCGGAUAGUUGUUGGUGAAGCAAACUAGUUGGGCAUGCCCAACUAAUUCAUGUCGAGGCCGAGUUGUUGGAGUUGUUAGCGGCACGUUUGUGGUAUGCUACUGCCGAGUCGAUGCGGCCAUCGGGUCGUGGCCGGCUGGCCGCCACGCUCACAGUACAACAUGCCUAGGUUGUGCUGCCAAACCAAGGGUGCAUGUAAAUCUUUCCGAAGCUUGUAAGGAAGCCCUCACAUAUUAAGGAACUCUAUACCUAAUACCAUCAUGGUUGUUUUGCAAAAAAGUCUCUCAACUUUUUUGUAAUCAACCCGCAGUCUUUGGAAUGUCUUGAAGAUUGUGCAAAAAGAUCCCCAAACUUUACUGCAAUUGGCCAUCGAAGCUCCCACAGCGUGCACCUAUGCCACAUGCGGUGCGGACGGGUGUGCCGGCUGCGACUGCAAGCUCCUCGCUGCGGCAGGGACCAGGUCGAGCAGCGACAGCAAUGACGAAGGGGAGUAGUCUGCGUCUGCGUGCCAUGCCACCGUCACCGGGCAAGCUGUGGUAGCGGCGGAGUGGGAGAGUGAGUCCAUUGGCGUGUGGAGGGUGCCGUGGGGCAGGUGGGUGGCGGAGAUCUGCAACCCACACCUCGCUGUGUGCAAGUGGCUCAGCACCUUCGACACCACUGAGGACGCCGCGCGUGCCUACAACGUCGCCACCGUCGAGUUCCGAGGCUGCUGUGCCAAGCUCAACUUCCCCGACGAUGCGGCUCUCGCACCUGCACCUUCCUAGGUGCUGACCUCGACAUACCAACACCACCACCACCUGCCGCAGCCGCUGCUCGAGAGCCUGCACGAGACCUGCGGGUCGAACGCAUCCUCAUCAGUGGACGUGGCUCUUGUGGUAGCGGCACCGACUGGGCAGCACGACACGAGGCCGGUGCCGAAGGAGCAGGACAUAUGGGACACGCUAAACGAGUUCAUGAUGAUGGAUGACGGUAGCUUCUGGUCGCCCAUGCCAUGAUCGUCAUAUUCUCCUCUUGUCUUCACUUUCGUUGCUUAGCAGAUAAUGGUGGUCAGCUGCCCUCUAGUCUGUCGUCAAUCGCCAGCCAUCCAUUGCUUUUAUAUGGUUUUACACUAGCUUUUGGGCUUUGAUCACACCUCCACACCCAUACGAAACGACUAGCUAGAGCGAUGUUGAUCUACUGCCUACCGCGCGCUAGGGCGAGCAGCUACUCACUCGGGCUGCAUGCCCUACCCACCACCUGGACCUAAGAGGUGAAGGAGAGAGGAGGAAGGGGGAAGGAAACAAGGAGCCGAGUGCCUCUUUGUAGUCAACCAAGUAGAGCCAUAUGCUAGUGAAGGCAUGGCGCCAGCGAGGGGGGCGCAGCGGCAGUCGGCAGGCAACGCAAACAGGGGCGGAGGUCGAGACCUCACACCCCCCUCUCAAUGACGUCCAUCCCCUUCAGAUCCGGAACUAAAGCCUCCACACCUAGCAAUUGGGGGCUCGAUUUUGCACUUGAUUGGAACGAUUUGGAGUGGAUUAUAGAAGGGAGGUGGAUGGAAAUGAGAAGAAGAGGAAAACGCACUCCUGCUCAUGGUGGCCAGAGGCACUGUGGCCUAGCGCUCAAAGCGGGAAUGAGGCUAGGCACGGGAAGGACGAGCGUUUGCCUGGGCGACGACGAGGAUGGCAAGAUGCGCAGCGCUUAGACGACGGUGAAGAUGGGGCAAGAUGUGGGUGGCACCGAUGGACGAAGAGGCAUCGACUGGUUAGAUGAUAAUGAGUACGGGGAAAAUUGAAUGAAUUUAUAGAGCGGUGGUUGAGCGGUGAUUUUUUUUGUUUCCAUGUGUGGGUCCCACGUAAUAAACAGAUGGCAUCAAACCACCCACAAAUAUCUUCUACUACUGUACUCGGACACCGCACCAACAUAUGGUGAAGUGAAGCUAACAUAUUAGAAACAAGCGAAUAAUAAUGUGAGAGUAAGUAAAGACCUGUAGUAACGUACGGGUAUUUCUGCUAGUAAGAAAAAAAAUUGUUAGUAAGCACCGAGCAACGUAGGAGAUCUACUGGAUGGAAUAGAUUAAAUAAUAAAGGGAAGGGAGAAUUGUUCUCUUUUUUUUCCGUGGCAGAUCUGACGUGUGUGCAUGCAACAAGUUGAGGUCGACGUGUCGUGCUAAAUCAACCAGAUCGUACCGGGGCUGGAUCAGGCGAGCUUGGUUGUGGCCGGGAUGAGGCCAAUAAGGGCGCCGCCCUUGACCUUGGCCUCCUAUUCCUCGCGGAUCUUCUGCAUCUGGAGCAUCCGCUCCAUGAUGAGCUUGUACUGGCACUUCUCGCAGGCGUGGCGCUCGGGCUCGCACUUCCAGCGGAGGUAGAACUGGGAGGUGCACGCACUGGUCAUGGUAGGCGAGUGGAACCCGAGCCUCCGCCAUCUCCACCUGCGUGACGAUCUGGAGCUUCGAGGAGCCGAACUGCACGCCGCCCGCCGCCUCCAUCUGUCACUUUGUUCCCCUCUCUCUCACUGGCGAGGUCGUUCCGUCGAUAUAUGGGCGCUGCGGGUUUGGUGCGGCGUGGGUGGGUAGGGUGCAGCAAGGAUGUGAGGAACCCUCUCGGAUAGAGAGAUUGCUGACCUACUGGGUAAGCGGUGUGAUGAUCCUUGGAUAGAGAACUUGCUCCACCAGAGUAAAUCUGACAGAUGCCGAGCUGGCGGCGGGCACCAAGUCGAAGUCCACUGACAUGCUCCUGAAGCGAAGCUGGAUCGGGUUGGUGAGAAAGUCCUUCAUGCUCUCAGGGAAAGUAAUGCCGGGGCGGGAUGCAAUCAAGCUCGCUAGGGAGGAUCUCACAAUCAUCCCUACCUGGCGCGCCAACUAUUGGAUUUAUAAGCCCGAUAGUCCACCAGGGGGUUACCCAAGUUGUUGAUUUGUAGGUGAGGGCGAUUGCGAAACCAAGAACUCUAAGGUGAUCGUGAAAACACGAAGGGACACGAAGGUUUUAGAUAGGUUGGAACCUCCGAAGAGUAAUACCCUACGUCCUGUAUGCUGGUUUGUAUUGCUUGAGAUUGAUAUGAUUGUUGGGAUACCCUUGGGGGUGCCCUUGGCCGCUUUAUAUAGGCUGACGAUCAAGAGUUACAAGUCAGUUUGAAUCUAAUCUACUCGAUAGUUACAUGGAAAGUAAUCUGAGUAGGACUAUAAUACGCGUUCCAUGAUAUUCGGCAUGUUUGAAUUGUCUUGUUGCUUUGACGUGCACUCCAAGUAACUUCAUGUCCUCAGCCCGUACGCCUUGGUCGAGUGGGCCCUACUUGUCAGGUAUGACCAGUAUCCUGAGGUACCCAUAUCUCUCACCUUGGUGCUCCGGCGAUUAGGGUCGGCAACGAGGAUGGGGAUUGGAAGAGGAGAUCGAGGGGACUUUAUGGAGAUGCUUACCGGCGGCGAGGUGGACGGAUUCCGGCUAGAAUUUGGCUGGCGGUGGAAGAACACGGCAACUGGCUCAGGUCUUCGCGAGUGAUGGUACUCCGGCGGUGGAGCGGCGACGAAGAAUGGUGGCAGAGCUGCUCCUCGAUGUCACGGAGCUCCCUAAGGCUCUAGCUUUCUUCGAUAGUCGACGGGCAUAGUGAAUCGGCCAGAGAAGGCUAGCAGCAGCUCCUAGCUCCGGCGGAUGUGGGGGAUGGCGGCGCUCGUGCAAGUAGGGAAGAGCGGCGGUGUGAGGCAGGGCAGUAGCAGGGGCACUGUCUCGACUUUUAUAGGUGUGUGGGUCCGCGCCUGCCUUGGCACGCACGCCGAGGUUCGGCGGUGGCGACGCCCAAGUGCAGCUACGCUUGGCCUUGACCCGCUAGUGGCCGAUGGGCCUAGCGAGCCUAGCCGAGCCAUCAGCUGGGCCGAGUCGGUGCAGGUUGGCUGGAGAGGGUCGGGCUACAAAGACUUGGCCCGAUCGAUUAGGAUUUUGCUUUUUUAGAAAUGAUUUCUCAUGAAAGAAAAAUCUAGAAAAAUUCUAGAUAAUUAAUUUAAAUAACGAAAAAAACCCUAAAAAUCCAAAAUUCCAGGAAAAAUCCUAGAGAUAGUUUGGGACAUGAGGAGUCCAAAUAAAAUACUUGGAGCUCAUGAAAAGGAUUCUAGAACCUUCCAAAAAUUGGAUUUAGCUAUAGAAAAAAUGAGAAUAAAUCUCAAAAAAUCUGGAAAUUCUCAUAAGAACCUAAUCGGCAUCUAAACGCAUUCCAAAAUAUUUGCACUUAUGAAAUACCAAGAUGCAUCGGUAUGAAUGCAACACAUACGGAGAACCAUUAUAUUUAAUUCAGAAAAACACUCAAUUAUUUCCCUAUACUAAAUUUCCUGUCAAGAAAAUAAAUGUUGGAAAAAUUUUAAAAUUAUGAGAAAAACAUUGUUUAAUUAUUAUUUUUAAUCUGAAAGUUCAAAAAUUUUAAGGUGUGGCAGAUACCCUCAGGUUUACAGAAUUUGACAUCCAUGUGCAAAUUGGAUGUAUCCUUCAAUGAUCUGCAAGGUGAAGUGCCAAUAGGGCUUUUUUUUUGCAAAUGCAUCUUACAUGUCGGUUUAUGGAAAUGAUCAGCUUUGUGGUGGAAUACGUCAACUUCAUUUAGCUCCAUUCUCCAUGUCCAGUGCAAAAAAGAAAAAAAAGGAAAUUUGUCGAAAACCCUUGUGAUCACCCUAACAUCAAUCAGUGCAGUUGUAUUCUCAGUUUCAGUACUUGCUGUAAUUGUGUUGAUCUGUAAGAAGCUUAGGAAAAGGCAUGAAAGUCAACUCAUAUCCACAACUGAGGAACGGUAUGAAAGAGUUUCUUAUCAUGCUUUGUCAAAUGGGACCAAUGGAUUUUCAGAGGACAAUUUACUUGGACAAGGAAGCUAUGGCAUGGUUUAUAAAUGUACUUUACAUGACCAGGGUACUACUGUAGCUGUAAAGGUGUUUAACAUAGAACAAUCUGGGACUUUUAGAAGUUUUGUCGCUGAAUGCGAGGCACUCAGAAGGGUGCAUCACCGUUGUCUCGUAAAGAUCAUCACUUGUUGCUCAAGCAUCAAUCACCGGGGUCAAGAGUUCAAGGCACUAGUUUUUGAGCUCAUGCCAAAAGGUAGCCUAAAUGGUUGGCUUCACGCAGAGUCUGACACACUUACCCCGACAGAUACUCUGAGCCUUGAACAAAGGCUACACAUUGCUGUCGAUAUCAUGGAUGCUUUGGACUAUCUUGAUAAUCACUGUCAGCCAUCAAUCAUUCAUUGCGAUCUCAAGCCAAGCAACAUCUUUCUUGCGGAAGACAUGAGUGAGUGCCCGAGUUGGAGGUUUUGGCAUAUCAAGAAUCCUUCCAGAAAGUGCUAGUAAAACCCAGCAAAAUUCGAAUAGCACAACUGGAAUAAGAGGCACCAUUGGUUAUGUUGCACCAGGUAAUGAAAGAGAUGGUUUUGGUAUUUGAAAAAUGUUCUUAGUUCUUAUGUAUACAUGAGCUGCUGACCUUUGGCUUUUUUUUUUCCAAUAAGAGUAUGGUGAAGGUUCUUCUGUCUCAACUCAAGGUGACGUUUAUAGCCUCGGCAUAUUGCUGCUUGAGAUGUUUACUGGAAGGAGCCCAACGGAUGAGAUAUUCAAUGAUUCUUUGGAUUUGCACAAGUUUUCAGAGAAUGCUCUUCCAGAGAGAAUAUGGGAUAUAGUUGAUCCGACAAUAUGGAUGCACACAGAUGCCUAUAACAGCACUAUAAGAAGUGGAAUUAAGAAUUGCUUGGUUUCUGUUGUUUCUCUUGGAAUAUCAUGCUCGAAGAAACAACCUAGGGAGCGGAUCCCGAUUCAGGAUGCAGCCAUUGAGAUGCACGCUAUUAGAGAUUCGUAUCUCAAGUUUGCCAGAUCUCUUUUGGUGGAGCAUGGAGUAGUAGCAACAACUCACAGUGAUUUCCCACAACAGUGAAUACAUAGGACUGAAAAUGGGCAAGAUGUCUGCAGGUGAUCAGUUUACCUGAAAUAACUGAAGAUGUAUGAAGCUUCAGCUUUAUAAUUCGUCCUUGCAUUUGUUUGCAUCAGAUAUAUGGAAGUAUAAAAUAAGUUUAGAAAAUGUUUCAAAAUAGAUUAGAUCAAGAGGUUUUACUUGUCGUCUGUAUGACACAUUUUUUGUAGAGAAUUCAGUAAUAUGUAUGAUUCAUAAUACAAUCAAUGCUCUGCAAAUUUCAGAUAGCACAAUUGGAAUAAAAAGCUCAUUCAUUGAUUAUGUUGCUCUAGGUGACUCAACUUAUUGUGAUGUUCACUGUAGAUUUCUCCAUGGUCCAAACGACCAUUGUGAUCAGUUAUGUUUAUGCAUUUUGUAGACUUGUUAAGUCUUUCCCUAACUUGCUGACAUAUCAGCCGGAGCAGAGCACUCUGCCAUUCUGCGCCACUCGCCUCUAGGCGGCGCUUGCCGCUUGGUGGCUGCGGUGGCGACCGGCGGCAUCCGUACCUGCUCUGUCGGAGGCUGAGGGGCACAAUUACGUCUUGGAGUCGCCACCGCGCGACCUUCGGAGCUCGCCCAUGCCUCGUCGGUACGAGCUCAGUCGCGCGGUGAAUGGCAUGCGCAUCUGGGGUCCCGUCAGCUGCAGGUGCAGAUGGGUAGAGAGCUUAGCUGCGCUAGGUCUUCAGAAGAUGUUGAGUGGGCUGGAUGGGGCUUUGCGGCUCUGAAUGGCGACGCGGGCAGGACGACGACGCUGGACGCGUGGGGAGGAGACGACCUGAACCAGGGGCAUUUCGGAUAAUAGUCGGAUCGCGAUCAAUAAUCGCAAUCCAAAUUAGGGGGCUAUUUACAAAUAAUAGGGGGUAUUCCGUAAAUAUUCGGUUCGCGAUCAUUAAUCGCGAUCCAAAUGAGGGGUUAAUUGAAAAUAUGAUGGGGGUGUCUUUUGAAAUUCCGGAUUGCGAUCCCAUCCUCCGCCGCGGCUCGCCGGAGCGCCGCCAGACGCCGGCCGUCCCUUGGGGUACCUCUUCUUCGUUCCGUCUGUCGGAGCCCUAAGACGCGGUCGGUGUUUUAUCUGACAAGGAACCCUGAAGUCCGAACUAACUGAAGAAAGACAUGAUGCUGACCUGGAAGAAGAAGACGGCCUCGCCAUGGCCGGAUGCGGCGCGGUGGAAGGACAGUGUGUUGGCGGAGCGGAUGUUGUCCGACGUGAACUCGCCAGCGGCGUGGUCCACCACAUUCCGUCGACGGGCGGUGCACUUGCUGUCGCCUGUCGGCUACUUCCAGGCAGUAGCUGAGCUUCAGAGUUCAGACAGGGUGCUUGUGCUUGCAACAAGUUCAGAACGAUGUCAUUGCUUUGAUGCAGAGGAUGGAGCAAACCGGUUGCAAAUUGGAUUCUGAUACAUAUAACUUAAUAUUGAACCUUUAUGUCGAUUGGAAAUAUGAGAAGGGGUGCCCCAAAUAUGGGAUGAGAUGGAGAGGAGUGGAUCAGGCCCAGAUCAACGAUCAUUUACUAUUAUGGUUCAUGGUCUUCAUUCCCAAGGAAAGCUUGAUGAGGCUCAACAAUGAAGUCAAGAGGGUUGAUCCCUGAACCAAGGACCAAGAUACUGGUGAAAGCUAUACAUAUGAAGAAAGAUGGGGCUGUCACAGAAGAUCAGUCUGUAAAUAUGACAGGGAAGAAUCUAAAACUGGAUCCACGAUCUAGACUAUUCCAUGUUCAUAAAUAGUUUGCUGUCAGAUCUUACUUCUAUAACCUGAACAGAGGAUUGCUGGGCACGUAUUAUGUGUCAAAAGAAUCUCUUCUACCAGUGUCCUGAUCACAAUGGCCACACCUUGGGCUACAAUAAAUCAUCAGCAAAGUGUGUUGGCAUUAUGUAUCCCAGAAAGUUUUGCUCAGACUUUCAAUGCCAGGGUAUGUUUUUUAUGUCUGAUAUGGAUCAAUUAUAUUGCAAGUACUGUAUUACACCCUCGUAUUAUGAAGGUUAUGUGAAAUAUGACAGAUGUUUGUUUAUUCAUUUGUUAUGCAUGGCUGUGUCUACUAUCUAGUUGUUGGCUUGUUGCCAACAUAUGCAGCAGCAGGUAGCUUCAGCCGCUCAGAAGCCCAAAUGAAGAAUGGUCCAGGCAGAAUAGCUAGUCUAGACCCAGAAAGCUUAGGACAUGUCUUGCCAGCCUGCAGUUUUGUACUCGUAGCACCAACCAUCUCCGGGUUCUGGCCGGUUAUAUACAUGGUCUGGAAUGGGCAUCCGCUGAUCGAUUGAAACCUUGAACUGCUUCCGUGUUUGUCUUUUACCAUCUAUAUAGUAUGGUUAGUCAACGGCAUGCAAUACACCCAUGCAUAUGAUUGCAGUAGGAUGACAUGGCGUGACCAGAACCCUUCUUUUGCCAGUUUUUUAUUCUUAUACACGGCCAACAACAGGGAGUUGCCGAUUGCAAUACACCCAUGCUACUAACGCAGCAGGGAGUUGCAUGCUAAGCAGUUCAGCGUAGGUGGUGAGUUCUCAACUCUGAUAUGGUUUAUGGAAGAACACUGUCACGGUGUCACCUAGCCGGUUGGAGGCCAACCUCUUACUAGGGACAGCAAUGGCCCUGUCCACUGUUUCGUGGCUGGUAUUAUUACCCCUAUGCAGUGAAUAUGACAUGUGGAUCUAUGUGUAUAUUAUGUCGCCAGAAGAACAUUAUAUGAACCGUUGAGCCACCUUUGAUUCUAUUAAUGUGUCAUGGUCAAUUGAUGUCAAACUCUAUUAUCUUCAAGUCUUAUUGUAUUGAUAAAAUCACGAUGCUGCUACUGCCAUUUUGAUGUUUAUAAAAGGGUAUUGAGAACCUGGUGGGUAUCCAUUCGAUGCGCAGGGGUGAGGGUGGGGAAAAAUGAGUGUAAAGGACAGGGAUACAGUAUUUAGAAAGAUGGGGCUGCCACAGAAGAUAGUCUCCAAGUACGGCAGGGAAGAAUCUAAAAACUGAUUCCUUGAUCAAGACUGUCCCGUAUUCAUAAAUAGUUCACUGACAGAUCUUGCUUCCAUAUUCUGAACAGCUGAUGCUGGGUACAUAGGAGGUUAACCGGUCAGCGGAUCGAAGGAAAAAAAAAUCUUGCCUGUCAGUGUCCACAAUGGCCUCAUCUUGGGUUAGAGACAAUCAUCCCUAAAGAAUCAUAUUGCCGGAUAAGGUUAUCAGUGAUUGGUAGGUGCAGAUCCAUGCUCAUCCUAGAAACAAGCCAGGGCUGAAUGCGCCACUCAUUUUAGGUGCUUGGAUGUUGUGACCGAAAUGAUCGUGUGUUUAAUGGAGUUUCCCAUAGUGACUAGCGUACAGGCUGUCCUCGUAUUCGAGAAAAAAAAUAAUGGGCGAAAUGUUUUCACCCAGGUAAUUGUUGCAUUGUAUGAAUAGGCUUAGUGGUUGGUGGGUGCAGAGUAUGAAUGUGCUUGUACUGUGACACAAGAAGAUUUAUCAUAUCUAUGUAUGAAUUAGUAUUAAAUCUGCUACAUAAAUAUCUUCUCUUAUCUCAUUGUAUGUGUAUAUAUGACACAGAAGCACAUGUAUAUCAGCAUUGUAGAGAGAGAUGAGAGAGAAGCUUAUCUGCUUUUUGGAGAUAAAUAUUCAAAUUGUGGUGUAUGAGAAGGAUAGAAUUAUUCUAUCAAAUUGUUUAUUCAACAUCUAAAAAGAUUCCAUGUUUAGUCAUCUAUAUCGGCAUUGUAGAGAGAGACUAGUGUUCAACUGGUUGGAAGGAUGAGAGAGAGAGGAGAGAGAGAGGAUGAAUAGUGUUCAGCUGGUUGGAAGGAUGAGAGAGAGAGAGGAGAGUUUCGAUGAUAGAGAGAUUAGUGUUCACCUGGUUGGAAGGAUGAGAGGGAGAUGAGAGAGUUCGGAUGAGGAGGUGGAGAGUUCGGAAGAGAGAGAGGUGAGAGUUCGGAUGAGAGAGAAACAGCUUAGAAGGAUGAGAGAGAGAAAGUGAUAUUUAGCUGGAUGGUGGAGACUUCAUAUAUUACUAACUAGCAAGGUGUCCGUGCGUUGCUACGGUGAAACGACGUUGCUUAGCACGCGAUGUUUUUUAUCGUGUCGUGUAGCGCACCAUAUUUUUUAUCGUGUUGUGUAACUUUUUUAUUUUAGUAGUAUUAGACUUUUCAUAUAUAAAGGGUCACGUGAGUGUGUCCAUAUCCCAACCGUGCGGAAACCGCUUGCCAUCGAACUUGUUAUCUCUUUCUCUAUCUUGAGAUUGGUAUGCUUCUACAGCAAUUCUGCACAAAGAAGGCCCCACUUCGCCCCGUUCCCGCCGUCCGGUUAGUCCCACGCCUACCCUCUCCCUCUCUGAUCCUCGCUGUCGGCUCCUCGAGGUCCAGGUCGGGCUUGUGAUGUAGCGGCCUGUUAUCCUUCCACCAUUGGAAGCGGGUAGUGAUCGCUGCUCUGUGAACCCUGCCUCACGCCGUUCCUACCACUCCAGGUCCAGUGAAGCCUGAGCUUUCGCUUGGACAAACAGCCACUACCAACUUGGAACGGGCAGGGCCAGCAAGGGCAUACAAUGGACCCAAGCCCUCCGCACCCAAACAUCCACACCACUUUAAUGCCUCCACUUGGGUUACAAGCCCGCGCAACCAAGCUCGGUGAGGAUGACUCGUGAGGAUGAACAUUUAAGUUGGUGUGGCGCUGCUUCAGAUGGCGAGGUGGUACUAAUCUAAGGAAUAGGAAAAUUUCACAUGGGUCCCACACCGCACCCAGCCCUAUCCUUAUCCUUUCUCAUCUCUCUAUCGUCCGUCCGGUCCUUAUCCUCUUCAUCUCAUCUCUCUCUCUCUCCCUAUCUCUCUCUCAAACUCUCUAUCUCGCCUACCCCCUCUUUCUCUGGAGAAGGCGGUGCACGGCUGGCCCCAGUGAUGGCCUGGGGGCGCGGGGUGCCAAUAGCGGCCGAGGGUUGUAGGGCUGCGGCGAGGAGCCUCCCAGCCGUGGAUGCGACGGCCUAGCCAUGGGCACCGGGCAGGCGGCUCUGGCACGACCGGCUGGGGCGGGCAGGGAGAGGCGAACAGCAGUGCUACGACGUCACGAAGAGGCGGACGUCGGGCAUGGGCGGGUGAAAGGGGAGACGGGGAAAGAAAGCUAGACCCACCUAUCAAUGCGUUAAUCUUACCUAUUAUUAAACAUCAGGGCCACCUCUCGUUGAUAGAAGUUGGACCAAACAAGAAAAAGUGGGCAGAAGUGUUCCUCACUUUAAUAAUAAUAAUAAUAAAGUAUAGAUAAUGCAUCCAAACAACAUUCGAAAUUUAAUUUUAAAAAAAACUUUCUCGGUACAUCCAAACAAGAAAAUUCAAUUGAAUUAAAUUCUACUAAAUCCAUUUCUUAUGGAAUCUAAUAGCUAGAAUAUGAUUCAUGGGAUGAGUUUCAACUCUAGGGAUCUAAACAUGCCCUUAGUUAUUUCUUAUGUAGCUCAAAUCAGAUGCAAGGUAUGUCCUAACUAAAAAACGUAAGUUACUUUGUGUUAUCUCGUGAAUCAGUGAUUAAUUACUUCCGAUCACUAGUAGAGAAUUGGCUUUCGAUGCGCCCCCUUUUGUCCCGGUUUAAAGUUGGCCCGGGACAAAAGGUUCACCAACCGAGACUAAAGCUCGGUCACUGGUGGGGGGCUCACCAACCAGGACCUUUUAUCCCGGUUGGAAAGGCUAGUGGGAAAAAAAGAUCAUGAGAGGCUUUUUAUCCCGGUUUGAAACACCAACCGGGAUAAAAGACCCAUCUAACUAUAUAGGGGAUGUUACCAACCAGGAUAAAAAGGGUCGAGAGCCUUUUAUCCCGGUUUGUAAUACCAACUGGGAUAAAAGGGGGUCAUUUAUCCCGGUUGGUGUUUCAAACCGGGAUAAAAGGGUCCCAACGAGGUGACUGAAACAUGACUAAAUCCUGAACCCUUUUAUCCCGGUUUGUAAUACCAACCGGGAUAAAAGGGGGUCUUUUAUCCCGGUUGGUGUUUCCAACCGGGAUAAAAGGGUCCCCCACAAGUUAAUACAAAACGAUAACAUCCCCUAUAUAGUUAGAUGUGGUGUGUAGGUGGGAUGGCAAGGAAGCUACGCGCGAGGCUGGAGGUUGUGGGUUCGAAUCCCAUGCAGCGCGCACGCGCAUAUUUCGCGUGGAAAAUCGCGUGACUUGCGACGCGCGUGUGGGGGGCCUCCUGGGAGCUCGGAAUUUCUUUUUUUUGUUUUAUCCCGGAUGGAUUUUCGGAAGAUUUGCACCCUACCAAUCGGGACUAAAGGUCAAUUCUCUACUAGUGAAUCUUAUGUAAAAAGAACUACGAGUUAAAUUCUUUGUCAGAUUUAUACUGACAAGUUACAAGCACAUGCCUCUGCAGUAACAGGCCAGCCCUAGACUAGCGGGCAAACAAAAACAACAUGAUUCGUCAACUGAUCGAAUGUUAAUGACUAUUUUGCUAGGAGAAUGAACAUGAUUCAUAAAAAAAGGGGAGCUACUAACUUGGUCAAGGUCUCCGUCCUCUAGCGUGGCGAAGGGGCCAUCUUGCUCCACUCCACGUCUGCGUGGUUGCUAGGUGGGCGCGACGGCGGCUGCGGAGUGCGGACGGGCGCGUAGAUGUGUCAUUGUUGAUCAGGACAUGCGCUUCUAUCACCGUCUGUGGUUGGCGUCCGCGGCCGAGCGGGUCAAGGUCUCCGUCCUCUAGCGUGGGGAAACAGGAUCUCUUCAAUCAGUGCUUCUACAGAAACGGUGCACGGUCACCACGGACCAACGACAUACCAUGAGAAAAGCGGAGCUAAAUGUUGCAGUAGCAGAGUAACCGGAGACUGGAGAGCACUUGCUGCUAAAAGCUGCCUCUUAUUUUGUAUCGUCUUUAACAGAAGACUUUAAGUCAACCGCCAUUCGAUUCCAAUAUAAACUAGCAAGUUGGCCCGCGAUGAUAGCACGGCUAGAUUUGAUACAAUAUAACUUUUUUAAAUGCUAUGUUAGCUUAGUAUAUUUCUUCGUCCCUCUUGAUUUGUUUUUCAUCCUCUUGAAAUCACUUAGUAUACUUAGGUGCCUUACUCUACACAUUGAGUAUCAAGCCAUAUGUGUAUAUUUGUUUUUUUUUGCAAAUGAACUCCGAUGCCACAUGUGCAUAUGCACGCCUAAUUAAAAUUGCUCACUUGUAACAAAAUAACAAGAGUAGUUGAUUCUGAUCUUAUGUUGCAGUUUUUGCCAACUUUUCCUAGUAUUAUUGUGUUGAGUAGAAAGCCUGUGUAGAAAAAGAUACAAAACAAACAAUCGUGUUAACUACUCCCCAUACUUGCUCAAAUGAUUUUGAAAAAUAAAAACAACCGCGCUCUAAGUCCUAGGUGGUGAUAUUCCUCCUUACUUUCCUCCUCUCGUUUUCCUUGCACAAUCGAGGAUGACAAAUACCACAAACCACUUAGGCUCGAUCAUGUUUCAUCAUCACAUUCCUCAAAUCUUGAUCACGUUGUUGUCUUCAUUAUGCUAGCAGUACACAUCUCUCCGCCUCUUCUCACUGGUAGAGAAUUGGCCUUUAGUCCCGGUUGAUAGGGUGCAUAUCUCUCGGAUAUCCAUCCGGGAUAAACCAACCGGGACAAAAGGGAGGGUCUUUAGUCCCGGGUCUUUUAACCGGGAGUAAAGGUCCUCCUUUAUUUCCCAACCGAGACUAAAGGGUUACCCUUUAGUCCCGGCUGGAUUCCAACCAGGAGUCCCGGCUGGAUUCCAACCGGGACUAAAUGGCGCCUGCAUGGCACUGCCGUGGCGCCUGAAUUUUUCAUGCAUGCAUCACGUACGUAGUACCGCGACCCUUUUAAUUUGUUAAACUUUAGUAGUUGAGAUUUUUUUAGAACGAAAUCAACUAGUAUUUAAACGAAUGGGAUUUGUAAUUAUACAAUUACUAUAUAUGUACACAAUCCUUAUACACAAUUCAUAUACACAAUUCAACUAGCUUAGUACAAAUUGAUCAUAAUUAGCGCGUAUUAUAUAUACAAAUAAAUCAAAGUAUCUGUCUACAAUCUUCCCGUCGUGGUGUUGCUGAUCGGAGUGUCUAAUUGUCGUCCAUCGUAAUAAAAUUCUCCUUUUGGAUUUACCACCUUGUCCAUUAUGAAUCCAAUGAGACUUUCACAUAUUGCCGCUACUCUUUCUUCCUUCAAGAGUCCUUGUUGAAUAUUUAACAUCUAUAAUUUGGAAAUUUUUGAAUGUUACACGAACAAAUACAUAUAAGGAGCUAGAAAAUAAUUAACUAGUAAUAGUUUUAUUUUACGUACUUUAAAGUUGUGCGGCGUCAUCUUCGGUCCCUUGGGUCCCAUAAAACUGUGCAUGUGCUCACAGAUGUAGUAGCCACAUAGAUUAUUUCCGGGUUCCUGUCUUAAGCACUUCAGUGCGGAAAAAAAUAAGUUAUGAAAUAUUCGUAUUAUACAAUGUAAUAAAUGUGCAGACUUCAUACGUACCGGGAAGUCUGUGUUCCAUGUAAGUUUUUCUUUGAAUGGACCUUUGUGUGUCCUUAUGAAUUGUUUCCAUGCGCUGCAGAUUAGAAUAAUGAAUGAUAUAGUGUAACAGGAAUAAAAUUUAGGAAAUAAACUUUUGCAUAUAGAUAAAGGUACAGAAUUAUUACAAGCCUAGCAUGUCUUGCACUUCUUGGUAGUCCACCGGAUCUUUCCUUAACGAAUCGAAGACAGUGACGUGGCUUCUUUCAGGCUCAAUUAUAAUAAGAAUCCAGUGGAAGCUGCGUGCGUAAAAUGUUCAUGCAUAUUAGAGCUAACUAACAUGUAGAGAUAAGGAAAAAGACAUCGAAAGUAGACGGUAUACACACACUUACUUGAAGUUGUAUGGAAGUAGUAUGAAAUCCUUGAAUGUUUGUUUGUCUAGGAAAUUGUAUAUUUCCGCAAAGGUUUUUUCCGGUGCUAAUUGUGUCUGUUGUUGGUUAACUACAGAUGGAUCCAUGAAGCCUACAUGUAGGUACGCCUCUCGGCGGCAUGUCUGAAUUAGCAUCCUACAUGAAAUGGAAGAUGAAGUUAGUACGGUGACGCAUGCCAAAAUUUACAUGUAGAGAUAAACGGACACUUACAGAACCUAAGCGCUGAUCAGAGAGACGUCCAGGGCAUCAUGAUGGUACACUUCGUAUAUAUCCUUGAAGUCUAGCCACAGCACUUUCUCCCCUUCACCGUGAAAAUCUAUCGGUUUUACCUUCAUGCCGAUCAUCUCCCUCGAGUCGGCGGAUGCCAUCAUGUACCAUUGAUGGAAUGCGUACAUCUUUGUUGAUAGCUUCCGUACCAAUGAAGGCUUUACUAGAGGUUUGCCUAGCUCAUAAGGCCAUCUCAGCUCAGGGGGCGGUGCAGUUGGCGUCUCAACUUGCCCUAUGCAUUCAUCAAGUCCCAGACCUGUUUCUUCCAUGAACUUCAAUACAUUUGCUUGUUGAUCCAAGGGCAUUGCUUUUACCCGUUGAGCAUCUUUUUUUGAUAAAUGGCUGAGGUCGGGGACUGGACCGCUGGAAGAUGACUUUCCUUUCCUUUUAUCCUUUUCAUCAGCCUUUACUAGAGCCCGUUCAUAGUUUGACAAGAGUGGUAUCCUUUUCUUGGCUCCUUCUUCUAUCCUGAUAAAAAAGUUUAAAUCUCGCCGACUUACUGGCGGUGGCUCCAUCUCCCUUACUUUUUUUUCUUCGGCUUGUUUCUUGAACCACUCACUGGCCUCUCGUUGGAUUUCUGCCCACUGUUCCGCAUGAGACAUUGCCUCCCAGCGUUCCUUACGAGUCACUUCAGGCUCCUUUGUUUUCUUCUUUCUCUGUCUUUGCUUGGGAGGCGGUGCUCGUGACUUCUUUAGUGGUGGUGCAGGUUCCUUCAAGGGGGCCGCUCUUGGUGCCGGCGACGGUGAUCGGGGAGGGGUGUUGUUAUUGUCGUCGUCGCUCCCAGCACCAGGAUGUAGUGGAGAUGGAGACCUUGAUAUAGAUGGAAGGGACGGUCCUGGAGCAGGAGAUGACGGUCUCGAGGUAUGAGGAGAAGGUCGCUGCUGGGGAUCUACGGGGAGCGGUCUUAAGGUCUGAGGAGAUGGCUCCGUGCUGGGAAUAAUGAUGUAGCGUUUUUGCCAUAGAAUAAUCCCAUGAAGCGCAUCUGCCAAUGUCUUUUCCCCGUCGCCUCCCGGGAAGUCGAGCUCUAGACCUUCAUACUAGGGAUCAACUAUUUGCUCUACGCAGACGCUGGCGUAGCCUGUUGGAAUUUCCAUGCCAUGACUGCUCUGCCCCGCCAGGGUUGCUAACGCACUCCCGUACGCUACCUGUACAUAUAGCAGAAGUAAACAAGUUGAACUCCGAUCUCGAGGCCUGGAUCAAUUGACAAGAUUGCAUAAAUAUUAUGUAUAAGUAUACCUUAAUAGUGAGGUUGCCGACCGGUGCAUGCAGCUCACAUGAGGUCCGUUGUGUGAUGGCAUCCACGGGGAACCGUUGCUCCUCCACGGGUAACCUGGGCGUCUGCGCAUCGGGGACCCCUGUAGAAGCACAACUGCUCAAGAGGCGUUGAGAAGGGCUGGCGGUGUUAGGAAUCGGCAAUGCUCCAGAUUGGGCCAACUCCGCAACUGCGUGGGCCACCCGCCGAUUGGUUUCAUCCAUCAUUCUUUGUUCUUGUGCCUGCACUUUAGAUUCUAGCAUCUGCCGCCAGCUCUCCUCGAUCUGUUCCUUUCUUCGCUUCCGGCUUCUGUACGAGGUGCUGUCGCCUCGGAAAGCAAACUUCCACGGAACCACCCCGAACCCUCGGCAACGUCCUGGGUGUUCUGGAUUACCGAGGGCCAAUGUGAGCUCAUCAUUUUCUCGGUCCACCUUCAACCUCCCAGCCUUAGAAUCUUCAAUGUUCUUCAUGAGAUGUUCGGCCUUCUCACGUAUUGUGUCAUUAAAAAUCAACGUCCCAUCCUCUUGGCUUAGGGAGCCUCCAUGAGCGUAGUACCAAUUUUUUGAUCGUUCGGGCCAUUCAAUAGUUGCAGGUACGAUUCCCCGUUCGAUCAGAUCUUGUUCCAUCUUCCUCCACUUGGGAAUUGCUGAGCCAUACCCACCUCGCCCCAAAUGAUGGUGGUAGCCCUUCUGACUAGCAUUUGCUGUGUUGGUCGUGAUCUUUUUCACACCGUCUUCACUCCUCUUAUAUUCAACAAAUGCAUCCCAGUGGUCCCUCAACUUUGGCCACGCGUUGAAGUCUAGAGUUCGGCCCUUCUUGAUGUAGUGGGUAUCCAGCAUCUUCUUGAAUGUCUGGAAUUGAGUAGCCAUCUUCUUAAGCGUCCACGCUUUGACAUCCUUCUCACUAUAUCCUUCGGGGAAUGUGAAAUGUCUCUUCACGUCUUCCCACAGCAUAUUCUUUUCUGUCUCCGGAAGGGCGUACGGAUUAGUGCUUCUGCCCUUCCAUUCUCUGAUGCUGAUAGGCACGUUGUCCCGGACGAUUGCCCCGAUCUGACUCACGUACUUCUUUGCUACUUUCUCGGGAGCAACCGGCCUGCCCUCUUCUGUCACUUCCGUGAUGACAAGCCUCCCUUCCAUCACCUUUGUACAACCUUGGGUCUUCUGCCCUUGUGUCGAUCCGGAGGGCUAACAUUUUAAGAUUCGUUAAUUAGUACGUAGUAGUAACAGUGGCGUGAAACAAUACAAGAAUGGUUAUAUAUACCUCGCCGGAACCUUCCGCCACGGCAAGUUGUUGCUGCGGCUAAUGCUCUUCAUUCCCAUCGGUGGACAUGUUGAGGAACAUGUCCGCCUGGGUGCCCUCUUCAUCCGUGUAUGAUAGUGGAACGUUCUCGCCACUACCAUCACCAGCGAUUAUCUGCUCCAUGAUAUACCUUGCGGUCUCAUUGUCUGCCAUUUCAACUAUUGAUGGAAACAUACAUGGAAUCAUACAUGACAGUCAUAGAAAUCGUCUUACUACAAAUUUCUACAAAGUCCUACAAAGUCCGGAAUCAUACAUGUAUAUAAUGAAAUCAUAAAAUAACAUGAAUCCUACAAAGUCCGGAAUAUUUCUACGAAUUUCUACGAAUUUCUACGAAUUUCUACGUUCUAUGAAUUUCUACGAAUUUCUACGAAUAUCCACAUGCGGUGCCUAGGUUGUGACGGCGGCGAUCAGGGCGGCGGAGGCGGGGACGGUUCCCUGGAACCACGGGCGGUGCCUAGGUUGUGACGGCGGCGGUCAGGGCGGCGGUACGGCGGAGGCGGGGACGGUUCCCCGGAACCACGGGCGGUGCCUACUAGGUUGUGACGGCGGCGAUCACGGCGGCGGGACGGCGGAGGGGACACAUAUACAAAAAUAUAACUUAAAAAAAAUCUAACUUAAAAAAAAAUCUAACUUAAAAAUCUAACUUAAAAAUCUAACUUAACAAUCUAACUAAAAAAUCUAACUUAAAAAUAUAACUUAAUUUUCUAACUUAACAAUCAAAAUUAAAAAUCUAUCAUAAAAAUAUAACUUAAUUUUCUAACUUAAAAAAAAAGCCCUCCCAAUGCUGCCGGCCGGCGCGGCGGCGGACCUCUCGCGCGCGGUCGUCGACGGUGGCCGGGGCGACGAGGGGGCCGGGCGGCGGGACGGCGGCGGCCGGUGCGGCGAGGACGGCGGCCGAGGCGACGACGACGGCGGCGGCGUAGGCGGGACGGCGGCGGCGUAGGCGGGACGGCGACGAGGGGCGACGAGGCGGUGACGAGGAUGGAGGCGGUGACGAGGAUGGAGCCGGCGACGAGGAUGGAGCCGGUGGCCGGAGGCGACGAGGUGGGGGCCGGGCGCGUCGACGGACGAGGAGGAUCGAGGCGGGCCGGCCGGGGGGAUGGAGGACGACGAUGUCUGGGCGCGAUCGGCGGCAGGACGACGACAAACGGCGCAAUGGGGGAUGACGACGGCGGCGGCCGGCGAGGGAGGCGGACGGGCGGCGACGGCGGAGCAGAACGCGUGGAACUUGGCGAAAAUUUUGCUAAGUGUAACUGGCGGGGGGUAGAAGGGAGUACAGUGCCUUUUAAACCCCCCCCUUAUCCCGGUUCGUAAUGGUACCCGGGACAAAAGGGUGCCCCCGCCAGGUGGGGCUGGGAGCGUACCCUUUUAUCCCGGGUGCCACCACCAACCGGGAUAAAAGGGGGGGGGCCUUUUAUCCCGGUUGCAGUUGGCAACCGGGAUAAAAGGGUACGUCCGGGCGGGAGACGAAAAGUACCCUUUUAUCCCGGUUGCCGUUUGCAACCGGGAUAAGCAACCGGGAUAAAAGGGGGCCUUUUGUCCCGGUUGCUGUUAGCACCCGAGACAAAAGGUCUUUUUUCCUAGUUUUCUUCUCCCGCCUGUUUUUUGAAAUGGAUUUUAUUUUAUCUUUUCACUACAUUUCAGGAUGAAAAACAAAACCUUCACAGAUUUUGUACAUGCAAAAAUAUAUUUAAUUAACAAGUAAAUUGACAAUAAGUAUGAAUUAAUCAUUAAUUCUAUACCAGUUCAUUUAGCCUCUAAAAUAUUUAUUUUACUGCGUUGCUGUGAUUAAGAAAUUAUUCAAUUAAAUAAUUUCAAUGCGUAGAAAAAUCCAUGUUUGUAUGUGGUUAACAUUGUUCAUGUUUAUCUAAAAAAUCUUCACCUAACAAAUUUAAGAACACAUGAAAUCAUACAUAGGGUAAAAUUACAAAUUGUAUCGAUUAAUACACAAAGGUCAUGUACAUUUAACGCAUUACAAUACAACGUUGUAAAAUUUCUUCUUCACGAAAGUUCCUUGAUCAUGAUCGCGACGUAAGUACGGAGCCUCUUCUUUGGAUAGCAGGAUGCUUGGAUCAACUUCAACAGCGAAUGGAGGCAUGCCAUCAAACUGAUCAUAAUCAUCUGAUUGGUCUGUUUUAUCCUCGACUCCCACGAUUUUUCUUUUACCUGGAAGAACUAUGUGGCACUUUGGCUCCCAUGUCUCUUCUGGAUUCCUCUUGGGUUUGCUGCACAUGUCCUUCACAUAGAACACCUGAUCCACAUCAUUGGCAAGUACGAAUGGGUCAUCACUGUAUCCAGUCUUGCUCAGAUCUACUAUUGUCAUUCCAUACUGAUCUUUGGUGACGGUAGUUAGCUUCACCCAAUUGCAAAGAAAUAGAGGGAUGUACAGCGGUCCGUAUUCGAGUUCCCAUAUCUCCUGUAUGAAACCAUAAUACGACUCCUUGCUAUUAUUUCUGUCCAUGGCAUCUAUGCGGACACCACUAUUCUGGUUUGUGCUUUUCUGGUCCUGGGCUCUCGUGUAAAAUGUGUAACCAUUUAUCUCAUAGCCUUGGAAUUUGACGAUUGUGCUAGCAGGUCCCCUGGCUAACUAGGCAAGCUGUGGGUGAAUCUCAGAGUUAUCCAUAAGUUGUUGGCGCAACCAGGAGGGAAAAGUUUCCAUGUGAUGACGGGUAAGCCAAGCAUCGGAUUUGGUCGGGUUUUUUGAAGCUACUAUCUGUCUGUGCUGCUCGAUAUACGGAGACACAAAGGAUGACUGUUGUAGAACAGUGUAGUGUGCCUUGUCGAACAAAUCAGUAUCAUUGCUCAAACUUGAUUUCCUUCCAAGGGUGCCCAUUCCUCGGAGCCUCCCCUCGUGGCGUGAAGUUGGAACCCCAAUCGAGUCAAUUGAAUCAAUAAAAUCAACACAAAACUCGAUCACCUCCUCUGUUCCAUAUCCCUUGGCGAUGCUGCCUUCUGGACGGGCACGAUUAAGAACAUAGUUUUUUAGGACUGCUAUGAACCUCUCGAAAGGCCACAUAUUGUGCAGGUAUACAGGUCCGAGAAUACCAAUCUCUUUUACUAGGUGAACCAGUAAGUGCGUCAUAAUAUUGAAGAAGGAUGGUGGAAAUAACAACUCAAAACUGACAAGACAUUGCACCACAUCGUUCUGUAGCUUUGAUAGCUUGGAUGGAUCGAUUGCCUUCUGCGAAAUCGCAUUGAGAAACGCGCAUAGCUUUACGAGCGGCAACCGGACAUUUUCUGGUAGAACACCCCUCAAUGCAACCGGAAGCAACUGGGUCAUCAACAUGUGGCAGUCAUGAGCCUUGAGAUUUGUUAACUUAUUUUGUUUCAUAUUUAUUAUUCCAUUUAUAUUCGAGGAGUACCCAGACGGGACCUUCAUACUAUUCAAGCAUUCAAACAUGCUAUCCUUCUCUUCCUUGCUGAGAGUGUAACUGGCAGGACGUAAGUAGUGCUGUCCAUUAUCUCUCUUUUCCGGAUUUAGGUCAUCUUGUUGCCCCAUGGCUUUCAGGUCCUGUCGUGCUUCCAAUAUAUCUUUUGAGGUUACAUAAACACCCAUGAAGCCUAGCACGUUCACGCAAAGAUUCUUCGUCAGGUGCAUCACGUCUAUUGCGUUGCGAACCUCUAGGAUUUCCCAAUAAGGUAGCUCCCAAAAUAUUGACUUUUUCUUCCACAUGGGUGCAUGUCCGUUAUCGUCGUUCGGAACAGGUUGGCUACCAAGUCCCUUUCCAAAGACUACAUUUACAUCCUUCAUCAUCUCGAACACACGCUUUCCAUUACGGUGUGCAGGUUUUUUACGAUGGUCUGGCGCCCCUUUGAAAUGCAUCCCGCUCUUUCUCAGCUGGUGGUGAGCAGGGAGAAAUCGACGAUGACCCAUAUAGACGACCUUCUUACAGUGCUUCAAGUACAUGCUGUCUGUGUCAUCUAAACAGUGGGUGCAUGCCCGAUAUCCCUUAUUUGUCUGUUCUGAAAGGUUACUCAAUGCAGGCCAAUCGUUGAUGGUUACGAACAACAAUGCUCGUAGAUUAAAGAUCUCUUGUCUAUCCUCAUCCCACACACGUACACCUUCUUCCUUCCAGAGCUGUAAAAGGUCAUCAACCAACGACCUUAGGUACAAGUCAAUGUCAUUGCCGGGUUGUUUUGGGCCUUGGAUAAGCGCCGGCAUCAUAAUGAACUUCCGCUUCAUGCACAGCCAAGGAGGAAGGUUGAACAUACAAAGGGUCACAGGCCAAGUACUAUGGCCACUACUCAACUCACCGAAUGGAUUGAAUCCAUCAGUGCUUAAACCAAACCUUAUGUUCCUUGCUUCACUUUCAAAGUCUGGGAAUGUUCUAUCAAUUGAUCUCCACUGUGCCCCAUCUGCGGGGUGUCUCAGCAUCUCAUCUUCCUUACGGUCUUCUUUGUGCCAUCGCAUCAACUUAGCAUUCGCCUUGUUCCUGAAUAAGCGCUUCAAGCGUGGUAUUAUAGGGAAAUACCACAUCACCUUCGCGGGAACUCUCUUCUUGGGAGACUGCCCCUCGACAUCACCAGGAUCAUCUCGCCUGAUCUUAUACCGCAGGGCUUCGCAGACGGGACAAGCAUCCAAUUUCUCGUAUUCAUCACCACGAUAGAGGAUACAAUCAUUAGGGCAUGCGUGUAUCUUCUGAACAUCCAAUCCGAGAGGGCAAAUAAUCUGUUUAGCUUCAUAUGUUGUGGACGGUAAUUCAUUAUUCUCGGGGAGAAUCUUCUUGACAAUGUUCAACAUCCCCUGAAAUGCCUUAUCGGACACACUAUUUUUUGUCUUCCAUUGCACAAAUUCUAGUGUCGUACCUAGUUUUUUAUGGCCCUGCUGGCAACCUGGGUACAACAAUUUUUGGUGAUCAUCUAUCAUGCGCUGCAACUUUGCUACUUCCUUCUCAGUUUUGCAAUCUCUGUAUGCAUCUCGUAUCACCUGACGAAGGUCAUCAGUAGGGCCAUUUUCUGCAAACUCAUCUUCAUCAGCCUCGCCCAUUGUAGUACCUACAAAAGCUUGGCCUGCAACCCAGUCCGGAAUGGUGUCAUCUUCCUCCUCCUCCUCGCCAUCUUCCAUUACAACCCCUAGUUCACCGUGCUUGGUCCAAACCAAAUAGUUAGGCAUGAAACCGUAUUUAAACAAGUGGCUGUGAAUAGUCCCCCAGCUUUCCUUUGAAUACUCCUUCCUGUUAUUGCAUUGGAAGCAUGGACACAUACGAACCUAUUCUCUGGCUUGUUCGCUUUUGCCAUUUCGAGAAAAUAUGCAAGCCAUCAAUAAACGUCUUGCUCCGCCUGUCUGCNNNNNNNNNNNNNNNNNNNNNNNNNNNNNNNNNNNNNNNNNNNNNNNNNNNNNNNNNNNNNNNNNNNNNNNNNNNNNNNNNNNNNNNNNNNNNNNNNNNNAACAUAUUGAAGGAGAAGGACAUACCUCCUUCUCGUCGGUAAAUCACGCGGGUUAGCCUCUGAGCCAGGUAUAUUGUCCAGUCGAUGCAGAAGGGAUCACAGUUGUUACCUAAGUCUAGUUUAGCCGCGGAGCUCAGCUUCAACCCGGAUUAAAGGUGAACCACCUUUUAUCCCGGUUGGAGCCUCCAACUGGGAUAAAAGGGUCCCGCCACCAACAGCUCCCCACUAGCCGUUGCAACCGGGACUAAAGGGGGGCCUUUAGUCCCGGUUGCAAUUACCAACCGGGAGUAAAUCUUCCCUCCAUUUUUGCCUACCGUGGCGCACCCCCUUUUGUCCCGGGCCAACUUUAAACCGGGACAAAAGGGGACGGAUCGAAAACCAAUUCUCUACUAGUGUCUAUUCCACAAAACCAUAAUUGUUCACCGGCUCCAGCAUUGCUGUUGCUCUCCACCAAUGGAGGAAGCUCUUGUCCUUGGCACCACCUUAUCCACUGACCAGCUGAAGUUAUCUGUACGUCCUAAGGUCUCAUAAGAUUUUUGAUGAAUUUGCAUUAAUACUAAUAUUGCCACCAAUCUAGUCUCAACCUUGCCUCGUGUUCUCCGUGGUCAUGUUUUAUUCUAACUUGCAAGCCCUACAACUACAUAUGAUGGUUCUUCUAUAUGCAUAAUAUAUCGCAUCUCCUAAGACAUAUCGCGGGCCGGCGGCGCGCGGGGGAGCGGUGCCAGCAGAGCGGAGGCGACCGGCGGUGGGCAGAGGUGGGUGGGUGCGGGUGCGGGCGAAGGCGGAGGAGCAUGUGGGCAGAGGCGGGUGGGCGUGGGCGGAGGCGGAGGCGGAGGCUGGCGUGGGCGUGUGCGGAGGCGGAUGGGUGGAGGCAUGCAGCGGCGGUGGGCAGAGGCGGGCGGGCGCAGGUGAGUGGCAGCUGGGCCAGCGGCGUGGGCGGAGGCGGAGACCGGCAGCGGUCGGGCGGCGCGGGCGGGCGGCCGGCGAGCGUGGCGCUUCUUUUUUUUUCCAAAUUUUUUAGUCCCGGUUAGUGGUUGGUAACACCAACUAGGACUAAAGGGGGCCUUUAGUUCUGGGUGGAUGACCUGGAACUAAAGACCUCCUUUUUUAUCUCGAAAAAUUUAUCUCGGACGGCUUUUAGAGAGAUGUGAGCGUAUCCAAUUGGGACUAAAGGUGAGUUUUCCACCAGUGAAUGCAGAGCAGGCUCAUCCUAAAUGGUGACACCAUGCUGAUCACGCAAUUUAUCAUUAUUUUAUCGACCUCAUCCGUGUUUGUCUUUUACCAUCUAUAUAGUAUGGUUAGUCAACGGCAUGCAGUACACCCAUGCAUAUGAUUGCAGUAGGAUAACAUAGCGCGACCAGAACUGACGCAGUUUGCCAGUUUUAGAUUCGUAUACACGGCCAACUUACGCAGCAGAGAGUUGCAUGCUAAGCAGUUCAGCGUAGGUGGUGAGUUCUCAACUCUGAUAUGGCUUAUGGAAGAACACUGUCACGGUGUCACCUAGCCGGUUGGAGGCCAACCUCUUACUAGGGACAGCAAUGGCCCUGUCCGGCCACUGUUUCGUGGCUGGUAUUAUUACCCCUAUGCAGUGAAUAUGACAUGUGGAUCUAUGUGUAUAUUAUGUCGUCGAAAGAACAUUAUAUGAACCGUUGAGCCACCUUUGAUUCUAUCAAUGUGUCAUGGUCAAUUGAUGUCAAACUCUAUUAUCUUCAAGUCUUAUUGUAUUGAAAAAAUCACGAUGCUCUGCUACUGCCAUUUUGAUGUUUAUAAAAGGGUAUUGAGAACCUGGUGGGUAUCCAUUCGAUGCGCUGGGGUGGGGGUGGGGAAAAAUGAGUGUAAAGGACAGGGAUACAGUAUUUAGAAGGAUGGGGCUGCCACAGAAGAUAGUCUCCAAGUAUGGCAGGGAAGAAUCUAAAACUGAAUCCUUGAUCAAGACUGUCCCAUAUUCAUGAAUAGUUCACUGACAGAUCUUGCUUCCAUAUUCUGAACAGCUGAUGCUGGGCACAUAGGAGGUUAACCGGUCAGCGGAUCGAAGAAAAAAAAAUUCUUGCCUGUCAGUGUCCACAAUGGCCUCAGCUUGGGUUAGAGACAAUCAUCCCUAAAGAAUCAUAUUGCCGGAUAAGGUUAUCUGUGAUUGGUGGGUGCAGAUCCAUACUCAUCCUAGAAACAAGCCAGGGCUGAAUAUGCCACUCAUUUUAGGUGCUUUGAUGUUGUGGUCACACCGAAAUGAUCAUGUGUUUAAUAAAGUUUCCUAUAGUGACUGGCGUGCAGGCUGUCCUCGUAUUCGAGAAAAAAAAUCAAUGGGCGAAAUAUUUUCACCCAGGUAAUUGUUGCAUUGUAUGAAUAGGCUUAGAUACCUGGUUAGAGUAUGAAUGUGCGUGUACCGUGACACAAGAAGAUUUAUCAUAUCCAUGUAUGAAUUAGUGUUAAAUCUGCUACAUAAAUAUCUUCUCUUAUCUCAUUGUAUGUGUAUAUAUGACACAGAAGCACAUGUAUAUUGGCAUUGUAGAGAGAGAUGAGAGAGAGAAGCUUAUCUGCUUUUUGGAGAUAAAUAUUCAAAUUACUGGUGUAUGAGAGGGAUAUAAUUAUUCUAUCAAAUUGUUUAUUCAACAUGUAAAAAGAUUCCAUGUUUAGUCAUCUAUAUCGGCAUUGUAGAGAGAGACUAGUGUUCAGCUGGUUGGAAGGAUGAGAGAGAGAGGAGAGAGUUCGGAUGAGAGAGAGACUAGUGUUCAGCUGGUUGGAAGGAUGAGAGAGAGGAGAGUUUGGAUGAUAGAGAGAUUAGUGUUCACCUGGUUGGAAGGAUGAGAGGGAGAUGAGAGAGUUCGGAUGACGAGGUGGAGAGUUCGGAAGAGAGAGAGGUGAGAGUUCGGAUGAGAGAGAAAGCAGCUUAGAAGGAUGAGAGAGAAAGUGGUAUUCAGCUGGAUGGUGGAGACUUCAUAUAUUACUAACUAGCAAGGUGUCCGUGCGUUGCUAUGGUGAAACGACGUUGCUUAGCGCGCGAUGCUUUUUAUCAUGUCGUGUAGCAUACCACAUUUUUUAUCGUGCUGUGGAACUUUUCUAUUUUAGUAGUAUUAGACUUUUCAUAUAUAAGGGGCCACAUGAGUGUGUCCAUAUCCUAACCGUGAGGAGACCGCUUGCCAUGGAACUUGUUAUCUCUUUCUCUAUCUUGAGAUUGGUAGGCUUCUACAGCAAUUCUGCACAAAAAAGGCCCCACUUCGCCCCACUUCGCCUCGCUCUCGCUGUCCGGUUAGUCCCGCGCCUACCCUCUCCCUCUCCGAUCCUCGCCGCUAGCUCCUCGGGGUCCAAGUCGGGCCCGUGAUGUAGCGGCCUGUUAUCCUUCCACCGUUGGAAGCGGGCAGUGAUCGCUGCUCUGUGAACCCAGCCUCACGCCAUUCCUACCACUUCAGGUCCAGUGAAGCCCGAGCUUUUGCUUGGGCCGAACAGGCCACUACCAACUUGGAGCAGGCAAGGCCAGCAAGGGCACACAAUAGACCCAAGCCCAGAGUCCACACCCAAACAUCCACACCACCUUAAUACCCCCACUUGGGUUACAAGCCCGCGCAACCAAGCUCGAUGAGGAUGGCUCGUGAGGACGAACAUUUGAGCUGGUGCGGCGCUGCUUCAGAUGGCGAGGUGGUACUAAUCUAAGGAAUAGGAAAAUUUCACGUGGGUCCCACACCGCACCUACCCCUAUCCUUAUCCUUUCUCAUCUCUCUACCGUUCAUCCGGUCCUUAUCCUCCUCAUCUCAUCUCUCUCUCUCUCUCUCUCUGUCUCUCUCUCCCUCUCUCGCUCUCAAACUCUCUAUCUCUCCUAUCCCCUCUUUCUCUGGAGAACGCGGUGCACGGCUGGCCCCAGCGGCGGCCUGGGGGCGCGGGUGCUGGCGGCAGCCGAGGGUUGCGGGGCUGCGGCGAGGAGCCUCCUGGCCGUGGAUGCGACGGCCUAGCCACGGGUGCCGGGCCGCAUCGCACCGCGCGCUGCUGCCACCGAGUAGGCUGCACGCACUGCCUGCACACCAGGCGGGGUGGGCGGCCAGGGCCGAGCGGCGCGGCCGGGGCCGGGGAGGUGACUCUGGCGCGGCCGAGGCGGCUUGGGCGCGGCCAGCUGUUGUGGGUAGGGAGAGGUGGACAGCGGCGCAUGGCGGUGUGGAGAGGCGGACGUGGGGCACGAACGGGUGAAAGGGGAGACGGGGAAAGAAAGCUGGACCCACCUAGCAAUGCAGCCGGGGCCGGGGCCAGGGUAGCGCGGGUGGCCGAGGCCGAGGCCGAGGCCAGGCGGCGCAGUCGGGGCUGGGGAGGCGGCUUUGGUGCAGCCAGCCGUGGCGGGCAGGGAGAGGCGGAGAGUGGCGCAACGGCGGCGUGGAGAGGCGGACAUCAGGCACGGGCGGGUGAAAGGGGAGACAGGGAAAGAAAGCUAGACCCACCCGUCAAUGCAUUAAUCUUACCUAUUAUUAAACAUCAGGGCCACCUCUCGUUGAUAGAAGUUGGACCAAACCAAAAAAAGUGGGCAGAAGUGUUCCUUACUUUAAUAAUAAUAAUAAAGUAUAGAUAAUGCAUCCAAACAACAUUUGGAAUUUAAUUCUAAGAAAAACUUUCUCAGUACAUCCAAACUAGAAAAUUCAAUUGAAUAAAAUUCUACGGAAUGCAUUUCUUAUGGAAUCUAAUUGGUAGAAUAUGAUUUAUGGGAUGAGUUUCAACUCUAGGGAUCCAAAUAGGCUCUUAGUUAUUUCUUAUGUAGCUCAAAUCAGAAGGAAGGUACGUCCAAACUAAAAAACGUAAGUUACUUUGUGUUAUCUUGUGAAUCAGUGAUUAAUUACUUCCAAUCUUAUGUAAAAAGAACUACGAGUCAAAUUCUUUGUCAGAUUUAUACUGACAAGUUACAAGCACAUGCCUCUGCAGUAACAGGCCAGCCCUAGACUAGUGGGCAAACCAAAAACAACAUGAUUCGUCAACUGAUCGAAUGCUAAUGACUAUUUUGCUAGGAGAAUGAACAUGAUUCAUACAAAGCAGGGGAGCUACUAACUUGGUCAAGGUCUCCGUCCUCUAGCUACUAACAUGAUUCAUACAAAGAAGGGGCCAUCUUGCUCCACUCCACGUCUGCGUGGUUGCUCGGCGGGCGCGACGGUGUCGGCUGCGGAGUGCGGACGGCGCGUAGAUAUGUCAUUGUUGAUCAGGACAUGCACUUCUAUCACAGUCUGUGGUUGGCGUCCACGGCCGAGCGGGUCAAGGUCUCCGUCCUCUAGCGUGGGGAAACAGGAUCUCUUCAAUCAGUGCUUCUACAGAAACGGUGCACGGUCACCACGGACCAACGACAUACCAUGAGAAAAGCAGAGCUAAAUGUUGCAGUAGCAGAGUAACCGGAGACUGGAGAGCACUUGCUGCUAAAAGCUGCCUCUUAUUUUGUAUCGUCUUAACCGAAGACUUUAAGUCAACCGCCAUUCGAUUCCAAUAUAAACUAGCAAGUUGGUCCGCGAUAAUAGCGCGGCUAGAUUUGAUACAGUAUAAUUUUUUUAAAUGCUAUGUUAGCUUAGUAUAUUUCUUUGUCCCUCUUGAUUUGUUUUUCAUCCUCUUGAAAUCACUGAGUAUACUUAGGUGCCUUACUCUACACAUUGAGUAUCAAGCCAUAUAUGUAUAUUUUUUUUUUGCAAAUGAACUCCGAUGCCACAUGCGCAUAUGCACGCCUAAUUAAAAUUGCUCACUUGUAAAAAAAUAAGAACAACUUGAGUAGUUGAUUCUGAUCUUAUGUUGCAGUUUUUGCCAACUUUUCCUAGUAUUAUUGUGUUGAGUAGAAAGCCUGUGUAGAGAAAGAUCCAAAACAAACAAUCGUGUCAACUACUCCCCAUGCUUGCUCAAAUAAUUUUGAAAAAAAAAACAACCGCGCUCUAAGUCCUAGGGAGGUGAUAUUCCUCCUUACUUUCCUCCUCUCGUUUUCCUUGCACAAUCGAGGAUGACAAAUACCACAAACCACUUAGGCUCUAUCAUGUUUCAUCAUCACAUUCCUCAAAUCUUGAUCACGUUGUUGUCUUCAUUAUGUUAACAGUACACAUCUCUCCGCCUCUUCUAUUCCACAAAACCAUAAUUGUUCACCGGCUCCAGCAUUGUUGUUGCUCUCCACCAAUCGAGGAAGCUCAUGUCCUUGACAUCACCUUAUCCACUGACCAGCUGAAGUUAUCUGUACAUCCUAAGGUCUCAUAAGAUUUUUGCUGAAUUUGCAUUAAUAUUAAUAUUGCCACCAAUCUAGUCUCAACCUUGCCUUGUGUUCUCGGUGGUCAUGUUUUAUUCUAACUUGCAAGCCCUACAGCUACAUAUGAUGGUUCUUCUAUAUACAUAAUACAUCGCAUCACUUAAGACAUAUAUCGCGGGCCGGCGGCUCAUGGGGGAGCGGCGCCGGCGGAGCGAAAGCGACUGACGGUGGGCGGAGGCGGGUGGGUGCGGGCGGAGGCGGAGGCCGGUGCGGGCGCGUGCGGAGGUGGAUGGGUGGAGGCGUGCAGCGGUGGCGAGUAGAGGCGGGCGGGCACGGGCGAGUGGCAGCUGGGCCAGCGGCGGCCGGGCGGCCGGCCGGUGAGCGUGGGGCUUUUUUUUAUUUUUUUUCAAAAUGUUUUAGUCCCGGUUCGUGGUUGGUACCACCGACCGGGAUUAAAGGGGAAGACCCCGUCUUUUGUCUCGAAAAAUUUAUCCCGGAUGGUUUUUAGAGAGAUUUGAGCCUACCCAACCGGGACUAAAGGUGAGUUUUGCACCAGUAAUGCAGAGGAGGCUCAUCCUAAAUGGUGACACCAUGCUGAUCAUGCAAUUUAUCAUUAUUUUAUCGCCCUCAUGCAUGCUGUGCAUGAUUGAUAUUAGUAUUGGGCAGCUUAGAUUCCUCAGCGCAUCAUGCUGCUCAGCCAUGGAGGUCAAGGCAUCAAUAUUGUCCAUAUCACAACGUCUCUGCUUUCUCUUGUUGUCCUCCCCCUUCCCUCUACAUUGCACCUUCUUGUUUUCCUGAUCCUAUUGCCAGUUUGUUGCAGCCAUUUAUGGGCACCUCUUUCGUCCAUUGUCCACUGUUGUUGCCCGCUGCCUCAGUUCUUCUCUAACCAAAGCGGUCGUAUCGCGCUGGUCGGUAGGAAGCCAUCGUCUCACAAAAGCAUCGUCGUGAUCGCCAAACCACAUCUAGCCGAUGCCGAACCAUACUUGCCAUCUUCUUUGCCAACUUGCCGCUAUGGAAGCCUCCAUGCAUCGCUCCUCGAGUCUAUCCUAUCUCUAUCAGCUCCUGUGGUAUCCUGUUUUGUUUUUGCCUCAACCACGAAGCCAUAGGUAGCUGGUGCUAAAUUGCAGGGCCAGCAACAGCUAUUUCCUCUCCCUGGCCUUGCGGCCAUGCUAUGUAUUUUUCUCUCUCAAAAAAAAUUCCAAUGAUUUAAUUCUAAUGUUCCGAUCAUGUGUGAUUGGUUUAUUAAUUAAAGUUAUAGUUAUACACGAGUAUAUUAUAAAAAAAUAAUAUAUAUAUAAGUUACCAUACAAAGUACAACUUCCAAUAAGGUGGAGAGGUUCGGAUGGAAUUUUGAUUCAACUUACUCUAUUCUAGAUAUUAGAGUUGUACUAGCAAAAUAUCCAUACAUUGCUAUAGCAAAAUAUCCGUACAUUUGCUACGGUAAAAGAUCAAUUGUGUUUUUCAAACUAAUAAUAUUUUUUAUUUUCAUCACUAAAGUUUUAUUCCACUUAUUGGAUGUCCACACAUUUAAUAGAAAACUAAAAGAAUUUUAACUAAUUAUUUCCUUCAACUCAAAUACCAAUUAAAUUAAAAUAUUUUUUUAUUCAAGCAAGAGAGUUAAAUCAGCCUCCGAUGGCCAUCGAUGAGGGGCUCUUUAGUCCUGGUGAGUAAUAUCAACCGGGACUAAAGAACCCCUUUAGCCCCGGUUGUAAAAGUUAGUGGCCUCGGGAUUCUGUUGGGGCGUUUUGUCCCGGUUGCAACUACCAACCGGGACUACGCUCCCCGCCUCCACACACACAAUGUGCGUGCCUCACUUUCUCUCCUCCCUCUCCUUAAUUCCAGUACCCAAGCCUCCUCUCCUUAAUUCCAAUACCCACAUGCCUCCUCUCCUCCUCCCUUCGGCCCCUGCCUCCUCUCCUCCCUCUCCUUCUCCUCCGCUAGAUCCGGCCAACCCCCAUUCCCUCUUCCAAGCUCCUCCCUCUCCCUCGACCGAGGCGGGCGGCGGGCGCAGGUCGGGUGGCGCGGCUGGGGCCGAGGCGGCGUGGGCGGCCGGGGGUCAGGGAGGAUGAUAGGUGGUUACGAGGAUGAUACCUGCAGACAAUACUUUUAGUCCCUCAAUUUUUUCUGAGAAUUGCACUGUGAGCUGCGCUUUCAUUUAUGUCACACCGCUCAGCAAAAAAAACGGUGCAAAUCGACCAAAAUAAAUGAAUAAAUCACACGGUUUAGACUGGUGGCAUCUGUAUGUUUGAUGAGUUUUGAAUCCCAACAGACCUCUGUUUGCUUAUCCAACAGGAGGAAAAAACUUUACUUACUAAAUCAGCUUUGCAUGCCAGGCUGCAAUUGUUAGAGCAGAAUUGGGUAAUUUGUGAACAUAAUUGAAUCAAAGUUUUGUCUCAGACUAGUAAUAGAAAAUGGUAAUGCUCCACAGCUAGAACACGUUCCUACACUAGUUUAAAAAAUUCCCUGAAAUUGGCGACAAUGGUCAAGCUCAAUGUCAAAGUCAAAAAUUCCUACACACGUUCCUACCAUACUUGGAACUUGGAAGGCCGCUGGUCGAUGUCAAAGUCAAAAACAGAAGCAGACAGCGACGUCUCACCAGAUCACGAAUCAGAUGCGAUGCAUGUGCAUGUUCAGCAAGACAUUGAAAAGCAAGCUCUGUCUGGCAGCAGCUCUUCAAUACGCUCCAGCCCAUCUCUACCAUGGCAUUGGCAAUGCGCGUCAUGAGCUUGCUUCCUGCCACCAUCGCCGUGAUGAUCGCAGCGGCCUCCUGGGGAGCGCACGGCGGUGCCAGCGACGAGGCCAGCGCGCUACUUGCUUUCAAGGCUGAGCUCGCCGGCAGCGGCUCCGGCAUGCUUGCAUCCUGGAAUGGCACCGCUGGCGUCUGCGGCUGGGAGGGCGUGGCGUGCACCGGCGGCCAGGUGGUGGCACUGAGCCUGCCCUCCUAUGGGCUCGCCGGAGCCCUCUCCCCGGCCAUUGGGAACCUCACUUUCCUGCGGACCCUGAACCUGAGUUCCAACUGGUUCCAGGGGGAGGUCCCAGCAAGCAUCGGCCGCCUAGCGCGUCUGCAGACGCUUGAUCUGAGAUACAAUGCGUUCUCUGGUACGCUUCCUUCCAACCUCAGUUCCUGUGUCAGCUUACUGCUGUUAGAUCUCAGCAGUAACCGGUUCCAUGGGCGUAUCCCUGUUGAGCUUGGAGACAAGCUAACAAGUCUUCAGAAGUUCUCACUGGGCAACAACAGCUUGACGGGUGCCAUACCAGGAUCACUAGGUAACCUGUCAUCCCUGAUCUACCUUGAUCUGACAGAAAACCACCUCGAGGGUCCGAUCCCACAUGAACUUGGCAGCAUGGGCGGCCUGCAGGUCCUUUUCCUCUAUGAGAACAGACUCUCCGGUGUGCUUCCACACUCCCUGUACAAUCUGUCCUCACUGAAAAACUUGGUGGUAGGAAACAACAUGCUGUCUGGAACCAUCCCUGCUGAUAUCGGCGAUAGGUUCGCCGGUAUGGAAGUUCUUGACUUUAGUAGCAACCGAUUCAGUGGAGCUAUCCCACCUUCGCUCGGCAACCUCUCUGCUCUCACGUUACUAAACCUUCCAGGAAAUGAUUUUAUUGGAUAUGUGCCUUCUGCUUUGGGGAAGUUGCAAAGUCUUACUGACCUGUUCUUGAGUGACAACAGGCUAGAAGCAAACGACAGUCAAGGGUGGGAAUUCAUCACUUCACUGGCAAACUGCUCCCAGCUUCAGUAUCUUGUUCUCGGCAACAACUCUUUCAGCGGGCAACUGCCUAAUUCAGUCGCAAACCUGUCAUCAACUCUGCAACAUCUUUAUUUGGGAGACAAUAUGAUUUCUGGGAAUAUUCCAAUAAACAUCGGAAAUUUGGUUGGUCUUACAGUACUUGAUAUGGCAAAUACUUUAGUAUCUGGACAGAUUCCAGAGAGCAUUGGUCAGCUAAGAAACUUGGUUGGGUUAGGCCUUUACAACACUAGCUUGUCAGGCCUCAUACCUUCAUCACUAGGAAAUCUUACACAGUUGAAUAAUCUUUAUUUAUACUAUGGAAACUUAGAGGGGCCAAUUCCAUCAAACUUGGGGAACUUAAAGAAUGUGUUUGCCUUUGAUCUCUCAACAAAUCGACUCAAUGGUUCAAUUCCUAUAGAGGUUUUAAAACUUCCUCGACUUUCCUGGUACUUAGACUUAUCAUAUAAUUCACUAUCCGGGCCACUUCCAACUGAGGUUGGUACCAUGGUGAAUCUUAACGAACUGAUUCUGUCUGGAAACAAGUUCUCAGGCACCAUACCAGCUAGUGUUGGGAACUGUAUAUCGUUGGUAAAGCUGCUGCUCGAUAACAACUUAUUAGAAGGAAGCAUACCUCAAUCUCUGAAGAACUUAAAAGGUCUUGCAUUACUGAACCUAACAAUGAAUAAGCUAUCUGGUAGUAUUCCUGAUGCCCUUGCUAGCAUUGGCGACCUGCAACAACUGUAUCUUGCACACAACAACUUGUCAGGUUCCAUCCCCAAAGUUCUACAGAAUUUGACAUUGUUGGCAAAACUGGAUUUGUCCUUCAAUGAUUUGCAAGGCGAAGUGCCAAAAAGGGGUCCUUUUGCAAAUGCAACUCACUUGUCAAUUGAUGGAAAUGAUGAGCUUUGUGGUGGAAACCCUCAACUUCACUUAGCUCCGUGCUUCACAGCUGCUGCGGGGAAGAACAGAAGGCGAAUGUCAAGGUCAGUUAUGGUCACCGUAGCGUCAAUCUGCGCACUUCUAUUCUUAGGUUUAGUAGUUUUUCUUAUCCAUUUGAUCCACAAGACGCUCAGACAAGGAAAGGAAAAUCAACUCAUUCCCACAGUAAUUGAUGAACAGCACGAAAGGGUUUCAUAUCAAGCAUUAGCAAAUGGGACUGACCAUUUUUCGGAGGUUAAUCUGCUCGGACAAGGAAGCUAUGGUGCAGUUUAUAAGUGCACUUUACAUGACAAGGGAAUUACCGCAGCUGUAAAGGUAUUCAACGUACGGCAAUCUGGGUCUACUAGAAGUUUUGUGGCUGAAUGUGAGGCACUGCGAAGGGUGCGCCACCGAUGUCUCAUAAAGAUCAUCACCUGUUGCUUAAGCAUUGAUCACCAAGGCCAAGAAUUCAAGGCACUGGUUUUUGAGUUCAUGCCCAAUGGUAACCUAAAUGAUUGGCUGCAUCCAGCAUCCAAAAUACAGAGUCUGAGCAAUACACUCAGCUUAGCUCAGAGACUAGACAUUGCGGUAGAUAUCAUGGAUGCUCUGGAUUAUCUUCACAAUCAGUGUCAACCGCCUAUUAUCCAUUGUGAUCUCAAACCAAGUAACAUCCUCCUUGCCGAAGAUAUGAGUGCUCGGGUUGGAGAUUUCGGCAUAUCAAAAAUCCUUCCUGACGACACUAGCAAAACUCUGCUGAAUUCAGUUAGCUUCACUGGACUAAGAGGUUCCAUCGGAUAUGUCGCUCCAGGUAACAGAAACUAACACUGAUAUUGCUAUGUUCAGUUUUUAACUUCCAUUUUGCCAAGUCCAGUUAUCUCGGCAUGCACGUUGAUAAGUAGCUUGCCAUGAAUCCACUGACCAAAUAGUGUCUGAAAUCUGAAUUGACUGCAGAGUACGGCGAGGGUCGCGCUGUCUCAACUCUUGGAGAUGUUUACAGCCUCGGCAUACUGUUGCUUGAGAUGUUCACCGGGAUGAGCCCUACUGACGACAUGUUCAAAGGCUCCUUGGACCUUCAUAAGUUCGCCGAGGCCGCUCUCCCCGACAGAGCCUUGGAGGUAGCCGACCCGGCAAUCUGGUUUCAUGAAGAAGCAAAGGGCGAAGACCCUGCCACGGUGAGAAGCAGAAGCGAGAGGUGCUUGGCUUCAGUGGUCGGGCUUGGCGUGUCCUGCUCAAAGCAGCUGCCAAGGGAGCGGACGGCGAUGCGGGAUGCUGCCGCUGAGAUGCGUGCGAUCAGAGAUGCCUUCCUGGUUCAAUGUGCAACAGAGACUUGGCCUGCAGUCGGCACCACCGGCCUUGGGAGCGCAGACAGUUGAAUGGUGGACGGAGCUACGGUCUCUUGAUGAACCAAGGAGCACCGGACUAGCAACUCUGCAACUAACAGAGUGGAGAAAGCGCCCCUUAAUGAAAAGAAAAACAGCCGGUGCAAGGCUUUAUAAAAAGAAUGUGACAGCCACUGCGUGUAUCCGAGAGACUUAUCUAAUCUACCGAGGAUUGUUGGGUAGGGAUGCGUAUAGAUUAUGCACGUGCUCCCUCCGUCCCAAAAUAAAUGCACAUCUCGCUUUUCGAGGAGUCAAACUUCUAAGUUUGACUAAAAUUUAUAAAAAAAUGUACUACUAUUUAUAAUGUAUAAUAAAUAUCAUUAGAUUGGGCGUUGGAUAUACUUUCCUAAUAUAUUUAUUUGAAGAUGCAAAUGAUGAUACUAUUUUCUUUAUUCUUAGUCAAACUUAAAAAUGUUUGACUCUUCGAGAAGUGAGAUGUGUGUUUAUUUUGGGAUGGAGGGAGUACCCGUCACGGGGAUUAGUCACGAUAUAAGUAGGGACUAGCAAGCACCAAAAUCCCAUUCACUGCCCUUCGAUCGCUCAAAUAAAACAAACCAUUGCAUAUGGUGGCGAUGCGCUUGCGGGCCUUUUUCCAACCUUUCUGCUGUCGUGGGUCUUGAACUCGCAUGGAACAGUUUUAGUGAAAGCGUGCCCUUCAAUUUUGGGAAGAUUGCGAAGCCUCAUUUACCUGUCCUUAGUGACAAUAAGUUAGGAUCCAAUGAUAAGGACGGAUUGGAAUUCAUCACCAUGCUGGCAAACUGCAGCCAGCUUCAGCAACUGGCUUUUGACAAUAAUUCAUUCAUCGGGGAACUUCCUAGCUCAAUUGCAAAUCUAUCGACAACACACCAAUUACUCUGUAUAGGAAACAAUUGGAUUUCGGGAUUUAUUCCAUCCAGCAUAGGUAAUUUGCUUGGUCUAGAACUGCUUGCGUUGGCAAAUACUUUCAUAUCCGGAGUGAUUCCAGAUAGCAUUGGUCGCCUAGAAGACAUGUCCGUGUUAGGCAUUUACUACGCUAGCUUGUCAGGCAUCAUACCUUCGUCACAAGGAAACCUUACACAGUUGAAAACUCUCUAUGCGUACGAUAGCAACUUCGAGGGUCCAAUUCCAGCAAGUGGGGGAACUUAAAGAAUGUUGUUGUUCUUGAUCUCUCAACGAAAGUGUGUAACCCGCUAAGAUUUCGUGUCGAAGCAAAGCAUAAACCUCUCUUAAGACUGCAAAGCUAUCAUAGAGCAGAUCAGUCUAAGACAAUGUAGAACUUAGUCAAAUUUUAUUUAUAAACAUUCAAGUACAAUUUAUGCAAAGUAAAUUUGAAAAUAAAGUAUACGUAAACAUCUAAGCGCAUAGCUUUAUGAUUUGAGUUGAACUAACCAAAUAUAAUUGAAAAACACAUUUAUAUUUAUAUUAAGUCAAAUUAACAUAUAAUUAUGAAAGCUCGAGAUAUAACUUAUGGAGCCUUUAUUUAGAAAACAAAUUGAAUAAACAUUAAUCAAUUUAAGUUUAAUUAUGAACCACCAUGUUGCAUCUCUCAUUGACUUUUAAUUGAAAGAGUUAUUUAAAUAAGCAUUAACUAAUUUAGCAUUUAUUAUGAAAAGCAGUUAUAACACUAAGUAGCUUUUAAUUAAAGAAGACAUGUUUAACAUGCAUUAAUCAGAUUAAUAUUAAAUUUAUUUUAAAAACAUGCAUGAUGGAAAGAUCAGUACUAACAUGUAAUUUGUGUUAUUACAAACCUAACUCAAUAAGAACAGAUAUAAACGGAGCUGUAACGACCAGUCUAUGGGUUAAACAAGGUUGCAGGGCCUAAUCAUGAUUAACGGAAGGUUAUUGGGGCUAGCAAGGAAGAUUUGCAAGACACUGGAAUAGAGCUCCCCAUUAGGUCAAAGCAUAGGGCGAUUGCGAAAUCAAGAACUCGAAGGUGAUCGCGAGAACACGAAGGACACGAAGGUUUUAGAUAGGUUCGGGCCUCCGGAGAGUAAUACCCUACGUCCUGUAUGCUAGUUUGUAUUGCUUGAGAUUGAUCUGAUUGUUGGGAUACCCUCGGGGGUGCCCUUGGCCGCCUUAUAUAGGCUGACGACCAAGAGUUAAAAGUCAGUUUGAAUCUAAUCUACUCGGUAGUUACAUGGAAAGUAAUCUGAGUUGGACUACAGUACACGUUCCAUGAUAUCCAGGCAGAUUUGAACUGUCUUGUUGCCUUGACUUGCACUCCAAGUAACUUCAUGUCCUCGGCCCGCACGCCCUAGUCGGGCGGGCCCUACUUGUCAGUCCGGCCAGUAUCCUGGUCGGUCGGGGCCCAUGGGGUACCCAUAUCCCUCAAGCCCCCGAGCAUUGUGUAGGUGAAGAGUAACUUGAGGUCACCACAGUGAAACUUGAAAUGAAGUCGGCUGAAGCUACGAAGACAUCAUGGCGACGGAGAGGCUGCACAGUGCUCAAAAGAAGAAAUUCUGAGCAAACGCAGAGCCAACGCGUAGAGCGAAGACGAGUGCCGAGUUGAUGGAUGCUGGCAUUCAGCAGUCGGAGCAAAGGUUAUGGAGGGCCUCGCAAAACGCACUCUGUAGGAGUAGCCCCCGAGCAUUAAAGUGAUUAAGAUAAUCGGUACAAUAGUCAAAGAAGAAAAAGUUAUCCCCUAAAGUAGAUCCUAGUGCUCGAACAUAAGGAUGGGUGAAGCCAUGGAGGCCCGCCAACCAGAAGUAGGCACCCAGACCCAAGAAUGAGGACUAGCGGGACCGUGUAGCCACGUUGACCUGAAAUAGGCGCCCAACCCCUGAGGACGAGGACUAGCGGAGCCACGGAGGCAUGCCGACCUGAAGUAGGCACGCAACCCCUGAGGACGAGAACUGGAGGAGCCAUGAAGACACGCCGACUUGAAAUAGACGCCAAGCCCCUGAGGAUGAGGACCAGUGGCGCCACGGAGGCACGCCAGCCAGAAUUAGGCAUCCAACCCCCGAGGAUGAGCAUGAGGACUGGUGGAAGCACGUCGAGGUGCCUCCCGCCUCGAGCCGAGGCAGAGAGGUCAGUCGGGCGACGGGAGGCACAUGAGUCAUCUAUGGCGCGCAACCGCCGAGCCUGGGAGCCGGACGAGUUGCAGAAGCAUGCCAAGUCGCCUCCCGCGGCGAGCUAGAGAGGUUUGCUGGGCGACGGGAGGCACGCCAAGUCAUCUGCAGUGCCCAGCCCUCAAGCCUUAGGGCCGGCUGAGCCAUAGAAGCAUGCCAAGCCGCCUCCCGCCCCGAGCCAGAGAGGUCGGCCGGGUGACGAGAGGCACGUCGAGUCAUCUGCGGCGCCCAGCCCCCGAGCCUAGGAGCCAGACAAGUCAUAGAAGCAUGCCAAGUUGCCUCCCAUCCCGAGCUAGAGAGGUCGGCCGCGUGACGGGAGGCACGCCGAGUAGUUUUUGAGCUAUAAAAGGACAAUACAAUCAUCAUGUAGCAUAGUGUAGAUCGUUUAAUCAUUGAACAACUCGGAAGUUUAAUUCACUAUAUAAGUAAACUCUUGCGCAUCCUGCUCUUGUAGGCUAAGUAAUUUCCCCAGGUAGUUAGCCUGUUACGUUUAAGCACCUAGCCCUACUGACCACUGCUCACAGAGAUGACGGUUUAUCUCAAGCUAUAGCGCUGGGGCUGACCUGAUGCUUGCAUAUAGGAGACGCGCAGGAUGAGUUAAGGUUUUACGGAUUAAGGCAUGUGCUACCCGAGUACUUUAGCAACUGUUAACAGGGACAGACAAGUUGCAAAGCAGCCGGAACUGUGCGGAAAAGCACCAGCAUGAGCUAGGCACCCAUGGGGUGUAACCCCUGGCCGCCCGUGUAGUGGACGGACCAAGUUGUAUAAACAGUUAGGGUGCGACCAAGGUGGUGGGCAAAAGUCACGGAGACAUAGGAGAGCUGAGGCGGUCGACGAAAGUCACAGGAACAUGGAGGAGCCGAGGCUUAUGUAGGUAUACGGAAGCCAUAAAAUAUUUAAUUGUAAAUAAGACUUAGCUUGAUUCGUGAUCGAGUCGAAGAACCCGCAUGUCGUCUUUGCGUUUAGGCUUAGAAGCCCCUGAGCGUGGUCAGCGGAUAGUUGUUGGUGAAGCAAACUAGUAGGGCUCCAUGCCCGACUAAUUCGUGUCAAGUCCGAGUUGUUGGAGUUGUUAGUGGCAAGUCUGUGGCUGCGAUCGUGGUAUGCUGCUGCCAAGUCGAUGCGGCCAUCGGGUCGUGGCUGGCUGGCCGCCACGCUCGCAAUACAGCAUGCCUGGGUUGUGCUGCCAAACCAAAGGUGCAUGUACAUCUUUCCGAACCUCGUAAGGAAGCCCUCAGGUAUUAAGGAAAUCUAUACCUAAUAUUAAAGUGCGGUUGUUUGUUCCAACCAUUAUGGUUGUUUUGCAAAAAAGUCCCUCAACUUUUUCGUAAUCAGCUCGCAGUCCUUGGAAUAUGUCUUGAUGAUUUUGCAAAAAGGUCCCCAAACUUUACUGCAAUUGGCCGUCGAAGCUCCCGCAGCAUGCACCUACGCCACGUGCGGUGCGGACGAGUGUGCUGGCGGUGGCUGCAAGCUCCUCACCACAGCGGGGACCAGGUCGAGCAGCGACAGCGAUGACGGAGGGGAGUAGUCCGCAUCCGCGUGCCGUGCUUCCAUCGUCGGGCAAGCUGUGGCGGCGGUGGAGAGGGAAAGUGAGUACAUCGGCGUGUGGCAGCAGUCGUGGGGCAGUUUGGCGGCGGAGAUCCAUGACCCGCACCUCGCUGUGCGCAAGUGGCUCAGCACCUUGGACACCAUUGAGGACGCCACACACGUCUAUGAUGUCGCCGCCAUCGAGUUCCGAGGCCACCACGCCAAGCUCAACUUCCCCGACGACAUGGUCCCCGUGCCCGCACCUUCUAGGGUGCCCACCUCUACAUACCACUACCACCACCACCUGCCGCAGCCGCUGCCCAAGAGUCUGCACAAGACCUGCGGGUCGAACGCAUCGUCGUCGGUGCACAUGGCUCCUGGAUGACGGCAGCUUCUUGUCACCCAUGCCAUGAUCGUCACAUUCUCCUCUUGUUUUCACUUUCGUUGCUUAGCGGAUAAUGGUGGUCAGCUGCCCUUUGGUCUGUCGUCAAUCACCAGCCAUCCAUCGCUUUCAUAUGGUUUUACACUAGCUUUUGGGCUUUGACCACACCUCCACACCCAUAAAGUGGAGUGAUGUUGAUCUACUGCCGCUCGCCCUGGCGUGCAACUACUGUCGCUCACCCUAGCACAUGGCUACUCACUCGGGCUGCGUGCCCUACCCGCCACCUGGACCUAAGAGGUGAAGGAGAGAGGAGGAAGGGGGAAGGAAAUAAGGAGCCGAGUGCCUCUUUGCAGUCAACCAAGUAGAUCCAUGUGCCAGCGAAGGCAUGGCGCCAGCAAGGGGGGGGGGGCGCAGCAGCAGUCGGCAGGCAACGCAAAUUGGGGCAGAGGUUGGGACCUCACACCCCCCCUCUCAAUGACGUCCAUCCCCUUAAGAUCCGGAACUAAAGCCUCCACAUCUAGCAAUUGGGGGCUCAAUUUUGCACUUGAUUGAAAUGAUUUGGAGUGGAUUAUGGAAGGGAAGUGGAUGGAAAUGAGAAGAGGAGGAGAACGCACUCCUGCUCAUGGCGGCCAGAGGCGUUGUGGCCUAGCGCUCGAAGCAGGAAUGAGGCUAGGCACAGGAAGGACGAGCGCUUGCCUGGGCGAUGGUGAGGAUGGCAAGAUGCGCAGCGCCUGGAUGACGGCGAAGAUGGGGCUAGAUGCGGGUGGCGCUGAUGGAUGAAGAGGCAUCGACUGGCUAGAUGACGAUGAGUACGGGGGAAAUCGAAUGAAUGGAUGGAGCGGAGGUUGAGCGGUGAUUUUUUUUAUUUCCAUAUGUGGGUCCCACAUAAUAAACAUAUGGCAUCAAAUCACCCAUAAAUAUCUUCUACUACUAUACUGAGACAACGCACCAACAUAUGGUGAACCGAAGCCACCGUAUUACGAACAAGCGAAUAAUAACGUGAGAAUAAGUAAGGACCUGUAGCAACGCACGGACAUUUCUGCUAGUGAGAAAAAAAAUUGUUAUCUACCGCAGUAAGCACCGAGCAACAUAGGAGAUCUACUGGAUGGAAUAGAUUAAAUAAUAAAGGGAAGGGAGAAUUGUUUCCUUUUUUUUCCGUGGCAGAUCCGACAUGUCUGCAUGCAACAAGUUGAGGCCGACGUGUCGUGCUAAAUCAAUUGGAUCGGACUGGGGCUGGAUCAGGCGAGCUUGGCUGUGGCCGGGAUGAGGCCAAUAAGGGCGCCGCCCUUGACCUUGGCCUCCUGCGUCUCGUGGAUCUUCUGCAUCUAGAGCAUCCGCUCCAUGACAAGCUUGUACUGGCACUUCUCUUAGGCGUGGUGCUCAGGCUGGCACUUCCAGGGGAGGUAGAACUCGGAGGUGCACGCACUGGUUGUGGUAGGCGAGCGGCACCUGGGCCACCGCCAUCUCCACCUGCGUGAUGAUCUAGGGCUUCAAGGAGCCGAACUGCACACCGACCGUUGCUGCCGCCUCCAUCUGUCACUUUCUUCCCGUCUCUCUCACCGGCGAGGUCGUUCCAUCGAUAGAUGGGCAUUGCGGGUUUGGUGCGGUGUGGGUAGGUGGGGUGCAGCGAGGACAUGAGGAACCCUCUCGGAGAGAGAGAUUGCCAAUCUACUGGGCAAGUGGCAUGAUGAUCCUUGGAUAGAGAACUUGCUCCUCCGGAGUAAAUCCGACAGAUGCCGAGCUGGCGGCAGGCAUCGAGUCGAAGUCCACCGACAUGCUCCCGAAGCAGAGCUGGAUUGGGUUGGCGAGGAAGUCCUUCAUGCUCUCGGAAAAAACAAUGUCGGGACGGGAUGCCAUCGAGCUCGCUAGGGAGGAUCUCACAAUCAUCCCUACCUGGCAUGCCAACUGUUGGAUUUAUAAGCCUGAUAGUCCACCAGGGGGUUACCCAAGUAGUUGAUUUCUAGGUGAGGGCGAUUGUGAAACCAAGAACUCGAAGGUGAUUGCGAGAACACGAAGGGACACGAAGAUUUUAGAUAGGUUCGGGCCUCCGAAGAGUAAUACCCUACGUCCUGUAUGCUGGUUUGUAUUGCUUGAGAUUGAUAUGAUUGUUGGGAUACUCUUGGGGGUGCCCUUGGCCGCUUUAUAUAGGCUGAUGACCAAGAGUUACAAGUCGGUUUGAAUCUAAUCUACUCGGUAAUUAGAUGGAAAGUAAUCUGAGUCGGACUACAAUACGCGUUCCAUGAUAUCCAGGUAGAUUUGAACUGUCUUGUUGCUUUGACGUGCACUCCAAGUAACUUCAUGUCCUUAGCCCGCACGCCUUAGUCGGGUGGGCCCUAGUUGUUAGGUCUGACCAGUAUCCUGAGGUACCCAUAUCUCUCACCUUGGUGCUCCGGCGAUUAGGGUCAACGGCGAGGAUGGGGAUUGGAAGAGGAGAUCAAGGGGACUUUAUGGAGAUGCUCACCGGUGGUGAGGUGGACGGAUUCCAGCCAGAAUUUGGCUGGCGGUGGAAGAACACGACAGGUUGCUCAGGUCUUCGCGAGUGAUGGUACUCCAGCAGUGGAGCGGCGACGAAGACUAGUGGCAGAGCAGCUCCUCGACAUCAUGGAGCUCCCUAAGGCUCUAGCUUGCUCCAAUGGUCGACGGGCAUAGCGAAUUGGCCAGAGAAGGCUGGUAGCGGCUCCUAGCUUCGGUGGAUGUGGGGGAUGGCGGCGCUUGUGGAGGAUGGCGGUGCUUGUGCAAGCUGGGAAGAGUGGCGGCGCGAGGCAGGGUAGCAGCAGGGGCACUGUCUCGACUUUUAUAGGCGCGUGGGUCCGCGCCUACCUUGGCACGCAUGCUGAGGUUCGGCGGUGGCGACGACCAACUGCAGCUACGCUUGGCCUCAACCCGUUGGUGGCCGAUGGGCCUAGCGGACCUAGCCGAGCCAUCAGCUGGGCUGGGUCGGUGAGGGUCGAGCCGCAAAGACUUGGCCCGAUUGAUUAGGAUUUUCCUUUUUUUUAGAAAUGAUUUCUUGUAAAAGAAAAAUCCAGAAAAAUUCUAUAUAAUUAAUUUAAGCAACGAAAAAACCCUAAAAAUCCAAAAAUUCCAGGAAAAAUCCUAGAGAUAGUUUGGGAAUGAGGAGUACAAAUAAAAUACUUGGAGCUCAUGAAAAGGAUUCUAGAACCUUCCAAAAAUUGGAUUUAGCUCUAGAAAAAAGAGAAUAAAUCUUAGAAAAAUCUUGAAAUUCUCAUAAGAACCUAAUGGGCAUCUAAACGCAUUCCAAAACCUUUGCACUUAUGAAAUACCAAGAUGCAUCGGCAUGAAUGCAACACAUACAUAGAACUAUUAUAUUUAAUUCAGAAAAACACUCAAUUAUUUUCCUAUACUAAAUUUCCUGUCAGGAAAAUAAAUGUUGGAAAAAUUUUAAAAUUAUGAGAAAAUCAUUGUUUAAUUAUUAUUUUUAAUCACAUCCUGAAAUUUCAAAAAUUUUAAGGUGUGACAGAUACCCUCAGGUUUACAGAAUUUGACAUCCAUGUGCAAAUUGGAUCUAUCCUUCAAUGAUUCUUUGGAUUUGCACAGUUUUCAGAUAUUUACUGGAAGGAGCCCAACGGAUGAGAUAUUCAAUGAUUCUUUGGAUUUGCACAGUUUUCAGAGAAUGCUCUUCCAGAGAGAAUAUGGGAUAUAGUUGAUCCGACAAUAUGGAUGCACACAGAUGCCUAUAACAGCACUAUGAGAAGUGGAAUUAAGAAUUGCUUGCUUUCUGUUGUUUCUCUUGGAAUAUCAUGCUCAAAGAAACAACCUAGGGAGCAGAUCCCGAUUCAGGAUGCAGCCAUUGAGAUGCACGCUAUUAGAGAUUCGUAUCUCAAGUUUGCCAGAUCUCUUUUGGUGGAGCAUGGAGUAGUAGCAACAACUCACAGUGAUUUCCCACAACAGUGAAUACAUAGGACUGAAAAUGGGCAAGAUGUCCGCAGGUGAUCAGUUUACCUGAAAUAACUGAAGAUGUAUGAAGCUUCAGCUUUAUAAUUCGUCCAUGCAUUUGUUUGCAUCAGAUAUAUGGAAGUAUAAAAUAAGUUUAGAAAAUGUUUCAAAAUAGAUUAGAUCAAGAGGUUUUUACUUGUCGUCUGUAUGGCACAUUUGUUUAGAGAAUUCAGUAAUAUGUAUGAUUCAUAAUACAAUCAAUGCUCUGCAAAUUUCAGAUAGCACAAUUGGAAUAAAAAGCUCAUUCAUUGAUUAUGUUGCUCUAGGUGACUCAACUUAUUGUGAUGUUCACUGUAGAUUUCUCCAUGGUCCAAACGACCUUUGUGAUCAGUUAUGUUUAUGCAUUUUGUAGACUUGUAAAGUCUUUCCCUAACCUGCUGACAUAUCAGCUGGAGCAGAGCACUCUGCCGUUCUGCGCCACUUGCCUCUAGGCAGCGCUUGCCGCUUGGUGGCUGCCGUGGCGACGGGCGGCAUCCGUAAUUGCUCUAUUGGAGGCUGAGGGGCACAAUUACGUCUUGGAGUCGCCACCGCGCGACCUUCGGAGCUCGCCCAUGCCUCAUCGGUACGAGCUCAGUCCCGCGGUGAAUGGCGCGCGCAUCUGGGGUUCCGUCAGCUGCAGGUGCAGAUGGGUGGAGAGCUUAACAGCACUAGGUCUUCAGAAGAUGUUGGGUGGGCUGGAUGGGGCUUUGCGGCUCUGAAUGGCGAGGCGGGCAGGGACGACGGCGGCAGCGGCAGGCGGCGGCACUGGACGCGUUGGGGUGGAGACGACCCGGACCAGGGAGCAUUUUUGAAAAUAGUCGGAUCGCGAUCCUAAUUAGGAAAUGUGAGAAGGGGUGCACCAAAUAUGGGAUGAGAUGGAGAGGAGCGGAUCAGGCCCAGAUCAGCGAUCAUUUACUAUUAGGGCCCGUUUGUUUGGCAGGAAUUGGGCUGAAUUGGAAUUACUUUCCUAGGCCGACCUGUUUGGCUGCACAUGGAAUUGGAAAUCGUCUUUCCGGUGAUUUUCACGGGCUGAUUUUCUUACUUGCGACACAUUCCGGGCCUAAGACAAAGAAAUCAAUUCCAUCCGACUUGCUUCCCCUCCCGACUCGCCUCCCUUCCCCGACACCGCGCCACCUCCCUCUCCCAACUCCCCUCCAUCCCGACGCCGCACCCCCUCCUCCACCGCCUCCUCCGGCGCCCCCUCCUCACCUCCCCCUGACUCGCCUCACCCCGUGCUGCCGCCGCCCUCGACUCUGACUCCCCGAGCGCUGCGCCGCCGCCUCUCGCGCCGCCGCCCCUCGCGACCACCUUCUCGACGGCGAGAUAAACCUCCUCCAGUUUCCCUCCUCCAUCUCGUUCUCCGGCUCACCCCUUCCUUUUUCUUCCUCACCGGCUCACCCCUUCCCCUUGAACAAUCCGCAGAUCUGCGGGGGAGGUGCCACCGGCAAGCAGGCUGGGAGCAGCUGCAACGGCGGCCGCCCCAUCCACGUCUCUACGGACGGCAUCUUCAACAUUCCGACCACGCGCGUGCUCUCCACUAGCAAAGAAGCUGUACGUCCCAAUCCCUUCUGCCCAUCCCCUUUGCUACUCGAGCCAGCAAAGAAACUACUAGUUAGUUGCAUCAGAUUCUCACUGUCAAAUUGGAAGGCCAUUGCUCUUGCUCCUACUAGUAUACCGCACUUUCCACAAAAUGCGACACACGAAUUUGUUAAUUUUGCCGUAAUUCUGCUAUCAAAUCAAAAGGCCAAUCCUCUUGCUCUAAACAGUUUCUGCAAUUUCGUGCACUAUCGAUUGCUAGUGCUAAUUACAUGGAGGGCCUUUGGUACUUCUCUGCUAAUGCUAAUUAUAUGUGACAUGCUCUGAGAUUCUUCAUACUGUGUGCUGCCAUUAGUUUAAAUUUGGUAGAAGCUGAAAUCUCUUCGUAGAUCAUUAUGUGCUGCCAUUCUGAUAUCCUGUGGAGUUGCAUAUCAACUACUAGUGCUAGCAUUUAGUUUUAUCUGUCACAGCAGUUAAGCAUCAGUCAGCCCUUAUCUAGCAUUUAGUUGGUGCAGCUGUGCAAGUGAUGUUCCUAUUGUUUUUAAUUUUUGUCUUCUGCAGCAUUUUGCAGGCUGUCUAUGUUUCUGCUUAGUUUCGUGAAAUAGUGUAGCAUUUUGAUGAUAAAUUAAAACAUUCCUUUUUGCAUAUGUUUAGAUGCCUGACAGCAACAUAGACUUGGUUAAUACAGGCAUAGAGCAAAUGAGAGAGAGCGUAGGAAGAAGAGAAAAAGAGUGGCUAUUUUAUUUAUUUCUGCUGUCAUGAGCAUGAUUGUGCACUAAUGCGUAAGAGACCUAGGCGUAUCGUUGAUCCGGAUGAAGUGGCUGAGAGAAAUGUUGCUAGUCGGAAACAAAUGCCAAGGAAUCUGUACUAAGGAUCAAAUAUUUUUUGCUAUGACAGUUUGCGCCUAAUUAAGAGAUCAUUUUCUGACCUAUGUGCCAUCUUACGUGAUAGGUGCGGUAUGUGUGAUACUGUCGGUAGAAGAAAAUGUGGCUAUCUUUUUGCUUAUAGUGGGCCAUGGCACUAAGAUGAGGAUGAUUCGUAGCUCAUAUAGGUGGUCGCUCGAGCCAAUCUACCAUCAUUUCAAUGAGGUGUUGAGAGGUGUUCUAUCAUUAUGCCAUGAAUUUAUCAAGCUUCUUGAUCCAUCAGCUGUAGAACCUGAGGAUUCCAAGUGGAAGUGGUUUGAAGAUUGCCUUGGAGCAUUAGAUGGUACACAUAUUGACAUUUUGGUGCCUUUGGCUGACCAAGGGAGGUAUAGGAAUAGGAAGCAACAGAUUACCACCAAUAUUUUGAGGGUUUGUGAUCAUCACAUGAAAUUUAUUUACAUCUUAGCAGGAUGGGAAGGAUCGGCUUUAGAUUCACGUGUGCUACGUGAUGCAAUGUCUCGGGACGAUGCAUUUCUUAUUCCAAGUGGGAAAUACUAUCUUGUAGAUGCUGGAUACACCAAUGGACCGGGCUUUCUUGCUCCAUAUCGAUCCACUCGCUACCACUUGAAUGAGUGGGCUGCUCAAGGGCAUAACCCAUCCACUCCCAAAGAACUAUUCAAUUCGCGCCAUUCAACUGCUAGAAAUGUGAUAGAGAGAACAUUUGGGCUAUUAAAGAUGAGGUGGGCUAUACUAAGAAGCAACUCAUAUUUUAACUUACAAAAUCGGGUAUUCCGUAGUUAGUAACCUAGCUUGAAAUUCACCUCUGAAUGACCCUAGCAUGUAACUCAUUUCUACUAAUUUUUUGCAGAUUAGGAUCAUUAAUGCUUGUUGCAUAUUGCACAACUUUGUAAUUGAUAGACAAAGAGAUAUAGAUGACUUACUUAUAUACACCAAGUUGAUCAAGUAAUAUAUGUUGAACCUCAUGAAGUUCAAAGUGAAGUGGGCAUGAUUAGCAAUGUUCAAUCAUCAAAUGAAUGGAGCAAUUUUAGGGAUACCAAAGCUAACCAAAUGUUUGCUGAUUACCAAGCGAGACGUGGUCAAUGUAUGAUAAAUUCUAUCAUCAAUGCAUGCUCAAAUUUAUGAUAUUUGGUGUUGCUCCUUAAUAUUUUACUGAUAACCUUUGUGAACUUUUUUCUUGUAGAAUAUGGAGAAGGGCAAGAAGUCAGUCUCGAGCAGGGGUUACAUUUGUUGGAAUGACGACAUGAAUAAGGCUCUUCUUGACACAUUUGUGGAGUACUAUAACAAGGGUGACACAUGCCAAAAUGGGUGGAAGUCUCAUGUCUAUACAACUUCUAUCAAGAAUAUCCGAGAAAAGUGUAAUGUGGAUAUCACAAAAGACAACAUCAUGGCAAGGAACAAGACCUUUGACAAACACUACACUAUCAUCAAUGGUAUGUUGGAAUCAAGUGGAUUUGGUUGGGAUUGGAACAAAAAUAAAAUAUCUGUUGAUAGUGAUUCUGUAUGGGAAGAAUAUGUGACGGUAAGUUUCAAAAACCACUGAUUUACUUGCUUAACUUGCUUCUCUUUACAAGCAGUUUUCAUUUUGUUAGACACAAUCACAUAUGAGGUUAUCCUUAUUUUACACAUGGUAUGGUAUGAAUCUACUAGGUGGGCUUGGCAUAUAAUUGAAAGAUUUUUUGUACUCUAUCUAAAGUGGCAAUGAUUGUUUCAUCAAAACUUAUUGUUCCUGAAAACUUAUUGGCAUAUAAUUGAAAGUUUCUAUCUAUUGUUGAAAACAGUGUGUAGUGAAUUAUGUUCGUUACCUGUGUUCCUAAACAAUUAUGUAUGCAUCCUUGUCCCUGUAUGUUUUGUUACUUUUUUUAUUGAUAGUGUGGCAUCUUUAGGUUGUUCUUGAAAUGAAAGUAUACUUUCACUGCACAAGAAUUUAUUGGCCAGAAUAGUGGCUUGUAUUGGUCAGAUCCUAGUCAGCAAGUGCACGUCUCCUACAAGGCUGAGAAUCUUGCGUGAGGAAACUAGAGAGACCACUAGCAUGAACAAUGCCUCUCCAUACUCUGCAAUUUUUGAACUUUAGAUGCACCUGUCUCUUUGCUAGAAUUGCAAAUUAAGUAUGAAACAUGAAUCGACAUCAUUUAGUAUUGUUGUGCAGCACCAUACAAUGGUUUUGUGGUUUUGUGGAUUCUAGAAAAGGAUUCUCACAAAUGAUAGUUGCCAGUUAUACCUUUUGUUGCCAGUUCUACAAAAGGAGCCAUGGAUGUGUUUCAAUUUGUAGAUAUUCAUUGUGCAAAAUGCGACUAGAGCUUCUAGUACAUGUAUUUCUAAUAGUAGAAGCCAUGCAGAAGUUCCUGUAUUUGAACUACAGUAUGUAAACUGAUCUAUAUGUGUCUAAACUGGUCUGUAUGUGAACUACAAUGAUUGUACUUCUAUUUGGGUUCAGUACAUACUUGCUCUACACUUGUUUUCUAACCAAGUACAUUUAUUUUCUGUAGAAAAAUAAAGAAGUUACUGGGUACAGGCACAAGACUGUCUUGUACUGGGACUCAAUUAGCUUGGUGUUUGGCAAAGGCCAUGCUACUGGUGAAGCGGCAAAGACUGUGGCUGAGAGCUCAAAAAAUAUGAGUAAGGAAUAUCUUAGUAACAAAGAACCCACAUCAUCGGCAACUUCAGGAAGUUUAAAGAGGCAACGAUCAGGUGACUCUUUUACCUCUAUGAUAGCUGAAAAAAUGGACAAGUUUGCUGAAGCACUCAAGGAGGAAGCCCUAAAGGCCUAACAUCAAAAGAAAUUCUAGACACACUGAAUGAGGUACAAUGAUUGGAUGAAGACACUUUGUUGGACCUAUUUGAUAUCCUGACCGGUGAUGCACGCAAGUAUGAGUCUCUGUUGGCGCUUCCGGAGAAGAUGAGGAAGAGGUGGCUCCUAAAACAGCUCAAGAAGUGAAAAAAUUAGUUCAUAUAUAAAUUAUACUAUCAAGUGAUGGAUAAUGUCUAUUGAACUUCCAUUGCCUUGUAAUAAUAUGUGGCUUCAACUAUAUGAAAGUUUAGAUACUAUGUCUGUAUUGCUUGCAUUGUCAAGAUAAUAUGUUUAUCAUGAUCUCAUACUAUGUCUGUCAUGAAAGUUUAGAUAAUAUGUGGCUUCAACUUGUCAUGAUUGUAAUCUCCUUUGACAUGUUGCAAGUAAUCAGAUAUGUCUGCCAGGAUUGCAUUGUCAAGUAUGAAUGUAUAUCAGCAUUGUAGGGAGAGAAGCUUAUCUGCUUUUUGGAGAUAAACAUUCAAAUUACUGGUGUAUGACGGGAUGAAAUACUCUAGUGUUCACCUGGUUGGAAGGAUGAGAGGGAGAUGAGAGAGAGAGUUUGGAAGAGAGAGAGGUGAGAGUUCGGAUGAGAGAGAAAGCAGCUUAGAAGGAUGAGAGAGAGAAAGCGGUAUUCAGCUGGAUGGUGGAAAUUUUAUAUAUUACUAAUAAUGCAUCCAAACAAUAUUUGGAAUUUAAUUCUAAGAAAAACUUCCUUUGUACAACCAAAUAAGAAAAUUCAAUUGAAUCAAAUUCUACGGAAUCCAUUUCCUAUGGAAUCUAAUUGCUAGAAUAUGAUUCAUGGAAUGAGUUUCAAUUCUAGGGAAACAAACGGGCCAUGGUCUUCAUUCCCAAGGAAAGCUUGAGGCUCUGCAAUAUUACACAACAAUGAAGUCAAGAGGGUUGAUCCCUGAACCAAGGACCAAGAUACUGGUGAAAGCUAUACAUAUGAAGAAAGAUGGGGCUGUCAUAGAAGAUCAGUCUGCAAAUAUGACAGGGAAGAAUCUAAAACUGGAUCCACGAUCUAGACUAUUCCAUGUUCAUAAAUAGUUUGCUGUCAGAUCUUACUUCUAUGUGUCAAAAGAAUCUCUUCGACCAGUGUCCAGAUCACAAUGGUCACACCUUGGGCUACAAUAAAUCAUCAGCAAAGUGUAUUGGCAUUAUGUAUCCCAGAAAGUUUUGCUCAGACUUUCAAUGCCAGGGUAUGUUUUUUAUGUCUGAUAUGGAUCAAUUGCAGGUACUGUAUUACACGCUCGUAUUAUGAAGGUUAUGUGAAAUAUGACAGAUGUUUGUUUAUUCAUCUGUUAUGCAUGGCUGUGUCUACUGUCUAGUUGUUGGCUUGUUGCCAACAUAUGCAGCAGCAGGUAGCUUCAGCCGCUCAGAAGCCCAAAUGAAGGAUGGCCCAGGCAGAAUAGCUAUGUCCAGACCCAGAAAGCUUAGGACAUGUCUUGCCAGCCUGCAGUUUUGUACUCGUAGCACCAACCAUCUCCGGGUUCUGGCCGGUUAUAUACAUGGUCUGGAAUGGGCAUCCGCUGAUCGAUUGAAACCUUGAGUUGCUUCCGUGUGUCUUUUGCCAUCUAUAUAUUAUGGUUAGUCAACGGCAUGCAGUACACCCAUGCAUAUGAUUGCAGUAGGAUGACAUGGCGUGACCAGAACCCUUCUUUUGCCAGUUUUAGAUUCUUAUACACGGCCAACUGACGCAGCAGGGAGUUGCAUGCUAAGCAGUUCAGCGUAGGUGGUGAGUUCUCAACUCUGAUAUGGCUUAUGGAAGAACACUGUCACGGUGUCACCUAGCCGGUUGGAGGCCAACCUCUUACUAGGGACAGCAAUGGCCCUGUCCGGCCACUGUUUCGUGGCUGGUAUUAUUACCCCUAUGCAGUGAAUAUGACAUGUGGAUCUAUGUGUAUAUUAUGUCGUCAAAAGAACAUUAUAUGAACCGUUGAUCCACCUUUGAUUCUAUUAAUGUGUCAUGGUCAAUUGAUGUCAAACUCUAUUAUCUUCAAGUCUUACUGUAUUGAUAAAAUCACGAUGCUGCUACUGCCAUUUUGAUGUUUAUAAAAGGGUAUUGAGAACCUGGUGGGUAUCCAUUCGAUGCGCAGGGUUGGGGGUGGGGAAAAAUGAGUGUAAAGGACAGGGAUGCAGUAUUUAGAAAGAUGAGGCUGGCACAGAAAAUAGUCUCCAAGUAUGGCAGGGAAGAAUCUAAAACUGAAUCCUUGAUCAAGACUGUCCCAUAUUCAUAAAUAGUUCACUGACAGAUCUUGCUUCCAUAUUCUGAACAGCUGAUGCUGGGCACAUAGGAGGUUAACCGGUCAGCGGAUCAAAGAAAAUCCACAAUGGCCUCAUCUUGGGUUAGAGACAAUCAUCGGUAAAGAAUCAUAUUGCCGGAUAAGGAUAUCUGUGAUUGGUGGGUGCAGAUCCAUGCUCAUUCAAGAAACACAUGAUUCUUUACGGAUGAUCAUCUCUCAGCACACCCUGCUGAUAAGGUUAUCUGAGAUUGGUGGGUGCAGAUCCUAGAAACAAGCUAGGGCUGAAUGCGCCGCUGUACUUGGAUGUUGUGGUGACACCGUAAUGAUUGUGUGUUUAAUGGAGUUUUCCAUAGUGACUAGCGUGCAGGCCGUCCUCGUAUUUGAGAAAAAAAUCAAUGGGCGAAAUAUUUUCACCCAGGUAAUUGUUGCAUUGUAUGAAUAGGCUUAGAUACCUGGUUAAAGUAUGGUGCGUGUACUGUGACACAAGAAGAUUUAUCAUAUCUAUCUAUGAAUUAGUGUUAAAACUCCUACAUAAAUAUCUUCUCUUAUCUCACUUUAUGUAUAUAUAUGACACAGAAGCACAUGUAUAUCGGCAUUGUAGAGAUAGAGAUGAGAGAGAAGCUUAUCUGCUUUUUGGAGAUAAAUAUUCAAAUUACUAGUGUAUGAGAGGGAUAGAAUUAUUCUAUCAUAUUGUUUAUUCAACAUCUAAAAAGAUUCCAUGUUUAGUCAUCUAUAUCGGCGUUGUAGAGAGAGAGACUAGUGUUCAUCUGGUUGGAAGGAUGAGAGAGAGAGGAGAGAGUUUGGAUGAGAUAGAGAGAUAGUGUUCAGCUGGUUGGAAGGAUGAGAGAGAGAGAGAGGAGAGUUUGGAUGAUAGAGAGAUUAGUGUUCACUUGGUUGGAAGGAUGAGAGGGAGAUGAGAGAGUUCGGAUGAGGAGGUAGAGAGUUCGGAAGAGAGAGAGAGGUGAGAGUUCGGAUGAGAGGUGUGAGAGAGGUGAGAGUUCGGAUGAGAGAUAAAAUAGCUUAUAAGGAUGAGAGAGAGAGAAAGCGGUAUUCAGCUGGAUGGUGGAGACUUCAUAUAUUACUAAUAAUGCAUCCAAACAACAUUUGAAAUUUAAUUCUAAGAAAAACUUUCUCGGUAAAUCAAAACAAGAAAAUUCAAUUGAAUCAAAUUCUACGGAAUCCAUUUCCUACGAAAUCUAAUUGCUAGAAUAUGAUUCAUGGAAUGAGUUCCAAUUCUAGAGAUCCAAACGGGCCCUAAGAGAAUUGUAGUGAUCAACUCCCAAGUUGCAAUAUAUUCUAGGAAAUAGGUGGUUAUGAGGAUGAUACCUGCAGACAAUACUUUUUAUCCCUCAAUUCUUACAGAGAAUUGCACUAUCAACUGCAUUUUCAUUUGUGCCACGCUGCUCAGCUAUAAAAAACGGGGCAAAUCGACCAAAAUAAAUGAAUAAACCACAUGGUUUAGACUGGUGGCAUAUGUAUGUCUGAUGAGUUUAGAAUCCCAACAGACCUCUGUUUGCUUAUCCAACAGGAGGGAAAAAGUUUACUUACUAAAUCAGCUUUGCAUGUCAGGCUGCAAUUGUUAGAGAGUAGAAUUGGGUAAUUUGUGAACAUAAUUGAAUCAAAGUUUUGUCUCAGACUAGUAAUAGAAAAUGGUGAUGCUCCAUAGCUAGAACAACACGUUCCUACACUAGUUUAAAAAAUCCCCUGAAAUUGGGAACAAUGGUAAAGCCCAAACCAUACUUGGAACUUGGAAGGCCGCUGGCGGAUGUCAAAGUCAAAAACAGAAGCAGACAACGACGUCUCACCAGAUCACGAAUCAGAUGCGAUGCAUAUACAUGUUGCAGGCAUUAGCACGCAUCCCUUAGGAUUAAACAAUUCAGCAAGUAGCUCCCCUGCUGACCAAGAAAAGCAAGCUCUGUCUCGCAGCAAGCUCUUCAAUACGCUCCAGCCCAGCUCUACCAUGGCAUUUGCAAUGCGCGUCAUGAGCUUGCUUCCUGCCACCAUCGCCGUGAUGAUCGCAGCGGCCUCCUGGGGAGCGCACGGCGGUGCCAGCGACGAGGCCAGCGCGCUGCUUGCUUUCAAGGCUGAGCUCGCCGGCAGCGGCUCCGGCAUGCUUGCAUCCUGGAAUGGCACCGCUGGCGUCUGCAGCUGGGAGGGCGUGGCGUGCACCAGCGGCCAGGUGGUGGCACUGAGCCUGCCCUCUUAUGGGUUCGCCGGAGCCCUCUCCCCGGCCAUUGGGAACCUCACUUUCCUGCGGACCCUGAACCUGAGUUCCAACUGGUUCCAGGGGGAGGUCCCAGCAAGCAUCGGCCGCCUAGCGCGUCUGCAGACGCUUGAUCUGAGCUACAAUGCGUUCUCUGGUACGCUUCCUUCCAACCUCAGUUCCUGUGUCAGCUUACUGCUGUUAGAUCUCAGCAGUAACCGGUUCCAUGGGCGUAUCCCUGUUGAGCUUGGAGACAAGCUAACAAGUCUUCAGAAGUUCUCACUGGGCAACAACAGCUUGACGGGUGCCAUGCCAGGAUUACUAGGUAACCUGUCAUCCCUGAACUACCUUGAUCUGAGAAAAAACCACCUCGAGGGUCCGAUCCCACAUGAACUCGGCAGCAUGGGCGGCCUGCAGGUCCUUUUACUCCAUGACAACAGACUCUCCGGUGUGCUUCCACACUCCCUGUACAAUCUGUCCUCACUGAAAAAGUUGGGGGUAGGAGACAACAUGCUGUCUGGAACCAUCCCUGCUGAUAUCGGCGAUAGGUUCCCCGGUAUGGAAGCUCUUGACUUUUCUAGCAACCGAUUCAGUGGAGCUAUCCCACCUUCGCUCGGCAACCUCUCUGCUCUCACAAAACUAAUCCUUCAAGAAAAUGGUUUUAUUGGAUAUGUGCCUUCUGCUUUGGGAAAGUUGCAAAGUCUUACUGCCCUUUUCUUGGGUGUUAACAGGCUAGGAGCAAACGACAGUCAAGGGUGGGAAUUCAUCACUUCACUGGCAAACUGCUCCCAGCUUCAGGUUCUUGUUCUCGGCAACAACUCUUUCAGCGGGCAACUGCCUAAUUCAGUCACAAACCUGUCAUCAACUCUGCAAGGUCUUUAUUUGGGAGACAAUAUGAUUUCUGGGAAUAUUCCAAUAAACAUCGGAAAUUUGGUUGGUCUUACAGUAUUUGUGAUGGGAAAUACUUCUGUAUCUGGACAGAUUCCAGAGAGCAUUGGUCAGCUAAGAAACUUGGGUGUGUUAGGCCUUUACAACACUAGCUUGUCAGGCCUCAUACCUUCGUCACUAGGAAAUCUUACACAGUUGAAUAGGCUUUAUGCAUACUAUGGAAACUUAGAGGGGCCAAUUCCAUCAAACUUGGGGAACUUAAAGAAUGUGUUUGUCUUUGAUCUCUCAACAAAUCGACUCAAUGGUUCAAUUCCUAUAGAGGUUUUAAAACUUCCUCAACUUUCAUGGUACUUAGACUUAUCAUAUAAUUCAUUAUCCGGGCCACUUCCAAUUGAGGUUGGUACCAUGGUGAAUCUUAACGAACUGAUUCUGUCUGGAAACAAGUUGUCAGGCACCAUACCAGCUAGUGUUGGGAACUGUAUAUCGUUGGUACGGCUGCUGCUCGAUAACAACUUAUUAGAAGGAAGCAUACCUCAAUCUCUGAAGAACAUAAAAGGUCUUGCAUUACUGAACCUAACAAUGAAUAAGCUAUCUGGUAGUAUUCCUGAUGCCCUUGCUAGCAUUGGCCACCUGCAACAACUGUAUCUUGCACACAACAACUUGUCAGGUUCCAUCCCCAAAGUUCUACAGAAUUUGACAUUGUUGGCAAAACUGGAUUUGUCCUUCAAUGAUCUGCAAGGCGAAGUGCCAAAAGGGGGUCCUUUUGCAAAUGCAACUCACUUGUCAAUUGAUGGAAAUGAUGAGCUUUGUGGCGGAAACCCUCAACUUCAUUUAGCUCCGUGCUCCACAGCAGCUGCGGGGAAGAACAGAAGGCGAAUGUCAAGAUCACUUAUGGUCACCGUAGCGUCAAUCUGCGCACUUCUAUUCUUAGGUUUAGUAGUUUGUCUUAUCCAUUUGAUCCACAAGAGGCUCAGACAAGGAAAGGAAAAUCAACUCAUUCCCACAGCAAUUGAUGAACAGCACGAAAGGGUUUCAUAUCAAGCAUUAGCAAAUGGGACUGACCAUUUUUCGCAGGUUAAUCUGCUCGGACAAGGAAGCUAUGGUGCAGUUUAUAAGUGCACUUUACAAGACAAGGGAAUUACCGCAGCUGUAAAGGUAUUCAACGUGUGGCAAUCUGGGUCUACUAGAAGUUUUGUGGCUGAAUGUGAGGCACUGCGAAGGGUGCGCCACCGAUGUCUCAUAAAGAUCAUCACCUGUUGCUUAAGCAUUGAUCACCAAGGCCAAGAAUUCAAGGCACUGGUUUUUGAGUUCAUGCCCAAUGGUAACCUAAAUGGUUGGCUGCAUCCAGCAUCCAAAAUACAGAGUCUGAGCAAUACGCUCAGCUUAGCUCAGAGACUGGACAUUGCGGUAGAUAUCAUGGAUGCUUUGGAUUAUCUUCACAAUCAGUGUCAACCGCCUAUUAUCCAUUGUGAUCUCAAACCAAGUAACAUCCUCCUUGCCGAAAGUAUGAGUGCUCGGGUUGGAGAUUUCGGCAUAUCAAAAAUCCUUCCUGAUGACACUAGCAAAACUAUGCUGAAUUCGGUUAGCUUCACUGGACUAAGAGGUUCCAUUGGAUACGUCGCUCCAGGUAACAGAAACUAACACUGAUAUUGCUAUGUUCAGUUUUUAACUUCCAUUUUGCCAAGUCCAGUUAUCUCGGCAUGAAUCGUUCGUAAGUAGCUUGCCAUGAAUCCACUGACCAAAUAGUUUCUGAAAUCUGAAUUGACUGCAGAGUACGGCGAGGGUCGCGCCGUCUCAACUCUUGGAGAUGUUUACAGCCUCGGCAUACUGUUGCUUGAGAUGUUCACCGGGAUGAGCCCUACUGACGACAUGUUCAAAGGCUCCUUGGACCUUCAUAAGUUCGCCGAGGCCGCUCUCCCCGACAGAGCCUUGAAGGUAGCCGACCCGGCAAUCUGGCUUCAUGAAGAAGCAAAGGGGGAAGACCCGGCCACGGUGAGAAGCAGAAGCGAGAGGUGCUUGGCUUCAGUGGUCGGGCUUGGCGUGUCCUGCUCAAAGCAGCUGCCAAGGGAGCGGACGGCGAUGCGGGAUGCUGCCGCUGAGAUGCGUGCGAUCAGAGAUGCCUUCCUGGUUCAAUGUGCAACAGAGACUUGGCCUGCAGUCGGCACCAGCGGCCUUGGAAGCACAGACACUUGAAUGGUGGACGGAGCUACGGUCUCUUGACGCACCAAGGAGCCACCGGACUAGCUGCUCUGCAACUAACAGGGUGGAGAAAGCGCCCCUUAAUGAAAAGAAAAACAGCCGGUGCAAGGCUUUAUACAAAGAAUGUGACAGCCACUGCGUGUAUCCGAGAGCCUUAUCUAAUCUACCGAGGAUUGUUAUGUAUGGAUGCGUAUAGAUUAUGCACGGACUCCUCCGUCCCAAAAUAAACGCACAUCUUGCUUCUUGAGGAGUCAAACUUCUAAGUUUGACUAAAAUUUAUAAAAAAAAUGUACUACUAUUUAUAAUGUAUAAUAAAUAUCAUUAGAUUGAGCAUUGGGUAUACUUUCUUAAUACAUUUAUUUGAAGAUGUAAAUGUUGAUACUAUUUUUUAUAUUCUUAGUCAAAUUUAAAAAUAUUUGACUCAUCGAGAAGCGAGAUGUGUGUUUAUUUUGGGACGAAAGGAGUACCCGUCACCGGGAUUAGUCAUGAUAUAAGAUUAGUCACGAUAUAAGUAGGGAUUAGCAAGCACCAAAACCCCAUUCACUGCCCAUCGAUCGCUCAAAUAAAAGAAACCAUUGCAUAUGGUGGCGAUGCGCUCGCGGGCCUUUCUCCAACCUUUCUGCUCUCGCGGGUCUUGAACUUGCAUGGAACAGUUUUAGUAAAGCUGCCUCCAACUUUAGGGAGAUUGCCAAGGUUCAUUUACCUGUCCUUAAGUGGCAAUAAGUUAGGAUCGAAUGAUAAGGACGGAUUGGAAUUCAUCACCAUGCUGGCAAACUUCAGCCAGCUUCAUCAACUGGCUUUUGACAAUAAUUCAUUCAUCGGCGAACUUCCUAGCUCAAUUGCAAAUCUAUCGACAACACACCAAUUACUCUAUAUACGAUACAAUUGGAUUUCGGGAUUUAUUCCAUCCAGCAUAGGUAAUUUGCUUGGUCUAGAACUGCUUACGUUGGCAAAUACUUUCAUAUCCGGAAUGAUUGUAGAUAGCAUUGGUCGCCUAGAAGACAUGUCCGUGUUAGGCAUUUACUACGCUAGCUUGUCAGGUAUCAUACCUUCAUCACAAGGAAAGCUUACACAGUUGAAAACUCUCUAUGCGUACGAUAGCAACUUGGAGGGUUCAUUUCCAGCAAGCUGGGGGAACUUAAAGAAUCUUUUUGUUCUUAAUCUCUCAACGAAAGUGCGUAACCCGCUAAAGUUUCAUGUCAAAGCAGAGCAUAAAUCUCUCUCAAAACUGCAAAACUAUCAUAAAGCAGAUCAGUCUGAGGGCUAGCCUAUGCCCUAUCAACGCCUCCCUUCUUGCCCUUUUGGUAAGAUUACCCCAAACUAGAGUCUAUAAUUAAUUAGCUAAGACUAGAGCCACGUAGUUCUUGUGGUUGUACUGUUUUCCUGAGUGGUCGCUCCAUGUUCCAAUUAAGCAUGAUGAUCUUGUAUUAAUAAAAGGUAUAUCAUAAAUAAAACAAGUUUAAUCAUUGAGUUCAUUAAAACCAUCACAAUCCAAGGUAUUGCAACUAAGCAUAUCUACCUUAAAAAAAGGUAAAACCCAGGUUGACAAGGAAUGAUCAUAAAAACUAGGUAAACCUUAAUAGGACCUAUCAAUAUUAAAUGUAGAGCAAUGCAAAAGUGAUUAAAUAUAGUUUUUGGGAUAAAAGUAUAAGGACACACGUGCCUUUCUCCAAAGAAUAGCUGCUCAGAUUAUCUUCCGCUCUUGUUCCUCAAAGCUCUCGAACAAUGUUCCUUCUACUUGCAUCAAUCAUCGGCACAAGCAUACCAAGCAAACAACAAUCACAACUAAGAACAAUACAUCAAUCAUUGGAAAGCUUUAAAAGAGCGUACUAAAGGAUAAGGCUUGAAUCUAAGGUCACGCGAAUGCAAGAAACGCUGGGAACAAAACUAUGGUUGAAAAGACAAAGUUAUCGAGAGAUUUGAAUUAUAAAAGAAAGAGAAAAGCAUAUGUGCUUCAUAUAUUUUAAUAAAACAAUGUAAAGAUAUUUUAGAGAAACAUCCUUAGCAUGUUAUAGUUAUGUAUGAAAAGACAAUGUAGAACUUAGUCAAAUUUUAUUAUAAACAUUCAAGUACAAUUUAUGCAAAUUAAAAAUUUAAUUUGAAAAUAAAGUAUAUGUAAACAUCUAAGCGCAUAGCUUUAUGAUUUAGGUUGAACUAACCAAAUAUAAUUAAAAACACAUUUAUAUUUAUAUUAAAUCAAAUUAACAUAUAAUUAUGAAAACUCGAGAUAUAAAUUAUGUAGCUUUUAUUUAGAAAACAAAUUGAAUAAACAUUUUAAUUAAAGAAGACAUGUUUAACAUGCAUUAAUUAGAUUAAUAUUAAAUUUAUUUUAAAAACAUGCAUGAUGGAAAGAUCGGCACUAACGUGUAAUUUGUGAUUCAGGUUGAACUAACCAAAUAUAAUUCAAAAACACAUUUAUAUUUAUAUUAGUCAAAUUAACAUAUAAUUAUGAAAACCCAAGAUGUAACUUAUGUAGCUUUUAUUUAGAAAACAAAUUGAAUAAACAUUAAUCAAUUUAAGUUUAAUUAUGAACCACCGUGGUGCAUCUCUAAUUCGCUUUUAAUUGAAAGAGUUAUUUAAAUAAGCAUUAAUAACUAAAUUAACAUUUAUUAUGAAAAGCGGUUAUAACACUAAGUAGCUUUUAAUUAAGGAAGACAUGUUUAACAUGCAUUAAUUAGAUUAAUAUUAAAUUUAUUUUAAAACAUGCAUGAUGGAAAGAUCACUACUAACAUGUCCUAAGAAUGGAUAUAAACGGAGCUGUAAUGAGGAGUCCAUGGGUUAAACAAGGUUGCAGGGCCUAAUCGCGAUUAACGGAAGGUUAUUGGGGCUAGCAAGGAAGAUUUGCAAGACACUGGAAUAGAGCUCACCAUUAGGUCAAAGCAUAGGGUUAGAUAUGUUAAAGUGCUCAGGUUAGACUUGGUUGCACGGAUCCAAUCUAAUCAGGGACAUGGAUGAAAAAAAACAAGACACAAGGAAAAACUAACUAUUUGUAGAGCUUUAUAGGGGCCUAUGCGCAAAAGCACCACAGCUCAGCAUCCAUGGUGGACGGGCUCCUGGAUGGCAAAACCCUCGUGUCAGAUUUAUAAGCCUGGUAGUCCACCAAGGGAUUCCCCAAGUGGUUGAUUUGUAGAUGAGGGUGAUUGUGAAACCAAGAACUCGAAGGUGGUCGCGAGAACACGAAGGGACACUUAGACAAGUUCGGACCUUCGGAGAGUAAUACCCUACGUCCUAUAUGCUGGUUUGUAUUGCUUGAGAUUGAUCUAAUUGUUGCGAUACCCUCGGGGGUGCCCUUGGCCGCCUUAUAUAGGCUGACGAUCAAGAGUUAAAAGUCGGUUUGAAUCUAAUCUACUCGGUAGUUACAUGGAAAGUAAUCUGAGUUGGACUACAAUAUGUGUUCCAUGAUAUCUGGGCAGAUUUGAACUAUCUUAUUGCCUUGACUUGCACUCCAAGUAACUUUAUGUCCUCGGCCCGCACGCUCUGAUCGGGCAGGCCCUACUUGUUAGUCCGACCAGUAUCCUGGCCGGUCAGGGCCCAUGGGGUACCCAUAUCCCUUAAGGCCCCAAGCAUUGUGUAGGCAAACAGGAACUUGAUGUCAUCAAAGUGAAACUUGGAAUGAAAUCGGGUGAAGCUGACGAAGAGCCAACGCGUAGAGCGAGGAUGAGUGCCGAGUUGAUGGAUGCUGGCAUCCAGCAGGUCGAAGCGAAGGUUACGGAGGGCGUCGCAAGACGCACUCUGUAGGAGUAGCCCCGGAGCAUUGAAACAAUUAAGAUAAUCAAUACAAUGGUCAAAGAGGAAAAAAUUGUCCCCUGAAGUAGAUCCUUGUGCCCGAACACAAGGAUGGACGCAGCCACGGAGGCCCGCCAACCAGAAGUAGGCACCUAGACUCAAGGACGAGGACUGGUGGGACUGUGGAGCCAUGCCGACCUGAAAUAGGCAUCUAACCCCUGAGGACGAGGACUAGCAGAGCCGCAGAGGCAUGCUAACCUGAAAUAGGUGCCUAGCCCCCGAGGAUGAGGACUGGCGGAGCCAUGAAGGCACGCCGACUUGAAAUAGGUGCCAAGCCCCCAAGGACGAGGACCAGCAGAGCCACGAAGGCACUCUGACCAGAAUUAGGCGUCCAGCCCCCGGGCAUGAGUGCGAGGAUUGGCGGAAGCACAUCGAGUUGCCUCCCUUCCCGGGCUCAGGCAGAGAGGUUGGUCGGGUGACGAGAGGCACACCAAGUCAUCAAUGGUGCCCAGCCGCCGAGCCUAGGAGCCGGACGAGUUGCAAAAGCAUGGCAAGUCACCUCCCGCCCCGAGCCAGAGAGGUCGGCUGGGCGACGGGAGGCACGCCGAGUCAUCUACGGUGCCCAGCCCCCGAGCCUUGGAGCCGGCUGAGCCACAGAAGCACGCCAAGCCGCCUCCCGCCCUGAGCUAGAGAGGUCGUUUGGGUGACAAGAUGCACGCCGAGUCGUCUGCGGCGCCUAGCCCUCGAGCUUGGGAGCCAGACGAGCCACAGAAGCAUGCCAAGUCGCCUCCUGUCCCGUGCUAGAGAGGUCAGCCGGGUGAUGGGAGGCACGUCGAGUAGUUUUUGAGCUAUAAAAGAACAAUACAAUCAUUAUGUAGCAUAAUGUAGAUCAUUUAAUCAUUGAACAACUCGGAAGUUUAAUUCGCUGUAGAAGUAAACUCUUGCGCAUCCUGCUCUUAUAGGCCAAGUAAUUUCCCUAGGUAGUUAUCUUGUUACGUUUAAGCACCUAGCCCUACUGACCACUGUUCACGGAGAGGAUGGUUUAUCUUAGGCUAUAGUGCUGGGGCUGACCCGAUGCUCGCAUAUAGGAACGCGCAGGAUGAGUCAAGGUUUCACGGAUUAAGGCGUGUGCUACCCGAGUACUUUAGCAACCGUUAACAGGGAUGGACAAGUCGCAAAGCAACCGGAACUGUGCGGAAAAGCACCAGCAUGAGUUGGGCACCCAUGGGGUGUAGCCCCCGGCCGCCCGUGUAGUGGACGGAACAAAAGUCACGACAACAUGGAGGAGCCGAGGCUUAUGUAGGUAUAUGGAAGCUGUAAAAUAUUUUAUUGUAAAUAAUACUUAGCUUGAUUCGUGGUCGAGUCAAAGAACCCGCGUGUCAUCUUCGCGUUUAGUCUUAGAAGCCCCUGAGCGUGGUCGGCGGACAGUUGUUGGUGAAGCAAACUAGUCGGGCUCCAUGCCCAACUAAUUCGUGUCGAGUUCGAGUUGUUGGAGUUGUCAGCGGCAGGUUUGUGGUUGCGAUUGUGGUAUGCUGUUGCCAAGUCGAUGUGGCCAUCGGGUCGUGUCCGGCUGGCCGCUACGCUCACAGUACAGCAUGUCUGGGUUGUGCUGCCAAACCAAGGGUGCAUGUACAUCUUUUCGAACCUUGCAAGGAAGCCCUCACGUAUUAAGGAAAUCUAUACCUAAUAUUAAAGCUCCCGCAGCGUGCGCCUAUGCCACGUGUGGUGUGGACGGGUGUGCCGGCUGCGGCUGCGAGCUCCUCACUGCGGCAGGGACCAGGUCGAGCAGCGACAGUGAUGACGAAGGGGAGUAGUCCGCGUCUGCGUGCCAUGCCACCAUCGCCGGGCAAGGUGUGGCAGCGGCGGAGGGGGAGAGUGAGUACAUCGGCGUGCAGCGGCGGCCGUGGGGUAGGUGGGCGGCGGAGAUCCGCGACCCGCACUACGCCGUGCGCAAGUGGCUCGGCACCUUUGACACAGCUAAGGAUGCCACGCGCACCUACAACAUCACCGAUGUCGAGUUUUGAGGCCACUGCACCAAGAUCAACUUCCCCGACAACACGGCCCCCGCGCCCGCACCUUCCUGGGUGCCAAACUCGACAUACCACCACCACGACCACUUGCCGCUGCCGCUGCCCGAGAGCCUACACGAGACCUGCGGGGCGAACGCAUCCUCGUCGAUGGAUGUGGCUCUUGCGGUAGCGGCGUCGGCCGAGCAGCACGGCACGAGGCCGGUGCCGAAGGAGCAGGACAUCUGGGACAGGCUGAACGAGUUCAUGAUGAUGGAUGACGGUAGCUUUUGGUCACCCAUGCUAUGAUCAUCACAUUCUCCUCCAUUCUCCUCUUGUUUUCACUUUCGUUGCUUAGCGGAUAAUGGUGGUCAGCUGGCCUCUGGUCUGUCGUCAAUCGCCAGCCAUCCAUCGCUUUUAUAUGGUUUUGCACUAGCUUUUGGGCUUUGACCACACCCUCCACACCCAUACGAAAUGACUAGGUAGAGUGAUGUUGAUAUACUGCUUGCCGCGCGCUAGGGCGAGCAGCUACUCACUCGGGCUAGAUGCCCUACCCGCCACCUGGACCUAAGAGGUGAAGGAGAGAGGAGGGAGGGGGAAGGAAACAAGGAGCCGAGUGCCUCUUUGCAGUCAACCAAGUAGAGCCAUAUGCCAGCGAAGGCAUGGCGCCAGCGAGGGGGGGGGGCGCAGCGGCAGUCGGUAGGCAACACAAACAGGGGGCGGAGGUCGGGACCUCACAUCCCCCUCUCAAUGAUGUCCAUCCCCUUCAUAUCCAGAACUAAAGCCUCCACAUCUAGCAAUUGGGGGCUCGAUUUUGCACUUGAUUGGAACGAUUUGGAGUGGAUUAUAGAAGGGAAGUGGAUGGAAACGAGAAGAAGAGGAAAACACACUCCUGCUCAUGGCGGCCAGAGGCGCGGUGGCCUAGGUCUCGAAGCAGGAAUGAGGCUAGGCACGGGAAGGACGAGCGUUUGCCUAGGCGACGGUGAGGAUGGCAAGAUGCGUAGCGCCUGGAUGAUGGCGAAGAUAGGGCAUGAUGCGGGUGGCGCCGACGGACGAAGUGGCAUCGACUAGCUAGAUGACGAUGAGUACGGGGGAAAUCGAAUGAAUGGAUAGAGCGGAGGUUGAGCGGUGAUUUUUUUUUAUUUCCAUGUGUGGGUCCCAUGUAAUAAACAGAUGGCAUCAAACCACCCACAAAUAUCUUCUACUACUGUACUGGGAUAACGCAUCAACAUAUGGUGAAGCGAAAUCAACAUAUUAGGAACAAGCAAAUAAUAAUGUGAGAGUAAGUAAGGACUUGUAGCAACGUACAUGUAUUUCUGCUAGUAAGAAAAAAAAUUGUUAGCUGCCGUAGUAAGCACCAAGCAACGUAGGAGAUCUACUGGAUGGAAUAGAUUAAAUAAUAAAGGGAAGGGAGAAUUGUUCCUUUUUUUUGGCAGAUCCGACGUGUCUGCAUGCAACAAGUUGAGGUCGACGUGUUGUGCUAAAUCAACCGGAUCAGACUGGGGCCGGAUCAGGCGAGCUUGGCUGUGGCCGGGAUGAGGCCAAUAAGGGCGUCGCCCUUGACCUUGGCCUCCUGUGCCUCGCGGAUCUUCUACAUCUGGAGCAUCUGCUCCAUGAUGAGCUCGUAGUGGCACUUCUUGUAGGCGUGGCGCUCGGGCUCGCACUUCCAGCGGAGGUAGAACUCGGAGGUGCACGCACUGGUCGUGGUAGGCGAGCGGCACCAAGGCCUCCGCCAUCUCCACCUGCGUGAUGAUCUGGGGCUUCGUGGAGUCGAACUGAAUGCCGGCCAUUGCCGCCGCCUCCAUCUGUCACUUUCUUGCCCUCUCUCUUGCCGGCGAGGUCGUUCCGUUGAUAGAUGGGUGCUGCGGGUUUGGUGCGGCGUGGGUGGGUGGUGUGCAGCAAGGACGUGAGGAACCCUCUCGGAGAGAGAGAUUGCUUACCUACUAGGUAAACGGUGUGAUGAUCCUUUGAUAUAGACCUUGCUCCGCCGGAGUAAAUUCGACAGAUGCCAAGCUGGCGGCGGGCAUUGAGUCGAAGUCCACCGGCAUGCUCCUGAAGUGGAGCUGGAUCGGAUUGGCGAGGAAGUCCUUCAUGCUCUUGGGGAAAACAAUGUCGGGGCGGGAUGCCAUCGAGCUCGCUAGGGAGGAUCUUACAAUCAUCCCUACCUAGCGCGCCAACUGUUGGAUUUAUAAGCCCGGUAGUCCACCAGGGGGUUACCCAAGUAGUUGAUUUGUAGGUGAGGGCAAUUGCAAAAUCAAGAACUCGAAGGUGAUCGCGAAAACACGAAGGGACACGAAGGUUUUAGAUAGGUUCGGGCCUCCGGAGAGUAAUACCCUAUGUCCUGUAUGCUGAUUUGUAUUGCUUGAGAUUGAUAUGAUUGUUGGGAUACCCUCGGGGGUGCCCUUGGCCGCUUUAUAUAGGCUGACGACCAAGAGUUACAAGUCGGUUUGAAUCUAAUCUACUCGGUAGUUACAUGGAAAGUAAUAUGAGUCAGACUACAAUACGCGUUCCAUGAUAUCCAGGCAGAUUUGAAUUGUCUUGUUGCUUUGACGUGCACUCCAAGUAACUUCAUGUCCUCGACCCGCACGCCUUGGUCGGGUCGGCCCUACUUGUCAGGUCUGACCAGUAUCUUGAGGUACCCAUAUCUCUCACCUUGGUGCUCCGGCGAUUAGGGUCAGUGGCGAGGAUGGGGAUUGGAAGAGGAGAUCGAGGGGACUUUAUGGAGAUGCUCACCGGCGACGAGGCGGACGGAUUCUGGCCAGUAUUUGGCUGGCGGUGGAAGAACACGACAGCUGGCUCAAGUCUUCGUGAGUGAUGGUACUCCGGCGGUGGAGCGACGACGACGACUGGUGGCAGAGCUGCUCCUCGAUGUCACGGAGCUCCCUAAGGCUCUAGCUUGCUCCGAUGGUCGACGAGCACAGCGAAUCGGCCAGAGAAGGACGGCAGUGGCUCCUAGCUCUGGCGGAUGUGGGGGAUGGCAGUGCUCGUGCAAGCUAGGAAGAGUGGCGGUGUGAGGCAGGGCAAUAGCAGGGGCACAAUCUCGACUUUUAUAUGUGCGUGGGUCCGCGCCUGCCUUGGCACGCAUGCCGAGGUUCGGCGGUGGCGAUGCCCAAGUGCAGCUACGCUUGGCCUCGACCCGCUGUUGGUCGAUGGGCCUAGCGGGCCUAGCCGAGCCAUCAACUGGGCCGGGUCAGUGCAGGUUAGUUGGAGAGGGUCGGGCCCCAAAGACUUGGCCCCAUCGAUUAGGAUUUUUCUUUUUUUCAGAAAUGAUUUCUCGUGAAAGAAAAAUCCAGAAAAAUUCUAGAUAAUUAAUUUAAACAAUGAAAAAACUCUAAAAAUCCAAAAAUUUCAGGAAAAAUCAUCUCUAGUUUGGGACAUGAGGAGUCCAAAUAAAAUACUUGGACCUCGUGAAAAGGAUUCUAGAACCUUCCAAAAAUUGGAUUUAGCUUUAGAAAAAAAUGAGAAUAAAUCUUAGAAAAAUCUGAAAAUUCUCAUAAGAACCUAAUCAGCAUCUAAACGCAUUCCAAAACCUUUGCACUUAUGAAAUACCAAGAUGCAUUGGUGUGAAUGCAACCCAUACACAAUCAUUAUAUUUAAUUCAGAAAAACACUCAAUUGUUUUCCUAUACUAAAUUUCCUCUUAAGAAAAUAAAUGUUGGAAAAAUUUUAAAAUUGUGAAAAAAUUAUUGUUUAAUUAUUCUUUUUAAUCAAAUCCUGAAAUUUCAAAAAUUUUAAGGUGAGGCAGAUACCCUCAGGUUUACAGAAUUUGACAUCCAUGUGCAAAUUGGAUCUAUCCUUCCAUGAUCUACAAGGUGAAGUGCCAAAAGUUUUUUUUUGGCAAAUGCAACUUACAUGUCGAUUUAUGGAAAUGAUCAGCUUUGUGGUGGAAAUACCUCAACUUCAUUUAACUCCAUGCUCCAUGUCCAGUGCAAAAAAGAAAAAAAAGGAAAUUUGUCGAAAACCCUUGUGAUCACCCUAACAUCAAUCGGUGCAGUUGUAUUCUCAGUUUCAGUACUUACUGUAAUUGUGUUGAUCUGUAAGAAGCUUAGGAAAAGGCACGAAAGUCAACUCAUAUCCACAACUGAGGAACGGUAUGAAAGAGUUUCUUAUCAUGCUUUGUCAAAUGGGACCAAUGGAUUUUCAGAGGACAAUUUACUUGGACAAGGAAGCUAUGGCAUGGUUUAUAAAUGUACUUUACAUGACCAGGGCACUACAGUAGGCUACUGUAAAGGUGUUUAACACACAACAAUCUGGGACUUCUAGAAGUUUUGUCGCUGAAUGCGAGGCACUCAGAAGGGUGCGUCCUCGUUGUCUCGUAAAGAUCAUCACUUGUUGCUCAAGCAUCAAUCACCAGGGUCAAGAGUUCAAGGCACUAGUUUUUGAGCUCAUGCCAAAUGGUAGCCUAAAUGGUUGGCUUCACCCAGAGUCUGACACACUUACCCAGACAAAUACCCUUAGCCUUGAACAAAGGCUACACAUUGCUGUCGAUAUCCUGGAUGCUUUGGACUAUCUUCAUAAUCACUGUCAGCCAUCAAUCAUUCAUUGCGAUCUCAAGCCAAGCAACAUCUUUCUUGCGGAGGACGUGAGUGAGUGCCCGAGUUGGAGGUUUUGGCAUACGAAGAAUCCUUCCAGAAAGUGCUAGUAAAACCCUGCAAAAUUCGAAUAGCACAACUGGAAUAAGAGGCACCAUUGGUUAUGUUGCACCAGGUAAUGAAAGAGAUAUUUUUGGUAUUUGUAAAAUGUUCUUAGUUCUUACGUAUACAUGACCUGCUGACCUUUGGAUUUUUUCCCCAAUCAGAGUACGGUGAAGGUUCUUCUGUCUCAACUCAAGGUGAUGUUUAUAGCCUCGGCAUAUUGCUGCUUGAGAUGUUUACUGGAAGGAACCCAACAGAUGAGAUAUUCAAUGAUUCUUUGGAUUUGCACAAGUUUUCAGAGAAUGCUCUUCCAGAGAGAAUAUGGGAUAUAGUUGAUCCGACAAUACGGAUGCACACAGAUGCCUAUAACAGCACUAUAAGAAGUGGAAUUAAGAAUUGCUUGGUUUAUGUUGUUUCUCUUGGAAUAUCAUGCUCGGAGAAACAACCUAGGGAGCGGAUCCCGAUUCUGGAUGCAGCCAUUGAGAUGCACGCUAUUAGAGAUUCGUAUCUCAAGUUUGCCAGAUCUCUUUUGGUGGAGCAUGGAGUAGUAGCAACAACUCACAGUGAUUUUCCACAACAGUGAAUACAUAGGACUGAAAAUGCGCAAGAUGUCUGCAGAUGAUCAGUUUACCUGAAAUAACUGAAGAUGUAUGAAGCUUCAGCUUUAUAAUUUGUCCAUGCAUUUGUUUGCAUCAGAUAUAUGGAAGUAUAAAAUAAGUUUAGAAAAUGUUUCAAAAUAGAUUAGAUCCAGAGGUUUUAGUUGUCGUUUGUAUGACACAUUUUUGUAGAGAAUUCAGUAAUAUGUAUGAUUCAUAAUACAAUCAAUGCUCUGCAAAUUUCAGAUAGCACAAUUGGAAUAAAAAGCUCAUUCCUUGAUUAUGUUUCUCUAGGUAACUCAACUUAUUGUGAUGUUCACUGUAGAUUUCUCCAUGGUCCAAACGACCUUUGUGAUCAGUUAUGUUUAUGCAUUUUGUAGAAUUGUAAAGUCUUUCCCUAACCUGCUGACAUAUUAGCCGGAGCAUAGCACUUUGCCGUUCUGUACCACUCGCCUCUAGGAGGCGCUUGCCGCUUGGUGGCUGCCGUGGCGACCGACGGCAUCCGUACCUGCUCUGUCGGAGAUGGGUGGAGCUGCUCUGCUCUGCCGGUACGAGCUCACUCGCGCCGUGAAUGGCGCGCGCCUCUAAGGUCUCAUCAGCUGCAGGUGCAGAUGGGUGGAGAGCUUAGCGGCGCUAGGUCUUCAGAAGAUGGGGCUUUGCAGCUCUGAAUGGUGAGGCGGGCAGGGACGACGGAGCUGGACGCGUGGGGAGGAGACGAUGGGCAUUUCUGAUAAUAGUUGGAUCGCGAUCCAAAUUAGGGGGCUAUUUACAAAUAAUAGGGGGUAUUCCGUAAAUAUUCGGAUCGCGAUCAUUAAUCGCGAUCCAAAUGAGGGGUUAAUUGAAAUUAUGAUGGGGUGUCUUUUGAAAUUCCGGAUCGCGAUCCCAUCCUCCGCCGCGGCUCGCCGGAGCGCCGCCAGACGCCGGCCAUCCCUUGGGGUACCUCUUCUUCCUUCCGCUUGUCGGAGCCCUAAGACGUGGUCGGUGUUUGAUCUGACAAGGAACCUUGAAGUCCGGACUAACUGAAGAAGACAGACAUGAUGCUGACCUGGAAGACGACGGCCUCGCCAUGGCUGGAUGCGGCGCGGUGGAAGGACAGUGUGGUGGAGGGCGUGGUCCACCACAUUCCGUCGACGGGCGGCGCACUUGCUGUCGCCUGUCGGCUACUUCCAGGCCGUAGCUGAGCUUCAGAGUUCAGACAGGGUGCUUGUGCUUGCAACAAGUUCAGAACGAUGUCAUUAAUUUGAUGCAGAGGAUGGAGCAAACCGGUUGCAAAUUGGAUUCUGAUACAUAUAACUUAAUAUUGAACCUUUAUGUCGAUUGGAAAUAUGAGAAGGGGUGCACCAAAUAUGGGAUGAGAUGGAGAGGAGUGGAUCAGGCCCAGAUCAACGAUCAUUUACUAUUAUGGUUCAUGGUCUUCAUUCCCAAGGAAAGCUUGAUGAGGCUCAACAAUGAAGUCAAGAGGGUUGAUCCCUGAACCAAGGACCAAGAUACUGGUGAAAGCUAUACAUAUGAAGAAAGAUGGGGCUGUCACAGAAGAUCAGUCUGCAAAUAUGACAGGGAAGAAUCUAAAACUGGAUCCACGAUCUAGACUAUUCCAUGUUCAUAAAUAGUUUGCUGUCAGAUCUUACUUCUAUAACCUGAACAGAGGAUUGCUGGGCACGUAUUAUGUGUCAAAAGAAUAUCUUCUACCAGUGUCCAGAUCACAAUGGCCACACCUUGGGCUACAAUAAAUCAUCAGCAAAGUGUAUUGGCAUUAUGUAUCCCAGAAAGUUUUGCUCAGACUUUCAAUGCCAGGGUAUGCUUUUUAUGUCUGAUACGGAUCAAUUGCCAGUACUGUAUUACACCGCUCGUAUUAUGAAGGUUAUGUGAAAUAUGACAGAUGUUUGUUUAUUCAUCUGUUAUGCAUGGCUGUGUCUACUGUCUAGUUCUUGGCUUGUUGCCAACAUAUGCAGCAGCAGGUAGCUUCAGCCGCUCAGAAGCCCAAAUGAAGGAUGGCCCAGGCAGAAUAGCUAUGUCUAGACCCAGAAAGCUUAGGACAUGUCUUGCCAGCCUGCAGUUUUGUACUCGUAGCACCAACCAUCUCCGGGUUCUGGCCGGUUAUAUACAUGAUCUGGAAUGGGCAUCCGCUGAUCGAUUGAAACCUUGAGUUGCUUCCGUGUGUCUUUUGCCAUCUAUAUAUUAUGGUUAGUCAACGGCAUGCAGUACACCCAUGCAUAUGAUUGCAGUAGGAUGACAUGGCGCGACCAGAACCCUUCUUUUGCCAGUUUUAGAUUCUUAUACACGGCCAACUGACGCAGCAGGGAGUGGCAUGCUAAGCAGUUCAGCGUAGGUGGUGUGUUCUUAACUCUGAUAUGGCUUAUGGAAGAACACUGUCACGGUGUCACUGUCCAACCUCUUACUAGGGACAGCAAUGGCCCUGUCCACUGUUUCGUGGCUGGUAUUAUUACCCCUAUGCAGUGAAUCUGACAUGUGGAUCUAUGUGUAUAUUAUGUCGUCAAAAGAACAUUAUUUGAACUCUAUUUGUGGCGCCACCUUUGAUUCUAUUAAUGUGUCAUGGUCAAUUGAUGUCAAACUCUAUUAUCUUCAAGUCUUAUUGUAUUGAUAAAAUCACGAUGCUGCUACUGCCAUUUUGAUGUUUAUAAAAGGGUAUUGAGAACCUGGUGGGUAUCCAUUCGAUGCGCAGGGGUGGGGGUGGGGAAAAAUGAGUGUAAAGGAUAGGGAUACAGUAUUUAGAAAGAUGGGGCUGCCACAGAAGAUAGUCUCCAAGUAUGGCAGGGAAGAAUCUAAAAACUGAUUCCUUGAUCAAGACUGUCCCAUAUUCAUAAAUAGUUCACUGACAGAUCUUGCUUGCAUAUUCUGAACAGCUGAUGCUGGGCACAUAGGAGGUUAACCGGUCAGCGGAUCGAAGGAAAAAAAAAUCUUGCCUGUCAGUGUCCACAAUGGCCUCAUCUUGGGUUAGAGACAAUCAUCCCUAAAGAAUCAUAUUGCCGGAUAAGGUUAUCUGUGAUUGGUGGGUGCAGAUCCAUGCUCAUCCUAGAAACAAGCCAGGGCUAAAUGCGCCACUCAUUUUAGAUGCUUGGAUGUUGUGGUCACACCGAAAUGAUCGUGUGUUUAAUGGAGUUUCCCAUAGUGACUAGCGUGCAGGCUGUCCUCGUAUUCGAGAAAAAAAAAAUCAAUGGGCGAAAUAUUUUCACCCAGGUAAUUGUUGCAUUGUAUGAAUAGGUUAGAGUAUGAAUGUGCGUGUACUGUGACACAAGAAGAUUUAUCAUAUCCAUAUAUGAAUUAGUGUUAAAUUUGCUACAUAAAUAUCUUCUCUUAUCUCAUUGUAUGUGUAUAUAUGACACAGAAGCACAUGUAUAUCGGCAUUGUAGAGAGAGAGAUGAGAGAGAGAAGCUUAUCUGCUUUUUGGAGAUAAAUAUUCAAAUUACUGGUGUAUGAGAGGGAUAUAAUUAUUCUAUUAAAUUGUUUAUUCAACAUCUAAAAAGAUUCCAAUGUUUAGUCAUCUAUAUAGGCAUUGUAGAGAGAGAGACUAGUGUUCAGCUGGUUGGAAGGAUGAGAGAGAGGAGAGAGUUCAGAUGAGAAAGAGACUAGUGUUUAGCUGGUUGGAAGGAUGAGAGAGAGAGAUAGAGUAGAGUUUGGAUGAUAGAGAGAUUAGUGUUCACCUGGUUGGAAGGAUGAGAGGGAGAUGAGAGAGUUCAGAUGAGGAGGUGGAGAGUUUGGAAGAGAGAGAGAGAGGUGAGAGUUUGGAUGAGAGAGAAAGCAGCUAAGAAGGAUGAGAGAGAGAAAGCGGUAUUCAGCUGGAUGGUGGAGACUUCAUAUAUUACUUAGCGUUGCUACGGCGAAACGACGUUGCUUAGCGCGCGAUGUUUUUAUCGUGUCGUGUAGCGCACCACAUUUUUUAUCGUGUUGUGUAACUUUUUUAUUUUAGUAGUAUUAGACUUUUCAUACAUAAGGGGCCACGUGAGUGUGUCCAUAUCCCAACCGUGCGGAGACCGCUUGUCAUUGAAUUUGUUAUCUCUUGCUCUAUCUUGUGAUUGGUAGGCUUCUACAGCAAUUCUGCACAAAGAAGGCCCCACUUCGCCCCACUCCUGACGUCCGGUUAUUCCCACGCCUGCCCUCUCCCUCUCCAAUCCUCACCGCCAGCUCCUCAGGGUCUAGGUCGGCCCGUGAUGUAGUGGCCUAUUAUCCUUCCACCGUUGGAAGCGAGCAGUGAUCGCUGCUCUGUGAACCUAGCCUCAAGCUGUUCCUACCACUUCAGGUCCAGUGAUGCCCGAGCUUUCGCUUGGCCCGAACAGGCCACUACCAACUUGGAACGGGCAAGGCCAGCAAGGGCACAGAAUAGACCCAAGCCCAGAGUCCGCGCCCAACCAUCCACACCACCUUAAUGCCCCCACUUGGGUUACAAGCCCGCGCAACCAAGCUCGGUGAGGAUGGCUCGUGAGGACGAACAUUUAAGCUGGUGCGUUGCUGCUUCAGAUGGCGAGGUGAUACUAAUAUAACGAAUAGGAAAAUUUCACGUGGGUCCCAUGCCGCACCCACCCCUAUCCUUAUCCUUUCUCAUCUCUCUACUGUCUGUCCGGUCCUUAUCCUCCUCAUCUCAUCUCUCUCUCUCAAUCCCUCUCUCUCAAACUCUCUAUCUCUCCUAUCCCCUCUUUCUCUGGAGAACGCGGUGCACGGCCAGCCCCAGCGGCGGCCUGGAGGCGCGAGGUGCCGCCGGCGGCCGAGGGUUGCGGGGCUGCGGCAAGGAGCCUCCUGGCUGUGGAUGCGACGGCCUAGCCACGGGUGCCGGGCCGCGUCACACCGCGCGCUGCUGCCGUCGAGCGGGCCGCACGCACUGCCCACACACCAGGCGGCGUGGGCGGCCAGGCUGAGCGGCGCGGCCGGGGCUGGGGAGGCGACUCUGGUGCGGCCGAGGUAGCUUGGGCACGGCCGGCUGUGGUGGGUAGGGAGAGGUGGACGGCGGCACAACGGCAGCGCGGAGAGGCGGACGUCAGGCACGAACGGGUGAAAGGGGAGACUGGGAAAGAAAGCUGGACCCACCUAUCAAUGCAGCCGGGGCCGGGGCAGCGCGGGCGGCUGAGGCCGAGGCCAGGCGGCGCGGUCGGGGCCAGGGAGGCGGCUCUGGUGCAGCCAGCCGUGGCUGGCAGGGAGAGGCGGACAACAGCGCAACGGCGGCAUGGAGAGGUGGACGUCAGGCACGGGUGGGUGAAAGGGGAGACGGGGAAAGAAAGCUAGACCCACCUGUCAAUGCGUUAAUCUUACCUAUUAUUAAACAUCAGGGCCACCUCUCAUUGAUAGAAGUUGGACCAAACCAAAAAAAAGUGGGCAGAAGUGUUCCUCACUUUAAUAGUAACAAUAAAGUAUAGAUAAUGCAUCCAAACAACAUUUGGAAUUUAAUUCUAAGAAAAACAAAAUAUGAUUCAUGGAAUGAGUUUCAACUCUAGGAAUCCAAACAGGCCUUAGUUAUUUCUUAUGUAGCUCAAAUCAGAUGCAAGGUACGUCCUAACUUAAAAAACGUAAGUUACUUUGUGUUAUCUUGUGAAUCAGUGAUUAAUUACUUCCAAUCUUAUGUAAAAAGAACUACGAGUUAAAUUCUUUGUCAGAUUUAUACUGACAAGUUACAAGCACAUACCUCUGCAGUAACAGGCGAGCCCUAGACUAGUGGGCAAACCAAAAACAACAUGAUUCGUCAACUGAUCGAAUGCUAAUGACUAUUUUGCUAGGAGAAUGAACAUGAUUCAUGAAAAAAAGGGAGCUACUAACUUGGUCAAGGUCUCCGUCCUCUAGCGUGGGGAAGGGGCCAUCUUGCUCCACGCCACGUCUGCGUGGUUGCUCGGCGGGCGCGACGGCGUCGGCUGCGGAGUGCGGACGGCGCGUAGAUAUGUCAUUGUUGAUCAGGACAUGCACUGCUAUCACCGUCUGUUAUUGGUCAAGGUCUCCGUCCUCUAGCGUGGGGAAGGGGCCAUCUUGCUCCACUCCACGUCUGCGUGGUUGCUCGGCAGGCGCGACGGCGUUGGCUGCGGAGUGCGGACGACGCGUAGAUAUGUCAUUGUUGAUCAGGACAUGCACUUCUAUCACCGUCUGUGGUUGGCGUCCGCGGCCGAGCGGGUCAAGGUCUCCGUCCUCUAGCGUGGGGAAACAGGAUCUCUUCAAUCAGUGCUUCUACAGAAACGGUGCACGGUCACCACGGACCAACGACAUACCAUGAGAAAAGCAGAGCGAAAUGUUGCAGUAGCAGAGUGACCGGAGACUGGAGAGCACUUGCUGCUAAAAGCUGCCUCUUAUUUUGUAUCGUCUUAACAGAAGACUUUAAGUCAACCGCCAUUCGAUUCCAAUAUAAACUAGCAAGUUGGCCCGCGAUAAUACUGCGGCUAGAUUUGAUACAGUAUAAUUUUUUUAAAUACUAUGUUAGCUUAGUAUAUUUCUUUGUCCCUCUUGAUUUGUUUUUCAUCCUCUUGAAAUCACUGAGUAUAGUUAGGUGCCUUACUCUACACAUUGAGUAUCAAGCCAUAUGUGUAUAUUUGUUUUUUUGCAAAUGAACUCCGAUGCCACAUGUGCAUAUGCACGCCUAAUUAAAAUUGCUCACUUGUAACAAAAUAAGAACAACUUGAGUAGUUGAUUCUGAUCUUAUGUUGAAGUUUUUGCCAACUUUUCCUAGUAUUGUUGUGUUGAGUAGAAAGCCUGUGUAGAGAAAGAUACAAAACAAACGAUCGUGUCAACUACUCCCCAUGCUUGCUCAAAUGAUUUUGAAAAAAAAAAACAACCGCGCUCUAAGUCCUAGGGCGGUGAUAUUCCUCCUUACUUUCCUCCUCUUGUUUUCCAUGCACAAUCGAGGAUGACAAAUACCACAAACCACUUAGGCUCGAUCAUGUUUCAUCAUCACAUUCCUCAAAUCUUGAUCACGUUGUUGUCUUCAUUAUGCUAGCAGUACACAUCUCUCCGCCUCUUCUAUUCCACAAAACCAUAAUUGUUCACCGGCUCCAGCAUUGUUGUUGCUCUCCACCAAUCGAGGAAGCUCUUGUCCUUGACAUCACCUUAUCCACUGACCAGCUGAAGUUAUCUGUACAUCCAAAGGUCUCAUAAGAUUUUUGCUGGAUUUGCAUUAAUAUUAAUAUUGCCACCAAUCUAGUCUCAACCUCGCCUUGUGUUCUCCGUGGUCAUUUUUUAUUCUAACUUGCAAGCUCCACAACUACAUAUGAUGGUUCUUCUAUAUACAUAAUAUAUCGCAUCUUCUAAGACAUAUAUCGCGGGCCGGCGGCGCGCGGGGGAGCGGCGCCGGUGGAGCGGAGGCGACCGGUGGUGGGCGGAAGCGGGUGGGCGCGAGCGCGGGUGGAGGCGGAAGAGCGUGCAGGCGGAGGCGGAUGGGUGGAGGCGUGCAGCGGCGGCGGGCGCGGGCGUGUGGCAGCAAGGCCGGCGGCGCGGGGAGGCGGAGACCGGUGGCGGCCAGCCGGCGAGCGUGGGGAUUCUUUUUAUUUUUUUCGAAAUUUUUUAGUCCCGAUUAGUGGUUGGUAACCCAACCGGGACUAAAGGGGACCUUUAAUUCCGGGUGGAUGACCCGGGACUAAAAAUCUCCUCUUUUGUCAAGCCAUCACUAUUGUCCAUAUCACAACGCCUGUGCCUUCUCUUGUUGUCCUCCCCCUUCCCUCUACCUUGCACCUUCUGUUUUCCUGAUCCUAUUGCCAGUUUGUUGCAGCCAUUUAUGGGCACCUCUUUCAUCCAUUGUCCACUGUUGUUGCCCGCUGCUUCAGUUCUUCUCUGACCAAAGCGGUCGUAUCGCGCUGGCCGGUAGGAAGCCAUCAUCUCGCAAAAGCGUCAUCGUCGUCGCCAAACCACAUCUAGCCGAUGCCGAACCAUACUUGCCAUCUUCUUUGCCAAUUUGCCGCUAUGGAAGCCUCCAUGCAUCGCUCAUCAAGUCUAUCCUAUCUCUAUCAGCUCCUGUGGUAUCCUGUUUUGUUUUUGCCUCAACCACGAAGCCAUAGGUUGCUGGUGCUAAAUUGCAGGGCUAGCAACAGGUAUUUCCUCUCCCUGGCCUUGCGGCCAUGCUAUGUAUUUUUCUCUUUAAAAAAAUUACAAUGAUUUAAUCCUAAUGUUCCGAUCAUGUGUGAUUGGUUUAUUAAUUAAAGUUAGAGUUAUACUUGAGUAUAUUAUAUAAAAAUAAUAUAUAUAUAUAUAUAUAUAUAUAUAUAUAUAUAUAUAAGUUACCAUACAAAGUACAACUUCCUACAAGGUGGAGAGGUUCGGAUGGAAUUUUGAUUCAACUUACUCUAUUCUAGAUAUUAGAGUUGUACUAGCAAAAUAUGCUAGUAUGUUGCUACGGUAAAAGAUCAAUUGUGUUUUUCAAAUUAAUAAUAUUUUUUAUUUUCAUAACUAAAUUUUUAUUCCACUUAUUGGAUGUCCACACAUUUAAUAGAAAACUAAAAGAAUUUUUUAUUCAAGCAAGAUAGUUAAAUCAGCCUCCGAUGGCCACCGACGGGGGCUCUUUAGGACUCCUUUAGCCCCGGUUGUAAAGCUAGUGGUCCUCGGGAUUCUGGUGAGGCGUUUUGUCCCGGUUGUAACUACCAACCGAGACUAAAGGGGGGGCCUUUAGUCCCGAUCAGUGUUUCCAACACAGACAAAAUGCUCCUCACCUCCACAUACACAAUGCGCGUGCCCCAAUUUCUCUCCUCCCUCCCCUUAAUUCCAGCGGCCAGGCCUCCUCUCCUUAAUUCCAACACCCACAUGCCUCCUCUCCUCCUCCCUUCACCCCCUACCUCCUCUCCUCCCUCUCUCUCUCUCCUCCGCCGGAUCCGGCCGGCCCCCACUCCCUCUCCCCAAGCUCCUCCCUCUCCCUCGGCCGAGGCGGGUGGCGCAGCCGGGGCCAGGGCGGCGUGGGUGGCCAGGGUCGGGGCCAGGGAGGAUGAUAGGUGGUUAUGAGGAUGAUACCUGCAGAUAAUACUUUUAAUCUCAAUUCUUACAGAAGAAUUGCACUAUGAACUACGCUUUCAUUUAUACCACACCGCUCAGCUAUAAAAAAUGGUGCAAAUCGACCAAAAUAAAUGAAUAAAUCACAUGGUUUAGACUGGUGGCAUAUGUAUGUUUGAUGAGUUUUGAAUCCCAACAGACCUCUGUUUGCUUAUCCAACCGGAGGAAAAACCUUUACUUACUAAAUCAGCUUUGCAUGCCAGGCUGCAAUUGUUAGAGCAGAAUUAGGUAAUUUGUGAACAUAAUUGAAUCAAAGUUUUGUCUCUGACAAGUAAUAGAAAAUGGUAAUGCUCCAUAGCAAGAACACGUUCCUACACUAGUUUAAAAAAUUCCCUGAAAUUGGGAACAAUGGUCAAGUCCAAACCAUACUUGCAACUUGGAGGACCGCUGGCCGAUGUAAGUCAAAGUCAAAAACAGAAGGAGACAGCGACGUCUCACCAGAUCACGAAUCAGAUGCGAUGCAUGUGCAUGUUCAGCAAGACAUUGAAAAGCAAGCUCUUCAAUACGCUCCAGCCCAGCUCCACCAUGGCUUUGGCAAUGCGCGUCAUGAGCUUGCUUCCUGCCACCAUCGCCGUGAUGAUCGCAGUGGCCUCUUGGGGAGCGCACGGCGGUGCCAGCGACGAGGCCAGCGCGCUGCUUGCUUUCAAGGCUCAGCUCGCCGGCAGCGGUUCCGGCAUGCUUGCAUCCUGGAAUGGCACCGCUGGCGUCUGCGGCUGGGAGGGCGUGGCGUGCACCGGCGGCCAGGUAGUGGCACUGAGCCUGCCCUCCUAUGGGCUCGCCGGAGCCCUCUCCCCGGCCAUUGGGAACCUCACUUUCCUGCGGACCCUGAACCUGAGUUCCAACUGGUUCCAGGGGGAGGUCCCAGCAAGCAUCGGCCGCCUAGCGAGUCUGCAGACGCUUGAUCUGAGCUACAAUACGUUCUCUGGUACGCUUCCUUCCAACCUCAGUGCCUGUGUCAGCUUACUGCUGUUGAGGCUCAGUAGUAACCGGUUCCAUGGGCGUAUCCCUGUUGAGCUUGGAGACAAGCUAACAAGUCUUCAGAUGUUGUCACUGCGCAACAACAGCUUGACGGGUGCCAUACCAGGAUCACUAGGUAACCUGUCAUCCCUGAUCUACCUUCAUCUGACAGAAAACCACCUCGAGGGUCCGAUCCCACAUGAACUUGGCAGCAUGGGCGGCCUGCAGGUCCUUUUCCUCUAUGAGAACAGACUCUCCGGUGUGCUUCCACACUCCCUGUACAAUCUGUCCUCACUGAAAAGCUUGUGGGUAGGAUACAACAUGCUGUCUGGAACCAUCCCUGCUGAUAUCGGCGAUAGGUUCCCCGGUAUGGAAGCUCUUGACUUUUCUAGCAACCGAUUCAGUGGAGCUAUCCCACCUUCGCUCGCCAACCUCUCUGCUCUCACAAAACUAGUCCUUCAAGGAAAUGAUUUUAUUGGAUAUGUGCCUUCUGCUUUGGGGAAGUUAAGUCUUACUGCCCUUUACUUGGGUGACAACAGGCUAGAAGCAAACGACAGUCAAGGGUGGGAAUUCAUAGCUUCACUGGCAAACAGCUCCCAGCUUCAGCUUCUUGUUCUCGGCAACAACUCUUUCAGCGGGCAACUGCCUAAUUCAGUCACAAACCUGUCAUCAACUCUGCAAGGUCUUUAUUUGGGACCCAAUAUGAUUUCUGGGAAUAUUCCAAUAAACAUCGGAAAUUUGGUUGGUCUUACAGUACUUGAGAUGGCAAAUACUUUUGUAUCUGGACAGAUUCCAGAGAGCAUUGGUCAGCUAAGAAACUUGGUUCAGCUAGCCCUUUACAACACUAGCUUGUCAGGCCUCAUACCUUCAUCACUAGGAAAUCUUACACAGUUGAAUAGCCUUUUAGCAUACUAUGGAAACUUAGAGGGGCCAAUUCCAUCAAACUUGGGGAACUUAAAGAAUGUGUUUUCCUUUGAUCUCUCAACAAAUCGACUCAAUGGUUCAAUUCCUAUAGAGGUUUUAAAACUUCCUCGACUUUCCUGGUACUUAGACUUAUCAUAUAAUUCAUUAUCCGGGCCACUUCCAACUGAGGUUGGUACCAUGGUGAAUCUUAACGAACUGAUUCUGUCUGGAAACAAGUUGUCAGGCACCAUACCAGCUAGUGUUGGGAACUGUAUAUCGUUGGUACGGCUGCUGCUCGAUAACAACUUAUUAGAAGGAAGCAUACCGCAAUCUCUGAAGAACUUAAAAGGUCUUGAAUUACUGAACCUAACAAUGAAUAAGCUAUCUGGUAGUAUUCCUGAUGCCCUUGCUAGCAUUGGCAACCUGCAACAACUGUAUCUUGCACACAACAACUUGUCAGGUUCCAUCCCCAAAGUUCUACAGAAUUUGACAUUGUUGGCAAAACUGGAUU
RNAcentral lists this long non-coding RNA (101551 nucleotides) under Setaria italica (foxtail millet). Its description in RNAcentral is "long non-coding RNA (SITA_LNC003510)". The record is from RNAcentral. Lineage: Eukaryota; Viridiplantae; Streptophyta; Magnoliopsida; Poales; Poaceae.